UCAAUACCUCCUGCAAUACUGUAUUCGCGAGGCACAACUGGAUUGUAGACAAGGCCUUUUCAUCAAGCUCUUCCCAUUCUGUUUGAUUUAGAUUCUCAGGCUUUUUCCCUGUAACAACCUUUUUCAAGCCAUUUUGAACUAGAAUUGCCAUCAUCCGAACUUGCCACAGAUUGAAAUUUGUCUCACCAUCGAACUUCUCAAUUUCAAACCUUGUUGCUGCCAUCUCUGACCGGGCUGAUCUAUGAAAGUUAAACUAGCUCUGAUACCACUUGUUAGGAUCGUCCCGAUUAAGCAACGAACAAGUAAAAAUAGUAGAAGAAAUUGAGAAGAUAAACACACAAAUUUAACGUGGAAAAACCCCUCAAAAGAGGAUAAAAAACCACGGGCAAAGAUAAUUUUACUAUAAUGGCAAAAGAAUGAAGAGUACAAAAGAUGGAGAUAAAAACUAAACCCCGAAAACCCGAAAAACAAAGAACCCUCAAACGUAAACACAAAAUUCUCUGAAUGUGUUAUGAGUUCUUAUCUAAUGGGUGUCUCUUUCAAUUCUAAGAUUGUAAAGGAGCCUAUUUAUAGGCUAAAUUAGUAAGUCAAAUAAACUAUACUAAUAAAUGCUAAAUAUAUUAUACUAAUAAAUACUAAAUCUUCUAGAAAGAAAAUAUAUUUUUGUUUAACUUGACUUGCAAGCAAUCUCUUAGAAUUUGGGUCACACAAUUCUAACACAAUUAAAAUUUACACCUUUUUCGAUUAGUCUUUUUUAAUUAACUAAUUAAACAAUAAAAUUUCUAAAUCGAACCUUCACAUACCAAAAAUAGUAACUCCAUAAAUAUUUAAUAAAAGUAUUUACGAAUUCAAUUUUCAAAAUCAAGGUCCUGAUAUCUUAUUUUUCAAAACCACUUGACUUUCGAGACAACCAUUUAUACUAGCCAUUUAUUCAAUUAACUAAAAUUUCAUCAAAAUAAAUAUAUUAUAAAUUAUAAUCGACUCAUAUAAUUUAAAUACUAAUUGUUUUGGAUUUACUCGCCGGAUUUGUGGUCCCAAAACCACUAUUUUCAACACCACUAAAAUCAAGCUAUUACAUAAAAUAAUUUAAUUAUACAUGUAUAUGUAUUCAAAUGUUAUGAUCUUGUUAUAUGAAAUACUAACUUAUUGGUUGUUUUGGGGAGUUGUAUACGAAUGAGUAAGGAUGCCAAGAAUAUGUCAAGUUGUGUUUUUUAGUUCAAAUACUUCAAUUGUUAUAUGUCAAGUUAAUUUUCAUAUGAACUUACUAAGCUCCACUAAAGCUUACUUUGUCUCAUUUUCCUGUUUCUUGUAGUUAUCGUUUUGCAGAACUCAGUGAUCGGAUCAACUUGAAUAUCGCACUAUCUAGCCUCUAUUUUGGUAGACUUUUAAUCAUUUAUUUUGGUUGUGUGGAAUGUAAUAGGGGUUUAAUUGUAUCUAAAUGUUUUGUAAAAGAAAAGUGUAAUUUGUGAUGUAUAUAAUAUGUAUGUUAGAUAGCCUUUUGAUAUGUUUGGUUAUGAUUUGAAAUGUUGAUUUUGAAUAUGGUUGUUAACCUUUUGAAAAAUGAGAUAUUUAUAUGAAUGGUUGGCAUGAUUUAGUUAUGUUAUGAAUUGAUUAAAUAGGUGAGAUUUUGUUGGAGUAUAUGGCAUGAUAGUUUGAAGCUUGAAUUGCAUGUUAAACACGGGUAUGGUUUAAUUCUAGUUUUGGCAAGAAAUGGAGUUAAAAUUUUGGUUUUGAUUUGGAUUUUAAAGCUUGACAUGUUAAUUAGUUUUGGUAUCAAACUUGGAAGUUAUAUGGACUUGGCAUUUUUGGUCAUCUUGGAUGAUUGAAAGUUGUGUUUUGCUUGUAUAAUGGGAGUAUGAGUGGUUGCCUCUUACCUUAGCAUGAAUUAAACUGAAAUUUGGUGUUGUUUCAUGUUUGUGAUGAUGUCUUAUGACAUAUUGGUUAGAACUAGGAACAUAAUAUGUUUUAGUAAGCUUUUGGUGUAUCUUGAAUAGGUCUAUUGAAUGUUUAAUGGCAUGGUUAUGGCAUAGGUAAACAAUUGAUUGUGUAACUUGAUGUAUAAGACAAAUUUUGACACACACGGGCUAACACACGACCAUGUGUCACAAAUGGGUAUGUGACACUAACAUGUGCUCUAUAUGGUCAGGGUGGUUUUGGGUAAACAUGGUCUCAAUCUAUUACACAGCUUAGUGACAUGGCCUCAUCUUGUCACACGGCUAUGUGACCCUACUUUACACUUUUGCCUAAUCUUUUCUACAAUGUUUUAAAUGAGUCUCUGUUUGUUUUGAAAUUGAAUUUAGAGCUUUUGUAAGCUUGAAUUAAGUUCAAAUAUGUAUGCAAGACAUAUGACAUAAUUUUUUUGAUGAGUUGAUGAUUUAAAAUUGUUUUGAAUAAAAUACUUGAACUAAAUUGCAUGCUCUAGCUUUGUUAUUUACUGUAUCAUUCUGUAACUUGAUUCUAACAACGGAGACGGGUGAGGGGUGUCACAAUAUUAAUAAAGAAAUUAAGAAUCGUGUAAAAUAUUUAUUUUGUGGAUGUUUCAUGUAAUAAUGAUAUCGUAAAAUAAAUAAGACUUUAAAAGUGAAAACAUAGAGGAAAUUAAAGAAUCGGGCAUAACUGAUAAAUUUGUGUCAUAUACUUAUCUUGUGAUAUAAAGUAUAAUCAUGAUGUUAAUUAAAGAAUACUGUUAAAAAGAAUAAAUCAUAUAAAAGCCAUGGUAAACUAGGUAGAAAUCGUGGGAUAUAAUUGGCAUGCCAUAGGAAACCUAGCACACUCGUGUAAUUAGCAUUUCGAUGCUCGUGACUUGAUUAUUAGCACUUAUGUGCUUGUGUUUCAAGCACUUCUAUAACACCUCUUACUUGAGCCCGAACCUAAACUCGAGCAACAGAUGCUACAUUUGAAUAUUGAGUCACUUCCAUUCUAAAUUCACUAAUUAUGUUUCAUUUCAAUUUAUAAAAGCUUAUUUAAUACAAACUACUUUAAUUUCCAAUAAGUCAAUUACAUUCCCAUAUUUCAUAAGCUAUACUUGACUUUUAGAUUCCCACUUCUUUAUAAUUCAUGUCAAUUUACGUAUUGUUAUUUCAUUAAUUUUCCUCCUCCUCAACAUUCCACGCCCAAUAAUAUAUAUAAAAGAAUCAUUUAAUUUAAGUAUAGCAUUCAUAUACAAAAUCUAUUUAAUAUAGAUUAAAAUCAAACAUUAUAUUUCCUUCACAAAUAAAACACAAAUAUGAUAAGAUUAGUAAGACUCUUACCUUUCUUCUUGAAUUCCAUCUUCAAAUCAAACUAUUCACACUUGUAUUUAUUUUAUGAUUUUCAUAUUUUAGCAUACUUUUAUUUCAUUUACAAAUUUAGUCUAUAAGUCUUAAAACUUAACAACUUCAACCAGUGUAGUCCAAAAUCAAAUUUCAUUUGAAAUUUUCGAAACUAGACAUACCGUCCUUAAUAUAAAAGUUAUGAUCAAAAUUUUAUGUCAAGCCAAUUAAUUCAGUUUUUUCUUCAAAUCCUCCGCUGUUCUACUGAUAGGGAGCUCUUACCCUUUUCCAUAGAAAAAUAUUUUUUCUUUCAGUAAAACAUUUAUAUAAUAUUUCUACUCAUUUAUCUUUAAAUUAGACUCUUUAAGCUUUUUGGAAAUAUAAAUUUCAUCUUCUCAUUAUUUUUGUACAAAUUUUAAUGAGUUCUCAAAAUUAGAAACAAGGAGUCCAAAAUUAAUCUAACUUUGUCUCACUUAACUUUAUUUAUCUCAUAAUAUAUAAUUCCAUUAUUUACAAAAUUUAUUAUAUACAAAAGCAGACUCAAUAUGCUUCAAUAUCAUGUUUGGUUCAACAUCUAAAUCAAUUUCUAUAAUUUUUGGUGAAUUUUCAAAUUUGAAACAUUGUUAUUAUUUUUUUUCCAAACAACUUUCAUAUUCAUGAAAGAAUUUGUUUUGUCAAUUUCUACAAUUAAGUAUUAAUCAUUGACACUAUAGUACAUAAUUUUUAUAACAUAGCAAUACACUUAACUUAUCACAUAAUUCACUUUAUUCUUUUGAAAAAUAAUCAGGAUUCUUUUUAGUACUUAUCUCUUUUUAGCUAGAAUUUUCACUUCCUUAGUUUCACCACUUUCUUUUGUCAUCUUUGUCAUCUCCUUUUUUUUUUCUCUACAACGUUCUUCAUCACUUACUCUUCUUUCUCUUCAGUAACAUAUUAAGAACACAACUUUAUAUGAGAAACUCUACUUCAACAUCAUUUUCAUGCUUCUUCAACAAUAUCAAGCUUUAAAACAUAAUGAAAUCUUUAUCUUCUUACCUUCUCCUAUUGAUUUCAAGCCUUAGCUUGAUUUUCUCUGUCCUUCAAUUUCAGUUCUUUUAAAUCAAAGGUGAUAUUCAUACUCACCAUAGUCUUCUUAUCAUUUUUUUCCACUUGGAGGCUAUUGAAAUUCCUUUGAUUUCUAGGUGAAAAUGGUGAAUUUUGAUAGAAAAGACUAAAUUGAAUAAAACUCAGGGCACGUUUGGUUCGCUGUAUUGGAUUAGAGGUGUAAUGAAAUAGAGGUGUAAUAGCAAAUCAACUGUUUGGUUGAAUGUAAUGGAAUAGAGGCGUAAUAGUAAUCUUGUGUUUAGUUGAAUGGAAUAGAGGUGUAAUAGCAUAAUGGAAAAAACUAAAAUGACUAGAAUACCCUUAGCAUAAAUUUAUUUUGGUAAAUGAUUAUUGUUAUUGUUAUUUAAAUUUUAAUAAGAUUAUUAUUAUCAAUAAUAAAUAAUUUAAUCAUAUUUAAACAUAAUUAUUAUUAAAUAUAUUAAAUAUAUUAUAAUUAAAAUAUAUAAUUUAAUAAAAUUAUUAAUAAUCAAUAUUCUUAUAUGAAUUUAUAUACUCAUUUCCUUUUAUAUAUUAAUAUACCACAUUAACCGGUUUAUAUUUAUAUCAGUGGCACAAAAAAUUUGGGAGAAGAUUUUUGAGGACUGCUUUUGUUUGCAAAUAACAUCAUUCAUUCUGUAGGGAAAAAAUUAUGAAUGAGCCUGCUUAUUAAUUACCUUUUUUAUUUUGUACUGAAGUAGUUGCCACUGGUUCAAAAGUCGAUAUAUAUGUAAUAUUAUUAAAAUAAUAUUUUUAUUUUAAUUAUUUAAAAAUAUUUUUAAUUAAUGCGAUGUAUAUGAAUAUACACAUUUAAUUAGUUUUAUUUUUAAUAAAAUUUUUCUAAUUUAUUCAUUCAAUUUUAAUCACCUUACAAUUUAUUCAUUGUAUUAUAUCUACUGAUCCAAUUUUAAUAUAUUGAAUAUUUGCUUUUUAAUCAAGUUCUUUACUUGAUUAUAUCUAAUGUUCCAAUUUUAAAAAAUUCGAUUAAAAUUUUCGAACUAUAUCAACUUAAGAAAUUUGAUCCCAAAUUCAAAUUAAAUAUACCAAUAAAAAUCAACUUACUACAUCACCACUUGCAAAAUAUAACUCUCCAAACAUUACUAUGGAGUAAACAAAAAAAAAACAGAACAUAUAUAUGUCUUACAAUUUUUCUUUAGUUUAGAAGGUUUGAUAAGUUACCAAACCUCUUGAAUUGCAACUACAGCUUCAGCUUGCCAACGAUUUAUGUCUGGAGCAAAUCGGUAGCUAACAGUCCAAUACCUACAAAAUUCCACAUAGAACAUCAAUUUACUGGAACAAUAGUGGUCAAAAUAAUAAUAUAUGACUUAUGUAACUAUUCACAAGUAAUGGUACUAUGACUUGAGAACAAUUCAGGGACAACAUGAAACUGAAAAAAGAUCAUCAAUACAAACUACUACAGCAGCAAUAAAAUUAUUAUUGCAAUUCCACCCAAAGUAUAUGGACGACAUCCCAUUGCCUCAGCACUAACAUAGCACAUUAUUUUUCUUAAUUGAACAAUUGGGCAAUAAACUGAUUUAAACAACAAAGUUGAGUUAGUAAAGGAAGAUAUGGUAGCUAUUAAAAAAACAUAUCUUACAUCUAGAUCAUACUUUUUAAAACAAUCUUCACAUAGUGCCCUAUCAUAUGUCCUCUUUGUUUUAUUUAUUUUCCACAUUAGCAUGUUGCAUCAAAGCUGGACAUUGACAACAAAUAUGCCCCUCACUAUAAUCACUAAGGAGGAAAUAUUUAUAUUGGUAGACAGUGUCAUACCGGUUGGAAAACUACUGGUUUUUUGUUGAGUUAGGAGCUCUGUCAAUGGAAGAAACAAAUGUAUAAUGAUUUGGUACCGGAAGAGACAACCGAAGCAAUGAGCCCAAUGAAGUUAAACACAAUUUCAAAUAACUUCAGAGGUUUCUAGCAAGAAGUGAAAGAUUUUAUAGGUUCUGGAAAACAAAUGCAAACCGAAACUCAAUCAUUCGGUUAGUUGAUUAUGUGGUUCUGUUUUGGUUUUAGAAGUGUUCAAACCACCGUGAGGCAAUCUUAAUGUAGAAGACAUGAAAUAUUAUAGUUUGUGCGGAAAUGUGCAUAAGAAUAUUGUGUAUUGUUGUUGUAUUUGAUUGUGGAGCAUAUGCACAGUAAUCCCAGAAUUUGUAAUUGAUAACUCAAGGAAUAGAUAUGAUUUCUGCAUUUACCUGUUACAAAAUGGUUGAGUUGAUGUUUAUCGAUGCUUAAUGCAGGCUAGCAAGCAGGCUGAGGACGCUCCCAAGAAGAUAAUCAGAGUUCAAAAGCGCUGUUGGAGAUCCAUACCACAUUUGUCGAAGCCAGGAGAAACAACUUCGAACUUGAUGAAACCAAACAGAAAAUCCCUACAGCCUGAAAUAGUGGAUGCUAACAACAUGCUACUGUAUUCUCCCUAACUCAUUCCUUAAAUAUAAAUAGGUUUGUGCAAGCAAGGUAAAUCGAAUAGCUUGCAUAGGCAACUCUAGUUUGCAAAUCCAAUGAAAAUAGUUGAUGAUAAGUGAGAUAUCAAACGAAAAGCUUUUGAUAUGAUAACAAAAAGAAGUAAUUCAGAUUGAGCUAAUAACCACAUGAUAGUCUUAAGAUGUGGAAGAUAGAUGGUAGGAAAUCAUUUUCAUUCACUCUCUUCUGAAUCAUCACCACUACUGUCUUGUGAAUCAAUUUUCAUAGCCUUCACAGCAUUGCUUGCUUUAAAAUCUUCAACAGCCUUGUCAAAAGUGCACCUCACAUGCCUACACAUCAACAUCAGAUUUUGACAUGCAUCUUUCAAUACCUCUCUUGCUGGAUCACCUGCAAAUUUUCACAUAGAACAACUAAAGGAACUUGAACCCAAGCAAAGUACUUGAAAAAGAGUGCUAUAUUGAGUUUACCAGUGGUUUGAACUCUAAUAUUAACUCGAGCCUCUGAAGGAUGAGGAAUACUGUAGCCACAGAAUGUAACCAUUUGGCUGCACAACAUAAAAAGGAUAGCUUCCACUUUCAAUACAAUCACUUAAAACAAAGAAAACCCAGCAUGAAUCAAAGCCAAAAACAGAGGUGAGUGAAUUGACUCUUGAUUCAAAGUGAAUCUAAUAGCGUUAGCUAUGGUAUGAUCCUCAUCAGUUAAAGAAAAAGUGGCAGCACUAUUAUCAGUGAAAGACCCGUGUUCCAUUGUUUCCUUUAAUCCAAUUUCUAAAUCUCCAAACCAAGAAACAAAACUAUUAAAAGGAUGAAAUUGAAUCCAAUAAUCAUUGGGAAAACAUAUUUUUAAAUAAAAAAUAAGGUUGUAUCUUCCUUACCGGUUCCAAUGGACAGAACAUAGUUUCACCGAUGGAGAGGAACGGAAAACGUGAGAAGGAGGCUGCUUUCUGAUCGGUGUUCGAAGUCCAGUUGUGACGCCAAAGAGAGGUAAGACAGAAAGGUAGAAGCUUGAAUCGGUGGAGAUAGAAAGGUAAGACAGAAAGGUGAGGAGAGUGGAGAAGAAAGGUAGAAGGAAGAAACAGAAGACGGUGGAUUUUGGGCAAGACAAAAGCGUGAAUCAGGAGGGUAAAACAGGGACCAAAACUCAAUUCGGACCUAAACUGAGCACAAGGAAGGGAUUGGAAAUCGGUGGAAUUUGGGGAUUAGAUCAGUAAUGUAAUAGACCCGUAUUAGGCUAAUACACCCAACCAAACAAUGUAUUGAGUGGGGCCCACGAUUAGGGGUGUAAUGGCUAUGCCAAUACACCCAACCAAACAUGGUGUCAAACUUCACUUUUUCUUCUCAUGGUGGACAACAAGUAGUACAAUGACGGGAAAAUAUAUUAUUUUCAUCUUUUCUUCUUAUUUACUUAACUAUUAACCAAAUAAUAAAAUAUUCUAUGUAACACCCCAAAUUUUGGGCCUAGAAGAACUAGGUUUUGAGCAAGGGAACAGUUAGGAACUGCACAUAAAUACUUAGUUGUGCAAGGAAGUAACAUAAAUGAAUGUCUGCUUUAGUGGUUAAGUGAUUUAAGAGUGUUUGGGAGUGUCUAAGAAGUCUUGGGUUCAAGCCUUAACUUAUGCAAUAUUUUUAUUUUAAGUGAAUAAAAUCCUUGGAUCUAGAUAGUAGGUUCUUAAAUUAUUGUGGUUAAAAUAUGACACAAAAUAGCUUGUGGUCUAGUGGCAAGAUGGCAUGUGGUGUAAUUGUGAGAUUUGAGGUUUAAGUCUUGGGUUGCGUAAUGGAGUAUUUAUUUUACUGCUUGAACUGUGUAGGUAGUGGAGUUGGAUUGAAAUACUGCUAAAUGGAGUUUGAACUUGUCAUAGAGAGAUUUGGGGAGGUUGUUGUUGUGGAGUGAUAAUAGUAGAAAAUUAAGGGAUUUGGGGGUUAUCAAUUGGGAUCUUUAUUUUCUUUUUCAGUUCUUUUCCAAAAUUUUAGACGUUUCAAUUCUCCCAAUCCCCUGCCAAUUUUCUUUUUGUUGAUUUUCCUUUCCCUUUUCCUCUCUUAAAUCUUUAGCACUUUUCGGUUCGGUAUGGCUCGAUUGCUGUUGGUGUUCUUGGUGUGUGUUCUAGUAAGUUUAGUUAACGUGAUUGAAAUUUAGGUUCUGAUAAUCAUUACUUAAGGGGUUGUCUUGUGUUAGGAGAAGAUUAAGUGACUGGAGUUCUUGCCUAACAGAGUCACUGUGUGUGGAAUCGCCAAUGUUUAGUCAAAGGUAACGACUUUUGUUGUUGUUAAAGGUUGCUCGUCUCGCUAGGGUUGCGAAUAGGUGUUAAUUGAGUGACUGAUUGGAGUUUUAAUUGAUCAAAUUUAGGUUCUGCUGGUCUCGAGAGUGUUUCUGCAUCAAAUCACAUCAGGUGUGUAACAGCACUCUAUAAACGAUAUCGGUGAAAUGCCGAGAAGUGUGUGUAAUCACACCUCUUUAACUGGAAAUCGGUAAAGAAUGAAAAGUCAGAAAUAAGGAUGUUUGAGGCCACAUGAGCGUACGAACGCUCGUGGGGUAAUUCGAGCCCAUGAAACAUGGUGCUUGACUAUAGAGGCCGCCAUGAGCAUUCUCAUGGGCUUAGGCCGAAAUGGGCCACGUUGGGCCGAAAUGGGCUGUGUGGGCCUAAUGGGCUUGUGGGCCUACACGGAUGAAAUCCAUGAAUUGUGACAAAUACUGAAUUGGGCUAUGUAGAUCUCAUAGUCGUGGCAGAAUCUGGGCUAAACGGGCCGCACGUUGGGCUGAGUAAUGGGCCUUGGGCCCAUUUACACUGUUAUGACCAUUUAGGUUACCUGAGUCGCUCGAGGCGACUACAGACCUUCCGAGAGGUCAAAAUCUACACCGAGACUCCAAAAUAGGUAAUAUGACCAAAAUACCCCUGAAGGAUAAAAUAACUAUUUUACCCCUAACAGAUGAAAAUGACUAAAAUACCCCUAUAGGGUAAAAUGACUGAAAUACCCCCAUAAGGUAACAUGACCGAAAUACCCCCAUAAGGUAAAAUGAUCGAAAUACCCCUAUAGGGUAAAAUGAUCGAAAUACCCCCAUAGGGUAAAAUGACCGAAAUAACCUUAUAGGGUAAAAUGACUUUUAUACCCCUAGGAGAUAAAAUGACUGUUAUGGCCUUAUGUUAUGUAUGACUGAUUUGUUCUAUGAUAUGUAUGACUAUGAUUGAGCAUGAAAUUUUGCAUACAUGUAUGAUAUUAUGUCACGACAUGUUGCAUGGGGUUGGGUUGUUAUAUUUGGAGGAAGUGUACUGUACUGUUAAGGCCGCACGGGUCGCCUAAGACGAUUGUGGACCUACUGGUGGCUUUGCCACAUAUACUGUUACUAGCAGCUUUGCUACGAUACUGAUACUGGUAGCUUUGCUGCGAUAUUAGUGUGUUGGCUGGGUGGGUCGAUUUUAUCCCCACAUGGUGUGUUGGUGGUACGGUGUGGUGUGUUGGCAGGAUUGGGAUGGGUUACAUAUUGCAUUACACUGUUACUGUAUUGGGCUAAGGCCCACACUGUACUAUCACUUCAUAGAGCUAAGGCCCACACUGUACUGUCACUUCAUAGGGCUCAGGCCCAGACUGUUACUGCAUGCUGUUUACUGAAUGACUGAUAGGGGAUUACACACUAAGUUUUCGUAAACUCACCCUUUCUUUUAUUUACUUACAGGAAAUCCUCAACCAUAGGAGAUUUGGUGUUGUGAGGGACUCGGAGGUGGACACACUACUGCAGCUGUUUAUUACUAGAUUUUAUUUAAAUUUAAAGUUUGUGUUGGGUUUGUUCAUGUAAUAAUGGCCAUUUAAGUUUGUUUAAGUUUUUAAUUGGGCUUUUGCUUAUUUCCUUUAAAUUGCUAGUUUAGGGAAGAUGAAUUUUCAAAAUAAUAACUGUUUUCAAAGUCACGAACUUUAAACUAUUGAAGUUUUCAAAUUCUUCUGCAUUUUAAAAACAACUAUUAUAAUAGUAGUAGAUAUUAAGGAAAAUGUUUUAAUUAGAUGAUUGUUAAAUAAUACUAAAGAGGCUUUAAGCUUAGUGAUAAAGGGUUGCGCGCGGACCAAGAUCGAGUUGCCAAGUCACGAGAAAACUCCUAUGAAGGCUCUAUACGAUCAGAUUUGAAACGAAACAAUAAGAUCAACUUUUAGAAUUUCCAGACUUGAAAUUAGAACCCUAAAGUAGCAAGAGAUGAUCAAGAAACGAAACACUUAUGAAAAGAGAUUUCUUGGAAGCCAAGAACACGGGAUAGCAAUUAAGAUCAGCUCCAAUCUUACGAAUAUGAAAAGGAGGAAACAAAUAGCAAGUUAAGUUUAACAAAUCAGCAAAUCGUUUGAAUCCUAAUAUAGAGAAUGGGACGGCAAAAAUUCUGGAAUUAAAACGGAUCUUAUAGUUCAAGGUUAUGUCGAUUUGCUCAAAUUGAAACAGCCAAUUAAUUUUCCCCAAAAUUCCAGCAACCAAAUCAACUAGAUUUGGAAAGAGGAAAUCGGUAAGAUCAAUUGGGAAAAAGUAGGAUUUAAUCGAAUUUGGCUGCCAAGGAAGAGUGCCGAUUGGUCUUCUUGAAUAUUAGAGAGGGCUGGAAAUUCAAUAAGAAGAUUAAAUAAGUUAGAUAAAGAAAUUCGACACAAGCAGAAUUAAAGAAAAGAAAUUGACAACAAGCAAAUAAAAGAUAAGUCCUAAGAAGCCUUGAAAUCCUAAAAGAUUUCACAACUCCCUUCAAACGGCUCUAAUCUCCCCUCCAAAGAAUAUCAAUGGCAAGAAGAAGGCUGAAGAUGGCUCCCACAAUCAAAAUAUUGUUAAAACAACUUCUAAAGAAAACUCAAGAGCGAAUUCUCAGAGAAAAACUCAAAGAGAAUUCUGCACUUAAACAAAUCUGAAAUUUUCAAUAUAAUUGAGAAGUCACUACAAGGGUGGCCGGCCAUGCCUUUAAAUAGGCCUUAUACUAGUCCUAAUCUCAUUAGGAAAACUUAAGAAUAAACCCUAAUUAACAAAAAAUAAGAGGGAAAUUCGGCCAGGCAUUUAAAUGGGCUGCUUAGGGCCAAUUUUAACAUAUAAUAUUCUUAAAGCUAAAAAUUAAUUUAAACAAUUAAAAUGUUUGUAAAUUGGGCCCUUUAACAAUUUGGCUUGAUUUUCAAAUAAGUAUGGGUGGACUUCUUGAUUGGGCUUAGAAUCUUCUUAUUGGGCCUUGCCUUCAAGAAUUUGGGCUUGUGAUCCAUCCCCUACCGAAAUUAGGUCAUUGAUCUCGUAACGGAGAUCCAAUGCGCUUUGGCUGCAAGAUUUGGUUUCUUGGACCAAGAUUUCCAAGAUUUGAAAUCUUGAUUUUCUUGAUUCUUGAAAUCGCUCCAAACAGCAAAAUUGGGCCAAGAUUCGGUUUCUUGAUUUUCUUGAAAAUAAGAAAGUGAAUCUUGAUUUUCUCGUUCUUUCGUGUACGCCUCUAAGGCCUUGCUAACAAACUCCUGAAUGGACCCAUUUAGUUUGGAACGCAUUUGUCGAGCCUUUGAUCUCGUAUCACUUAGAAACGAUUUUUUUUCCAACAAGACAAAUUUGCGAAUGACACUUCAAUGUGACACGCCAGAUUCGACCAUAACGUCUAGGCCAGGUUUAGGGUGUUACAUUCUACCAAUCAACAUCCAACACCAAAUAUUCAUUAAUUACUAUCAUGAUAAUACACCAAAUAUCCUUGAAAUAUCACAUAAUCUGUUAAAAUUAUAAUUUAGUCCUCACAUUUCUUCACUUAUUCAAUUUAGGCCAUUCUUAUUAAUUCAUUUUGCACUUUGGUCCAUUUAACCUUUAGAAUAUUUAUACUUUUGGUCCUUUAAUUUUUUUGAAUUUACACUUUAACCCCUCAACUUUUUCUUAAUUUUACUUUUUCCAACUUUCUUCGACACUUAAUUAUCAUCUUCUUUACUUAACACUGAUAAUUCCUAUUCUAUUUAUCAUUAAGGAUCUAUUUCAUAUUCUUUCCUAAUUUGCAUAGUUUAUGACCGAAGGGGUUUCGGGGAUGUUUCAACUUCAAUGCUUGUGAAUAUUAGCACUUGCUUGCUUGUGAUAUCUUAGCACUUUUAUGCUCGUGUUAUUCUGAGUAUCAUUCAUGGUUCUUUAUUAUUUACUCAAGGUAUUUAUGUAUGAAAUAGUAAGCAAAGGUCUGAAAAGGAUAAAGUUUGAGUCGUGACCAAAGCAAAUAAGGUUUGUGCUAAGGAAUAAUAAACUUUAGUAUGUGUCUUGAAAUGAAGUGAUAAUGUGUUCUUGAUAAUUUGAUUAUGAAUAAGUAAAUUACAAACAAUUAUGAUAACAAAGAAUUAGCGUAUUAAAUAGAUAUUAUAAUAUAUAAUUAGAUAUAGUAGAAUUCAUCCGAGUACUUACUAAGCUUCUAUGAAGCUUAAUGCAUUACUUUUAAUGCGUAGUGUGCAAAUAAUGUUAGAGGAGAAGAGUUCGAUUAAGCUAGGUAGAUCACAUCUCAUCUUCAACAAGGUAUUGAAUAUGAAUUAUGAAGGUAAAUUAUAAAAUUAGAGUUGCAUUUACAUAAAUAUUUUAGUGGUUGAAAACUAAUGAUUGUAACAACCAUUUUUUAGUGGUAUCGAAAAUGGUGAUUUCGGGACCCAAAAUCUGACUAGUGAGUUAGUAAAUAUUAUUUAUUUAAUAUUUAUAAGUCUAUUAUAGUGUUGUAUUAAAGUUUGGUUUAGUGAUUUUGAUGUUUGAAUAGUUAAUUAGGUAAAAAUGACUAAAUCAUAAAAGUUAAUCGGUAUGGAUUUUUAUUAGUUAAUAAGUUUGAAUAAUAAAGGUACAUUGGUUAUGGGGUAAAUAUACCAUAAUUAAAUGGUAGUAAUGGUUAGUGCUUGAUUUUUUUAACUUAAUAUAUGUUAUGUUAAUAAAAUUAAAUUAAAAGAACAGUAAAUUAUAAUAAAAUAAACUAAAAACAUGUCAUCUCUUUCAUUUGUUCUUUAACCCCACCGAAAACCACCAUAGAAGGAAGAAGAAAAGCUUCAAAUUAUGCUACCCAUUCGAUAUCUUUCUGUUGACUUCGCUGAUUGCUUUAGGACUUAGUUAUUUUUAUGUUUUCUUAUGUUUUGUUUCUAUAUUUAUCUGCAAACUAAUAAUACUUUAUAAACACAUCUAAAGUUUAAGUAUAUGAAUAUAGUCAGAUUUGAAAUUUUCUUAAAUUUCAAGUUCAUACUUAAGCAUUUAAUUCUAUCAGAGUAUUCACCAUAAGCAAAAGCAUGAAAUAAUCAAAACUGUCUAACUUAUACAGAGUUUGCCAAAGUUGCUGCGAGGUGAUAAGGUUGGCAAACUGUGCUAAGUGUGAUCGGAGUGAUUAGCGAACUGCUACUCGUGAACCCUUAAUAAAUUUUGAUAUAAGGAUAUAAGAGAAACCUUGCGAAUCGUGUUCAAAGUAUCUAAACAUGUAAGGGUAGUGUAACACCCCUAACCCAUCUUCGUUGCCAGAUUAGGGUUACAGAGUAUUACCAAGUAAAACGGAACAUUCAACUUUACCAUAGAAACAAUUAUACAACAUUAAUGUUAACAUGUAAAAAUUAAAUCUAAUCAUGAGAAAUAUACACUUAUAGGCCUUAAACAGAGCCUACGGGGCCCUAAAAUUAGUUUGGGAACAAUCUGGGAUCAAAUUGAAACAAAAUAGAAAAUUUUGGAAAAACAUGAAAAUUUGGGAAACAGGGGUCACACGGCUGUGUGACAUUGCCCAAAUCGUGUGGACAUUAGAAGUAUAGACACACGGCCGUGUCCCAGCCCGUGUGUUUAUUGCGUGUAAAAUAACUAAUGCAAUUGUGUAAGUGUACAAGUCAUUCAAGUAAUAAAGUGAUAAGUAAGUAUCGUCUCCACAGGGAUGGAAAAUUGGUAAGAAAUUGAGUAUGUUGUUAUAACACUGUUAAUUAUACCAAAAUAUCAUGAAACAAUCUCAGAAUGAAUAAAAAGCUAGAAGAAUGAAUUACUAAAUUUAAAUGAUAAAGAACAAAGAAUUGAUAUGGCAUAAAAAAAGAUGUGGCAAUUCUCAGAGAAUAUCAAGAGUAUUUCUGUUGUUGAAUAAAUAGGGUUAGAAUUAUUCAGGAGAAAUACUCGUAUCAAGAUAACACCAAGGCAAAAUAUUGUCUAAUCUACUGCCCAAAGAUUUGCUACUAUGACCUGCCUCUUUCGAUAGCUCAAUCUUAAGCAAAAAAUCUAAGUUCAUGUACGUCUACAGAACAUGGGAUUCAUAACUGUAGUGAACGUCCUCUCUGUACAACUUGUAACAUCUAUGUCUAGAGUACUACGGCUAUUAUGUUGAGUAUUCACUUGCACCAAACGAUUCAAGAUCCAGUAUUCUUAACCUUUUCAGAAUUAAAAACACCUAAGAACACGCCAUACAUUCAACUAUGUCUAGAGCUUGCAUGCAUGUAUUUAAAAUAAGCAUAAAUAGAGUGUAACAGUGAUAUAGACAAUUUCAAAUCCUAGACAUUAAAGAUGAUAAAACAUUCACCCAAACAACUCCAACCUAAAACAGAUUUAGUUCAUGGGUGGAAAAGUAAACAUCAAAAUAGAAUCAUUCAUUAACAUUUCUCAAUUAAUUUCGAAUCACAGAAAAUUCAAUUUAGAAAAAUAAAUGCAUAAUUGCAGGAUGUUCAUUCCACACUCUAGCUUCUCUUUUAUCUUCCGAUUGUGUGUGAAACUAGGAUAGAUUUCUCUUCCCCUUCCUCGCAUCUGUAUUAUGUUCUCUUCUAAACUUUUACCCUUUCUUUCUUUGGAAUUCUCCAAUGGAGUUCUUCUUUGCGCACACAGAGAGAGAAUUGUUGUUACCAAUCUCUUUCUCACGCUGAUUAUCCUCCAUUUUUUCUUCUUCUCUCCUUCUUUUAUUGGGUAGAACUUUCCCACCUCAGUACACAUUUUUCAUUCAUCUUUUCAGCUUUUUUUUGGUUCAUGUUAAGCUGGCUGAGAAUGAGGUGGAUAGAGUGCUGACUCAUCUUCCCAGAAUUCCCAUGGCAAUUCUGUUGGCAAUAAAUCUUACCAAUUGUCAUAGAAAUGUUUCACUUCCCUUAUUUUGUUUUUGCAUCCUUUUCAUCCUCUUCUUCUACCUGCACCUGUGUUCACACAGAACCACACAUUUCCUCCUCAAGUGACAACAGUAAUAAAUAAUGGCCAAUGUAGCGCAAUCCAAGCUUUGUUAUGCAAUGUUCUAAAAUUAUCCUAAAAAUGCAUAUGUAUUUACUUAAUUUCAAAAAAUUAAUUCCAUUUAGAGGCCUAAAAUAUAACUCUUUUCAAGAGUUAUCACACACCCUAAGCAUUAAUUAUUACUUGUCCUCAAGCAAAUAAUUUAUCAAUAUGCAUGAAUGCAUAGAAUUGCCAAAAUAAUCAGUCACAAAUUAUACUGCCAAAUCAUAAUGAGCAUACUAUGUACCUCUAUUCUUAGCAAUCUUCUACUGAAACAAAGUAAAUGUUCCUAAAAGUAAAUGUUUCUAAAUAUUUUAGUAAUUAAAACUACAGCUGAUUCUUCUGAAUAUACCUAGGUUAUAUCUCUCCUAAACUCAGUUUUUAUUUUAUUUUAUUUAUUAUUUAAUUUCCAACAGAAAAUUUUUCUAGGGAAUUCAUAUAUUGUCAUAUGAUUUUUUACUUGAGAACCUCAAUAGAGCAUACACUAGACUACCAUGUAUUAUAUCAUGUCACAAUUUGAAUAUAAAUCACUCAUGAAACAAAAGCUUUUAACUAAAAAGAUGGAUGGAACAAACAACUACCAUCUUAGCAAUUUAGCCUCAAGAUUCAGUGAAGUGUCCCUAAAAUAUCUACACUUUUUUUAAACAAACACUUAUAUUUGAACUCAUUUUUCUGGUCAACAAUAUAAUGGAGCAAACAAAAUAUUACUGACCUACUUAACAGGUUCAAACAUUGGAGUAUUCAUAUUAUUUUACCAUGAUAAAAAUUGUACCCUAUUACUAUAUUGAAAUUAAGUCAAGAAGUCCUAAAUUUAUUCAAAGAAUGCUACUAUAGCCUAAUUGAAUUUAUGUUUCAAUUAUUCUACUUUUAGAAAUUCAUUUCAAGAACUAUCAUAUUCUAAACAUGCCUAAACAACUAUCACCAUAUUUUCUAAGUUUACAAAGAAGAGAUAUUAUCCUCAUUGAACAUCAUUGAUAACCAUAUACUCACAUAAUCAGGUAGUUGAAUGGCAAUUGAAUGUUAUGGCAAAAAGACUAUAUGAACAAUUAACAAUGUAGUAUAUAUGCACAACACACCCCCAAACCUAAGGGAUGCAGUGUCCUUAAUGCAUGAACAUGAAAAAAUAAAAUGAAUAAAAGCUACAUAAAUGCAUGAAACAUAUAGAAAUCAAAAUGAAUGAUCAUGAAAAUAUAAAAAUCAAAGCUUGGAGGGGAAGGAAACUACUUCACUUGGGUUGUAUGGAUUUCCUUGCAGCUCGUUUGUAACAUUGCGGCCUGUCCUGGUUAUCACUACCGGUGUGAAUGAUUUUACCAACAGCCUUCUUGAAUCCUUUUCUCAUAAGUUGGUUAAUAGACACUUAUUCCUCAUCAUCGUCGGUGUUUGACUUUGUGAGUUCAUCAAUCAGUUGAUGAACUGCACGUUCCUAGGCAGUCAUAGGGGCCUUGGAUUGUGAUACAGGUGCAGUAGUCUGAGUGGUAUCCAUUCUCUCAUCAUCAGAUUCAAUGUGGAUAGAUUUUGUCCUGGCUUUAUCUCCUUCUAGUUCUUGGUUGUGCAUGGGAGCAGUUCUAGCUUCUUCAUCUUCUGUAUCAAGAUUCAAUAACAGUUCCUUAGGAAAAACAAGAAAUGGUGGCAUUGGGCGUGAGAGGUUCUUUUGCAAGGAUUUACAAAUACCAACAUCACAUUGGCAGACAUAUCCCCAAAAGAUGGUCAUCUCCUAUUGAGCUUUGCCAAAGUCAGUGAUAAGCAUUUUCUGAUGCUUUUCCAACACACACAAUUAUUGUUUCUAGCCUUCUAUAGCUUCAAUAAUUCGCCACUUAAACUCAAUGUGAGAAGUCGAUGGGAUAGCAGAAGUAGACAUAGGGGGAGAAGAUAGAGAUGUGCCAGUUUGCCUUGGAAUUUCCUCGCUAGCCAGUUUUUAUGCAAUGAGCUUAGUAAUAUCCUUUGUUCAAUAGGUGGUCUUCAUUUGAUGACAGGGGAACCUUGACUCUUUGGCAUAGUAUAGUAAUUAGUGAGGGGAAAUUUAAAGUACUAGCAUUCUUUUGGGCACUACGAUGAAUCUCACAAAGGAUAAUGUUGCCAAUAUUAAUCUUUCAACCCACCAUUAUGAAGUGAAGAAGCAAUAUUGGUCCUUAGAGAUUGUAGCAUUAUAUGUAGAAGGAAUUAAACGAGUUCUCAAGAAAUGGUACCAAAUCUUGCAUUGAGGCUUCAAUGAGACUUUUUCAAUGGUGUAACAGUCAUUUCUUGAUAUUAAACAUUAUGUAUGUUCCAAACAAACAUCAGUGAGAACCUGGGCUAAGCACUUUGAGGACAUUGUCUUCAUAAAGUUAGCAUGCUCGUCAGGACCUUCAAAUAGCCCAUAUUGGGCAUUGAUGGAGUCCUUAUGAAGUAAAACUGAUGCGCUACGCACAUAUAUAAAUAUGUUGUCAGGAGAAGUAAUGUAGGCAUAAAACUCUUUCACUACUUUUGGGAAGACAUCAUCAAGAUGAAGAUAGAAGAUCCCCCACCUAUACUUUUCGAAAACUGAUGAUAUGGCUUCUGUAUACCCCAUGAAAGUAUCAUCCUGAAAAAGGAAUCCUUUUUCAUACAGAAUGGUCGUUUGGUACUAUUUUUGUGGUAUUUUUCUUCCACAAGUUUACUGAAGAAGGUGUAUGGAGAGGCAGAGGUUGAAGCAGAAGCUAUUUGGGAAGCCAUUGAAGAGAAAAUAGAAAGCUAGAAAAUGAAAAAUGCUAGAUUUUAAUGCGGUUAUGAAUGAAAUAGAGAGUAAAAGUAAAAAAUGAAGCGGAAUGAAAAUGUGGGAAGAAACUGAAUCGGCUAGGUUAAAACAUGAGAGAGAAGUAAUUGUGACAUGUGUGAUAAGACGAGCCUUAAUUAUAGGUUGACAAGGUAAACAAUUGACAUUUAACGGGAAAAGAAAAUGGAAUUAGCAUAAAUUUAUGUGAAUUAAAAGGAUUUAGGCCAAUGGCUUUAGUUUGUAUGUGUUUUGGUCCAAGGGAAAACCUGUAACAAGAGAAAAUAAACAGUUAAAUAAAUUUAUUAGGUAACAAAUAAGAAAAAGAAAAAAUAAAAUAAAUAAAGAAAAUUUCUACGAAAUAACAAUUAUUAAGUAUUUCGAAGAGAAAUAAAUUUUUUUUCGCGCAUUAUAGGAGCUCCAAAAUAAUGUUUCAGGCGUUGACCAUUGACUUUGAAAGUGGAUCCUAUUUUUCCAUCUUUAACAUCGAUAGCUCCAUGAAGGUAUAUACACUCGACUUUGAAUGGUCCAGACCAUCUCGAGUUUAAUUUGUCAGGAAAUAGUUGAAGUCUGGAAUUGAAGAGUAAGACUUGUUGUCCAAGUAUAAAUUACCCUGGCAAAAUUUUCUUGUCAUGCCAGCGCUUUUUCUUUUCUUUGUACAGUCUCGUAUUCUCAUAAGCUUGAGCUUGAAAUUCAUCCAUCUCAUUAAGCUCCAAUAAUCAAUGAUUGGUAGUAAUACCCUAGUCCAUGUUUACUUUCUUGAUUGCCCAAAAUGCUUUGUGUUCUAGCUCAACUAGGAAAUGACAUGGUUUUCCAUAGACAAGCUUGAAAGGUGACAUUCCCAACGGUGUCUUGGAAGCUGUGCGAUAAGCCCACAAGGCUUCAUCCAACCUCACUGACCAAUCCUUGCAUUUGAGAUUGACAGCUUUCCUUGCAUUUGAGAUUGACAACUUUCUCUAGAAUUUGCUUGAUUUCUCUAUUGAAAAUUUCAACUUGUCCAUUUGUCUAUGGGUGGUAUGCCGUGGAAAUUUUAUGUUUAACCCCAUAUUUGUUCAGAGCGUUGGCAACUAAUAUGUAAUCAAAAUGUGAACCUUCAUCACUAAUUAAGGCAUGAGGGGUACCAAACCUGGCAAAAAUAUUUGUGUGCAGGAAUCUCAAAACUAAUUUGGCAUUAUUUGUAGGUAAAACCACAGCUUUAACCCAUUUAGAGGCAUAAUCCACCGUGACAAGAAUGUAGAUUUUUCCCCAGGAUGGUGGAAAUGGACCCAUGAAAUCAAUUCCCCAUACAUCAAAUAAUUCCACCUCUAAAAUAUUUUGCAGCGUCAUUUCGUGUCUCUUUGAUAAGUUACCAGUUCUUUGAAAGUGAUCACAUCUUUGACAGAAUUCAUGAGCAUUUUUAAACAUGGUGGACCAAUAGAAACCAGAUUGUAGAACCUUUGUAGCAGUUUGCAUGCUUCCAAAAUGUCUGUCAUAAGGUGCAGAAUGACAUUGAUACAUGAUACUUUGAAUUUCAUCAUCUGGAAUACAUCUCCGAAUUACUUGAUCUACACACUGCUUAAAUAGGAAUGGCUCGUCCCAGUAAUAUUGCUUGACAUCAUGAAGAAAUUUCCUUUGUCCUUGAUGAUUGAGCGUAGGUGGUAGCAGCCCACUGACUAGAAAAUUAAAAUAUCAGCAUACCAUGGCAAUGCCAUAGCCAACAAUAAUAGCUUAUCAGGGAAUUCGUCUUUAAUCAUUUGACUAUCACCAUAAGUAUUUCCUGCUUCCAGUCUUGACAAGUGAUCUGCCACUUAAUUUUUAGUGCCUUUCCUAUCUUUGGUUUCCAAAUCAAAUUCUUGCAGCAAUAAUAUCUAUCUAAUGAGUAUGGGUUUGGCCCUUUUUUUGUCACCAAGUAUUUUAUGGCAGAAUGGUUUGUACAAACUGUGACUUUGGUGCCCACUAAAUAAGCUCUGAAUUUUUCAAAUAAAAACACCACUGCUAACAAUUCUUUCCCCGUGGUGGUGUAGUUGAGUUGUGAAUCUAUCAGCGUGCGACUGGCAAAAUAUAUAGCAUGAAACAUCUUGGCUUUUCUUUGCCCUAGUAGUGCUCUGACAGCAAAGUCACUUGCAUAACACAGCAGCAAAGUCACUUGCAUAACACAAUAGUUCGAAUGGUAGAGUCUAGUCUGGUGUAGUGACUAUAGGUGCUAUAAUUAAUUGCUCCUUUAACUCUCCGAACGCUUUUGAGCAUAACUCGUUAAAAUGAAAUGGUCUGUUUUGCUCCAAAAAUUGAUAGAGAGUUUUGGAUAUCUUAGAAAAAUCUUUGAUGAAACAGCGAUAAAAUCCAGCAUGACCCAGGAAGCUUCUAAUUCUUUUCAUUGAAGUAGGUGGUGGAAAAUUUUCAAUAACUUCUAUUUUUACUUUGUCGACGAUAAUUCCUUGCUGUGAAAUCUUGUGGCCCAAAAUAAUGCCUUCACAAACCAUGAAGUGGCAUUUUUCCCAAUUCAGCACCAGAUUUAUUUCUUGACAUUGGCAAAGUAUUAACUCCAAAUUUUUUAAUCAAUCUUCAAAAGUGUUUCCAAACACCGAGAAAUCAUCCAUGACUACUACAAGGAACUUCUCCACCAUGUUGGAAAAUAUUGCCAUCAUGCAACGCUGGAAGGUUGCUGGGGCAUUACAUAACCCAAAUGGCAUUCUUCUGAAAGCAAAUGUUCCAUAAAGACGGGCGAAUGUAGUCUUUUUCUUCAUCAGUAGGAGAUAUAGCAAUUUGAUUGUACCCCGAGUAUCCAUCUAAAAAAUAGUAGAAGGCUUUCCUUGCUAGUCUGUCCAGCAUCUGGUCUAUAAAAGGUAGAGGGAAAUGGUCAUUCUUCGUUGCUUUGUUAAGUUUUCGAUAAUCCAUACAAACUCUCCAACCUGUGAUGGUACAUAUGGGAAUGAGUUCGUUGUUAUCAUUGCUGACUACGGUGACCCUUCCUUUCUUGGGUAUACACUUAACAGGGCUCACCCAAGAACUAUCAGAAAUCGAGUAUACAAUUCCAUCAUCCAACCAUUUGAUAAUCUCCUUUUUAACUACUUCUUUCAUUAUAGGAUUCAAUCUCUUUUGUUGUUCAAUAGAUUUUCCAUGGUAAUCUUCAAGUUUUAUUUUGUGCAUGCAAAUUGCUGGUCUAAUUCCUUUGAUAUUCACAAUUGAACGUCCUAAUGCUUUCUUGGAUUUUUUUAAAACCUUUAAUAAUUGAAUCUUCUAUUGACGAGCGAAGAGGGUUAAAAGAUCAAUCUAAUAAGUCUAAUGAUUCAAAACUCCUCCUAAAUCCAUUUCUAGAUUGUUGAAUUUCUAUCAGUUCUCUAUAUUCUUCAGUCAAUUCUGUUUUAGUUAAUUCAACAGAGUCUGCAUCAGAAUUGUGGUGCAUAUGUCUUGUAAAUUCUUCCUAAAUUAAAACAUCAACAAACUCAAUAGCAUGCAUUCUUGAUAUGGGUCUGCACAAUUUAAAGCAUCAAAACACAUUAAAUGUCAACUAUUGAUAAAUAAUUUUCACGGUUAACUCACCUUUUUGUACAUCAAUCAAUGUUCUAUCAAUUUCUAUGAAAGUUUGUCCAAGUAUUAUAGGUACCUGUAUAUCUUCUUCACAUUCCAGAAUAAUAAAAUCUACUAGAAAGAUGAACUUGUCAACUCUUACCAGUACAUCUUCAAUUUUACCUUCUAGAUGGACAUAUGAUCUAUCAGCUAAUUGUAGUGUAACUGUAGUAGGCCUUGCCUUUCCUAUCCCAAGUUUCCUAAAAAUAGACAUAUGUAUUAGAUUGAUACUUUCACCUAAAUCGCAUAAUGAUUUACCUACAUAAUGGUUUCCAAUCAAGCAAGGUAUAGUGAAACUCCAUGGAUCUUUUAAUUUUGGUGGCAAUCUAUUCUUCAGCAUUGCUGUGCACCCUUCAGUAAGUGCAACGGUUUUGAACUCCUCUAACCUUUUACUAUUGGAUAGGAUAUCUUUCAUGAAUUUCACAUAGUUAGGCAUUUGUUCUAAUGCUUCCAUUACUAUGGCAUUUUUAUUGGCUUUACAAGAUGAAUAUGCUUCUAUAUACUCCCUUUUUUUUAUUUGUUCCACUACUGACUUGGAAGUUUUGCUUUCGAGAACUUUCAAACUUUCCUCCUCAAUAAAGGCAUCAGUCACAACUCUUAGCAGCUUAGUGCCACUCCGAAGUGUUAUGGCCUUACGUUGUUCCUUUCCUUGAGAUCGAGAACUUUCUGUGUCACUAGACAAUGCUCCUUAUUGUCUAGAACUUAAUGCAAUGGCAAUUUGUCCCACUUGAUUUUCCAGAGCUCUUAAGGAAGCUUCCUAGCUCUGAAUAAUUGCAUCAUUCUUAGCCAUAUACUCCUUUAAUAGAGCUUCCAUAAUUGAUGUUGAAGAUGGAGAUCUUUGUUGCACAUUUUCCCAUGACAUUGGUUGACUGUAUCUAGGUGGUACACCAACCACAUUCUAUCGAUUAACAUUGCUGGCAUUUCCCAUUCCCUUAUUACUCCAAUUGAAAGUUGGAUGUUGUUUCCACCUUAGAUGGUAUGUUUUAAAGUAGGGAUUGUUCUCGCUACGAUUAAAAUUCCCCAUGAAAUACGUAGAGGCGCGAUUGGAUGGGUAUUCAUAAAAAACAUGAUCUUCUCUAUAGUAUACACAUGCUAGUUCUACAACCUUCAUCUCCUACACUGUAGAGGGUCUUUUUAGAGUUUUAAUCAUAUUUUUUAAAGAUGAUACCCGAGAAAUUAACGAUGUAAUCACAUAAAGUUCCAUUGUUCCAACAACUCUUCUACCAAUUUUAAUUCUGGUAGUGGGGUACUAAUAAUCAUUGUUUGUUAUUCUUUCCAGAAUUUCAUAUGCUUCAUUGUAGGAUUUGUCAAGCAACGUUCCAUUAGUAGAUGUAUCCACCACCAUUAAUGUAUGAGCAUUUAAUCCAUUGCAGAACAUUUCCAUCUAAGUCCAAUGCUAAAAACCAUGUAUCAGGCAUUUUCUAAUUAGUUCCUUAAAACAUUCCCAAGCUUCAUAUAAUGUCUCAUCUCUAGAUUGCUUCAAUGAUGUAAUGUCGUUCUAAGCUUGGCAUUCAUGUUGGGAGGAUUAUACCUAAGCAAAAAUCUCUGUUAUAGUUUAUUUUAAGAUGCCUUCGUACCUGAUGGUAACGCAUUCAACCAUGGUCUGGCACGAUCUCGCUAUGAAUAAGGGAACAAUUUUAAUCUAAGGGCAUCUUCAAGAACACCCUGCUGCCUAAAUGAGUCACAGACUUCAAGAAAAAGUCUCAAGUGCAAUCUUGGAUCUUUAGUAGGUAGACAACUAAACUGCCUUACCAUCUGCAGCAUCUGAAACAUUACUGGUUUUAAUUCAAAGUGUUGAGCUUGAAUAUGUGGCCUAACAAUUCCUGAAUUUAGAUUAUCAAAAAUAGGCACUUCAUGUUCUCUGAUGGGUCUACCUCUAUCAUUUGUAAUUCGAGGAAUAUCAACAUUCCUCUCAUUCAGGAGUACCUGAUCUUCUGUAAUUAGAUCAUUUAUAAUCAUCUCCAUUUCUCUUAACUCUUUUCUUCUUCGCCUUAAGGUUAUUUCAAUUUCAAGAUCAAAACAAUAUUUUGUGUCCUCUUGAAUAUUUCUUCUCAUGCACUAAUACAAACUUGAAAAAUCAAAAAAAAUUCUAAUUAACUGCUCUAACAAAAAUAAAAAGAAUAAUAACAAAUCAACUUUUCACCAAUGUUCCUAAUCCCCAGCAGCGGCACCAAAAACUUGAUGCCUGUGAAAUAACUAAUGCAAUUGUGCAAGUGUACUCGUCAUUCAAUUAAUAAAGUGAUAAGUAAGUAUCGUCUCCACAGAGAUCGAGAAUUGGUAAGAAAUUGAGUAUGUUAUUAUAAUAUUGUUAAUUAUACCAAAAUAUCAUGAAAUAAUCUCAGAGUGAAUAAGAAACUAGAAUAAUGAAUUACUAAAUUUAAAUGAUAAAGAACAAAGAACUGAUAUGGUAAAGAAAAUGAUGUGGCAAUUCAUAAAGAAUAUCAAGAGUAUUUCUGUUGUUGAAUGAAUAGGGUUAGAGUUAUUCAGGAGAAAUGUUCGUAUCAAGAUAAUGCCAUGGCAAAAUAUUGUCUAAUCUAUUAUCAAGAUAAUGCAUGCUAUUGCCCAGAGAUUCGCCACUAUGAUCUUAAGCAAAAAACCUAAGUUUAUGUACGUCUACAGAACUUUGGAUUGAUAACUACAAUGAACGUCCUCUCUAUACAACUUGCAACAUCAAUGUCUAGAGUGCUACGAAUAUUCUGUCGAGUAUUCACUUGCAUCAUACGAUUCAAGAUCUAGUAUUCUUAACCUUUUCAGAAUUAAAAAUACCUAAGAACACAUCAUACAUUCAACUAUGUCUACAGCUUGCAUUCAUGUAUUUAAAAUAAGCAUGAAUCGAAUGUAACAGUGAUAUAGACAAUGUCAAAUCCUAGGCAUUAAAGAUGAUAAAACAUUCACCCAAACAACUCCAACCCAGAAAAGAUUUAGUUCAUUGGUGGAAAAGUAAACAUCAAAAUAGAAUCAUUCACCAACAUUUCUCAAUUAAUUUCGAAUCACAGAAAAUUCAAUCUAGAAAAAUAAAGGCAUAAUUGCAAGAAGUUCAUUCCACACUCCAGCUUCUCUUUUAUCUUCUGAUUGUAUGUGAAUCUAGGAUUAAUUUCUCUUCCCCUUCCUCACGUCUGUAUCCUACUCUCUUCUAAGCUGCUACCCUUUCUUUCUCUGCAAUUCUCCAAUGGAGUUCUUCUUUGCACAGAGAGAGAGAAUUAUUGUUACCAAUCUUUUUCUCACCCUAAUUCUCCCCCCUUUUCUCUUCUUCUCUCCUCUUCUUUUAUUAGGUAGAUCUGUCCCACCUCAGCACACAUUUUUCAUUCAUCUUUUCAGGUUUGUUUUUCUUGUACACGUUCAGCUGGCUGGGAGUGAUGUAGAUAAAGUGUUGAAUCAUCUUUCGGAAUUACUAUGACAAUUCUGUUGGCAAUCAAUCUUACUAAUUGCCACGACAAUAUUUCACUUCCCUUAUUUUCUUUCUGCAUCCUCUUCUUCUACCUGUACAUGUGUUCACACAGAACCACACAUUUCCUCCCUAAAUGAUAAAAGUAACAAAUAAUGGCCAAUGUAGCGCAAUCCAAGCUUUUUUAUGCAAUGUUCUAAAAUUAUUCUAAAAUGCAGAUGUAUUUACUUAAUUUCAAACAAUUGAUUCCAUCUAGAGGCCUAAAAUAUAACUCUUUUUAAGAGUUAUCAGUGUCUGACCGUGUGAGUAUUCAAAAGAGGGCCACACGACUAUGUUGCAGGCCAUGUGCCAAACCGUAUGUGUAUUCAAUGUUGGGUCACACAGCCGUGUCGCCAGCCAUGUAAAUCUAAUAACUAAAACAAUAAAGACACACGACUGUGUAGGGUGGCCGUGUGUGGCACACAACUGUGUGACAGCUCGUGUCCUAGGCCGUAUGCUCCAAUUUUAGCCCCUAAAACAAGCCAUAUCAAAGCCUAUUCUUACACACCAAGACAUACCAUUUCCAUAUACAUUCAUAUCAUCAAAACACACUCAAAACAUACCAAUUCAAUCAUCCUAUAAGUUCUAACCAUUAUGUCAUUCAAAGGCACCAUAAUUCAUACACCAAAACCAUUUAAGAACAAGAUUACAAAACCAAAUUUCAAUCAUAUAACAUGAAUACUAAAAGACCAUUUCAUCUCAAUCUAUACCAUCACAACUUACCACUUUAGAUAGGCAUAACCAAAAUGACCAUAUCCAAAUAAGUUUUAAUAUAUACAAGCCAAACCAAAACCCUAUAUACAAAUAGGUACAAGUAUAGCCAAAACACACCAUAUGAUCAAACUAAUCUAAAGUACCUAUUACUACAAAGUCCUAUACAUGCCAUUUAUAAACAUUUUUUUUCAAAAUAACCAAAAACUACCAAAGUGGUCAGUAGAUAGUGUGAUAGAGCUUCGACAAGAUUCCAACCGGUCGAGCUUUCUGAAGAUCUACAAAAUAGAGAAAAACAACUACGUAAGCAACCAGUGCUUAGUAAGUUCAUACAAAAGAACUCAAGCUUACCAAACAAAAAAUUUCAUGAUUAAACCAUUCAAGCAUUGUUUAUUCCCCAUAUGCACAUUUCUUCCUAAUCACACCACUUCACAAGUUAGUAACCAUAUACAUAUAUAAGAACAUAUUAUUCAUAACAUGUAACAUAUUGUGCAUAAGAUUUCAACGUAUAAAUCAUCAAUCAUACAUUCAAUCAUCUUCCAUUUCAAUUCAAAUGUACAUAACCAUUCCAUAUCACACAACAAACCUUUACUAAAUAGUUCAUUUUAUGGUUUCCUUUUCAUUUGUUGUCAUUUUUGGAUAACAUCCAUUUCAACCUUUUCAUUUGAUAUCCUUUCUGGAUAACAUCAUUUUCAACCUUUUUAUUUGUUAUCCUUUCUGGAUAACAUCCUUUUCAAUCUUUUCAUUGAUUCAGAAAUACCGAAUGUAAUGCCAUGGUAUCUUUCAACCAUGGUCUUUUCCUUUUUGAGUAUAAUACCAUGAUGUAUUUCAAUCACGGUUCUUUCCUUUUCUCAAAUCAAGACAAUCUUAAACAUCAAUACAUAGAUACAUAUAUAAAGAUAUCAAUUAAUCUUAUAAAUUCAAAUGUAAUAUUUUAAAAUGAUAUACGAACUUACCUCGACAAAAACUAUUGUAGAAAUGAAGCCGAUAACUAAUCCAACACUUUAGCUUUUCCUCAAUUUAACUUCAGUUGAUUCGUUUCUUGACCUAAAUAGUAAUUUAACUCAAUUAAAUAAUUCAAAUAGCUUAACUUUAUAAAUUCUAACUUAUAACUCAUUUUAAUGUAAAAUUACGAAUUUACCUCUAACAUUUGAACUUUUAUGCAAAUUAGUCUCUAAAUCUGAAACUCACAAUUAAACCACAAUCAAUGAAAGAUCAUCAUAUUUGAUUUUCUCUAAGGUCCAUUACAGACCAUGUCUUUCAUUAUUUCAUAAAAUUAUCAUUGACUUUUACCAUUUUCUCAAAUAAGUCCUUAAGCUUAAAUUCAUUAAAAUCACUUAACAAAAUGUGUUUAUUGAACAACCAAGCUUAAUAAUCUAUCAAUUAAAUUCACUAACACUAUAAACUCAUUCAUGGAAGUCCCUAAAAUUUUAACGAUUUUACAAAUUAACCCCCGGCUAGCUAGAUUAAGUUAAUACGAGUUCAAAAAUGUAAAAAUCAUUAAAAACAAGCAUCAAAUACAUACCAUGCAUCCAAAACAAAGCUUGGCCAAAAGUUUUACUUCUCAACUAUGGCAGAAUCAGUUUUCAAUAGAAAAUGGGUAAAAUGAUACUAAUUUUUACCUUUUGUUUUGUUUAACAUAUCAUUUAAUUAUUAAAUUACAAGAUUAACUUUUAAAAACUAUUAUAAUUACACUAAAACCUAUCCAUAAACAUCCACUAACUUAGAAUAUGGUAUAAUUAUCAUCCAAGUCCAUUAACUUACCUUUUCAAAACUAUUUGACCCUAUUAGCUAAUGGAAAUCAACGUUUUCACCUUUUUCAAUUUAGUCCUUUUUACUUAAUUAACUAUCUAAACUUAAAAAUUUCUUAACGAAAAAUUAAAACAACCCUCAUAUAAUCCUAUAAACAUUAAAUAAAUAAUAAAAUAAUGACUUACUUGUCGGAAUCAUGAUCCUAAAACCACUAUUUCUGAUACCACUAAAAACGGGCUAUUACAAGUAGUUCGUAAAACUUACCCUAUUUAAAGAGUAUUACACUGCAAAGACUUAAAAUGUGCGAGCUACACUAGGAGCGAACCUUGAUGUUGAGAUGUGUCUACUAUUUACUUAAAUUUAGAGUACCACCUAAAUAAAAGUUUGUUUAAAUGUAUUGAUGAAAGUACUUAAAUGAUUUUUCGCUGCAUGUUAGCAACUUAAGCAUAUUUUAUGUUUUAACUUGUAAUGUGUUUGGAGGUUAGGUUGGUUGUUAAUGGAGAGUCACUUAGGUGACUAAUGUGGUGUUCGAUAGCUAGGGUUCAGCAACUAGACUGGGUAUGAGGUGUUACAACUUAACCCUUUUUUAUGCUUCUUAUAAAAAAAUUAGUUAAUACAAACAAGGUUCAUAGAAAUGCCAAUGGCCAAAUUAAUAUAGUAGUUCUCAUUUUUAAGUUUAUAAAAAAUAUUUCCAACCAAAAUAAUUCAAGACUUAAAAAUGACAACAACUAUACUUGAAAUUAUAUAUUGGAAUCAACCCAAAAAUCAAAUUAGACAUUCCUCAAAAUUUGUCAUUAAAAUGACUUUAAACAAACACGUUUGAUGUGAAAUAAUAUUUAAUUGUUUGGUGUGAAAGAAUCUUGAUUUUAUUAAUAUAUGUAAUGACUUUAAUCAUUGUUGAUUAAGAGAAUUUUAAACAAUAUCAAAGUCCAAAAACAUAUGAUGUCUAGAUUUAGAAAACUUGUAUAUAUAAAUUGAAACCAUCAAAUAAACAUAUAAAACAACUAGUUUAAUGAUGAUUGAGAACAGAUGCAAGGUCACAUAUUAUGAUGAACCUUAGGGCUUGAUUAAUAAAAAUGACCGAUAAUAUUAUGAAUCGCGAUUUAAAAAUCUAUCAAUUUAUAACAUUAAAAUUAAUCUAUCACUGUUCAGAAAUAAUUACCAAGUAAUUAUCAAAUAGCAUAUAUUAAUAAAAAAAAUUUAUGAACAAAAAUACAAAUACAUAUAAGCAUGUAAUGUGAUAAGUGAAAUUUACCUCAAUUUCUUUUCUUCUAUGAAAGUUUUAAUAGCAACUUUCUUGUUCAACGUUGAGUCUUGAUGAUUUUAUCAAAAAGUAAUCAAAUUCAAAAUAUAUUGAUAAAAAACUUUUAUUUCAAAAUAACUUAUAUGAUACUAAGACACCCCAAUGUUAAGAGCACCGAAUCAAAGUCCAUACCGAUAUUAAAUCUUUCACCAUUCAUCUAAGAUCAUAAAAAAAAAGUUAAUCAAAACAAUUAUAACUGACCACAAAUUAGCUAAAAAAAAUCAGAUAUGAAACAUUCAAUAAAAAAACUUCCUCUAAAAAAUUUGCAUCUUGUCGUCUAAGAUAUUGGAAAUCAUAGAGGAUAAUUUUGAUCAUCAAUAAAAGGAACUGCACUUUGAGCAAUAUUAUAAUAAUAAAUAUUCUCAAUAGUAAAACAAUCGAAUUAUUUAUACCAAAUUUACGGAAUAAUAAUAUGUAUGUCAAAUAUUGGCAUAGAGAGAAGUAGUCAAAAUAAUAACUUAAAACAAAUUGAAAUAAUGAAAUUUCUUUUAGUAACCUUUAAAAAAAUGGUGAAUAAGCCAAAAUAAUUUAAAGAAGAAAAAAAUUGAUUUGUAUGCUUUGAAUAUUUCUCUUUCUAUAAAAAUAUGAUGAACAAAUUAAAAUAAUGAUGAAAAUACGUAUACCAUAAAUAGUUUAACGGGAGCUUUAUGGGCAAGUUAUAUAUAGUCGCAAUGACGUGAACUUCACUAUGAACUUGUAGAGGCUCGUGUUGAUAACGUGUUAUAAGACUUAAAAGAAAUAUAUAAUGAACAAGAGAGAAGAACAAAAGAUAAAAGGGUGAUUUAACUUUCACAUUGGCAUCCAAUAAGCUUGUACAUGCCCUCUACUUAUAGGCUUCAAAAACCAUAGGUUACAAAGCAUUAAGGACCAACAUUAAGUUACUCUAUAAAUGGUUUAUGGAUUACAAGAUAAUGAAUUUACGAGUUAUGGACAUUCAUCUUUUAGGGGUUACAAUAGGAUAAAUUUAAGGGGUUAUGGACAUCCAUUUAUCAAUAGAUUUACAACGGAAAUAAUAUUAUAAUCUUUCUAAUAUCAAUUAUGUUUUUUCAAAUUUUAAUUAAUUAAUUAUUAUGUUUAAUGUUUUCAAUUAUAUUAUUCAUGAACAAUUAAAAUUUUAACCUAAAAUUAUAUAAAUUAAUUAAAUAAAAAUUUAUUGUUAAAUACAAUAAUCUGUUACUCAAAGAUAAAUGAAACUAGUUUGUAAUAAUUAUAAAGGAAAUUAUUUGAUACAUUGUCAUCGAAAUUUUUAGACUUCACAAACAAUGUUAGAGUUGAAAACUGUCAUAUAGAAGUAUAGUAAAAUAUUAAAAAAUAUAUAUUUUAAAAAAGAGAUAAAUGUUAAUUUUUCAAGACUAUUUGUGAAAUUAAAAAAAAUACAUUACUAAUAUACCAAAUGCUAAACCCCCGUACUUUAUUGUGUUGGAGUUCUAAAAGUGCUUUUCCAUCACAAAAGCGACCAAGAACACCUAAUUUUAAGGGUCAAAACUACAAUGGAAAAGUGUUUUUCUAUCCAAACAAAAAGUUGGGGUUUAUGUGUUUUUUACUUUUGACUUUUGCAUUUAAAAAUAAAAAUUAUCAAAAUACUCUUAUUUUUAUAUUAAUUAUUUAAAAAAUAUAUAAAAAUUAAAUUAAAUUAAAUUUUUUGUAUUUUUAUAAUAAAUUAUUUGAAUAUUUCAUAUAUCAUUAUAUUACAUUAUUUAAAUAUAAUAUAUAUCAAUAAAUUUAUAAAUAAUUUAUAUUAAUUAAUUAAAAUUAAUUAAAAUUUAUAUUUUAUGUAUUAUUAUAUUAAAUUAUUUAAAUAUCAUAUAACUUAAAUACAUUUUAAAUUUCUACUAUAUAGCAUUUAAAAAUGACAAUGUAACUUUUAAUCUCAUUUUUUUACAGCAAUAGAGUACUAAAAAUUCAGAAACACACUUUUAAAAACCUCAAUUUUGUUUCUAAAAGCAUUUUUAGAGAACAUUUUUCAACUGUAACAAUAACGAAGGUCUAACCUCGACCCUAAUUUUCAGGUAGGAAAAACCACCAGACAGAGCCUUAGGGGGCAAAAUUCGUUUGAAUUGCUAUGAAAACUUUAGCAUUUUACUCCAUUUUUUUUACGGAAUCGUGAUUUUCUUUUCUUUUUAUUAUUUACUUUGCUUUAUAGCAACUUUGGAGGAACAAAGCUAAUACAGGGGGAAAAAGACGUAAUUACUUGGCAGACAUUAUCUUUUGCGUUUUAUGAACAUUCUUUUCUUUGCUCAAUCAUUUGUGUCUUUAUGUUUUCCAGAGGAUCACCACUCUUUUGGAUUGGAGUAGGCAUUGGGCUCUCAGCACUUUUUACAUGGGUGAGCAAGUGGAUGCUUUUUCUCGGGUGAUAUCUUUAGUAUUAUUGUAUUGAUAAUGGCAAUGGUUUCUUUUUGGUACAUAUUUUGAUGAGACCGUAUGAAAUGACAGGUAGCUUCAAGCUUAAAGGUGAGGGUUUCUCUUAUAUGAGGUAUAGUUGUAUUGCUCUUGCCUGUAAUCUUUACGAUAGAAUCGUUGUUUGAGUUUUGGAAGUAGAAUACUUAAAUAAAGCAAUUAAAAUGGUGACGGGUAAAAUUCCAUUUAAUGUGAAUGCUUUGGAUGUUUUCUAGUUAUUGGAGGUCUUAAUUAUGCUUCUGGUGCCAUUUGAAGAUAGGAAGUUGAUGUCUUCCAUUAGUUUUUCAAGUUUCCCAUAUACUACCUAAAGGUGCUUUCUUUUAUCAGUCAAAACAUUUUUUUGGAGGGUUUAGGUUUAGCUGUUGUCAGAGUCUGUAUGUUUUGGUCUAGAAGACUUUACAUUAUUAUAGUAAAUCAUCCAGCUUGACGGAUUCUUGAAGAAACUGAUGAAAAAAACUAGAAGAGUAAACAAGAAACUUAGAGUGAAAAGAUAUAUAUCUUUGUAAUCAUUCAACCAUACAUCAACACAACUACUUUACUGAAUUUAUAUGUAUCAAUAAAACUGCUCUUCAACUAAUAACUGCGUAAGCUAACUGCUAGCACAUUUAUCACAUGUCUAAUAUUGUUUACAACAAGCACACCAGAUAUAACCACUAUAACUGCUGCAGUUGACUAACUGAACUGACUUCAUACACUAACACAGCUGACCAAAUUUGAACAAAUUUGUUUGGCCAUGUACUUGAUUCUAAUUGUUAUAUAUUAUUUGGAAUUCCAAAAUCCAGGUUAUCAUAGAUAGUGGUAGUUCAAAGCAAAACUGGGGAAUACAAUAUUUUCCUAGGCAGCCUUGAGUUGACCUUCAAAAUUGUGGUUUGAUAUAUUCAAAAUAUUUUUCUUCAUCCAUCCUAGAGGAAGAUGAACCCCUACCUGGUUGGGCCCAAUUUCUGGGGGUUUCAGAGCUGAUAACAAAGUUGUUAAUGGAAAUUAGUUAUCUGGGAUAUAAAAUUGCUAGUCAGUCAGUAAGUUGUGCCUCUUUAUUUAUUUUCCGAUCUUAGUUGAAUGGCGUUGAGAAGCUGACUUAGUGGCACAAAGUUGCCUUGACAUACUGAUUACAGAGACAUGAUUUAUGUCCCCUGUAUUAUGGCACCGAGAAAAAGUAUGUCAAUUUACAAAUGUUGAAAAUAAUAGUAUGAUACUGAAUAUUUUGCUACAUUCAGUUCCUUGUGUCAUAAAGAGGACCAAAGCCCUAUCAUGGCUUGUUAGAUAUGUAACUAUACUGUCUUUCAUGGGCUUCUGUUUUGUAGCUGAGCUGUGUCAUAAUGUAUCUAAAUUAUGGUCCCUCUUUUGGGUAUGCUUAACUUUCUUUAUGAGCUUAAGAUGGUACAAAUGGCAAAACUUUUUAAUGUAACUCUGCUAUUUAGGUCCUGACAUUCCCUGAUACGAGUCUCAAAGGCCCAACCCAAGCCCAAACAAGAAGACAAACCAUGCUUACUUGAAAAUCAGGUCAAAUUGUCAAAGUGACCCAAUUUGUAAAGUUUUAUUUUUCUUUAAUUUUUAGUUUAAAUUUUUAUGUAAAUAUUCAGUCCAAGAGGCCCAAUUAAAAGCCCUUGGCCGAAUUUCCAUUUAAAAUUAAAAUAAUUAGGAGUUUGUUUAGUUUUAGUUUUCUAAUUAGAUUAGGAAAAUAUUUGAAAAGCCUAUAUAAAGGCUUGGCCAGCCACCGUGUUAGAUACUUCUCAAAUAUAUCAAAAAUUUCAGAUUUGUUUAAGUGCAGAAUUCUCUUCGAGUUUUUUCUCCAAGAAUUCUCUCUUGGGUUUUCUUUAGAAGUUGUUUUAACAAUCUUUUGAUUGUGGGAGCCAUCUUCAGCCUUCUUCUUGCCAUUGAUAUUCUUUGGAGGGGGAGAUUAGAGCCGUUUGAAGGGAGUUGUGAGAUCUUUCGGGAUUUCAAGGCUUCUUAGGACUUUUCUUUUAUUUGUUUGCUGUCAAUUUCUUUUCUUUAUUUUUGCUUGUGCCGAAUCUUUAUCUAAUUUAUUUGCUGUUCUUAUUGUGUUUCCAGCCUUUUUCUAUCUUAAAGAAUCGGACAAAAAUCCCCAAUUUCUAGGGUUCUUGCUGAUUCAUUCAUACUCUUUUUGGGUGAAAUUAGAUUGCCGAAAUUUGGAGAAAACUAUCUUGGUGUUCAAUUGGGCAGAAUCGCAAUCUCGUUUAGGGUUUCAAGAACCCUUAUUAACACUUAUUUCUAUUCUCAAUUUGAUUCUUUGCUGACUUGGGGAUUUUAUUUCAGAUCUGGAAAUUCAAAGUUCUAAUCUUUUAAUUUUCUGUUUCGUUUCAGAUCUGAUUGUUUAGGGUUUUCGUAGGAGUUUCCCGUGACUUGGCAACUCGAUUUUGGUCCGCGCGCAAUCCCCGUAUCAUACCCCGUUCUCCUGCUUUUCAACGCACUGAUACAGUUGAUGCACCUGUAAGACAAGUUGAAGCAGCCUCUGUUACCAGCAACGUAAGUGAAAAGUGUGAAAAAUGAAACAGAAAUUGCCGAGCCAAAGAAAUAUGGUAAUAUGGAACAUUUUUUAUUACCCAUAAGAUGUUGUAUAAUGUGCAACUCUUCCUUUUCUGAGGUAAAAAGGAACAUUACAUGGGCAAUUCUUGUAUGUGAGACUUUAGAAAGACUAACAGAUUUUUGUCCUUCCCCUAGAAUAAGGGCUUUACAUUUUAGGUGAUAGUAUAAACUGAUCUCUAGUAUGAACUUAAUUUUCUAGCAUCUUAAAUGAUGGUUUUAGAUUUAGUUAACGACUGGGUUCAUUGUGUUGUUCUGGAAAUUGUUUCUCUAAAAUUGAUGCAGAUUUCUUUUUGCAGCUUUUGUGGAUGUUUCUCCCAAAGAAAAUAUGCACAAGAGUGCUUUUGAAGAUGCAGCUGAGCUAAGUUCACCAAAUUGGGUUCAGUCUUCCAAGGAUGUAAGGUUUUAAAUUUUUUUUUUCUUAUUAAGAAGCUGUGCUAGCAUGGAUAUAUCUUUAGGAGUCUGAAGUAUCUAUUUGGGAAAUUAAUUCUUUUCAAUAUUAUAUGAAGCUUUCUGACAAUGGAGCUGCAUCCAAGCAGGAUGCCGGUGCUUUUCGGGGUUUCCAGGCAAGCGGUAUGAAAAAAGCUAGUUGUGGAGUUUAUGAUUAUUGGAAUGGAAGCAUAGGACAUUUUGGGUUGUAUUUGGCUGUAAUAUCUUUCUGAACAAAACAAUAAAAACAUACAUGGAGAGUUUUGUGUCAAGUGCAACACUCCUAAACCUUGUAAUCUUCUUUGUUUAAAUUUUUGUUGGGACAAUGGGAGGUAAGUAUUUGAACAUAAAAAAAUAUAUAUUCUCUAUCGUAUUAGAGAUCAAUAAUUCUUACCUAAGACAACAAUUUUGGAUAUCAUUGUUUGACUUGUUUGUAUAUUAAAAAAAAGAAACAUUAGUAGGCAGUGUAGGAAUAUAGGAGCAAGCGCUUAAAGUCACUAGAUUGGUCAUGUGUUGAUAUGCAACAGUUUUCUUAGUAAUUAAUGUUAUCUUUUAAAAUAGUCAUCUCCUUAAAACUGCAUUUUGUUGAUGCGUUCAUUGGCAUAGCUAAAUGGUGGUUAAAUAUUUGGUUUAUUACCUCAUUGGCACAGAGGCAUUUCUGUUGCCUUCUUAUCAUGUAUGCGACAGCCCUAAAGUGACCCUAGUCGGAAAGCGGUCUCGGGACCGCUAGACCGAGUCACCAAAUUAUUUGAAUAUGAUAAUUAUUGCCUAAAAUAUGUGAAUAAAAAUGUGUGAAAGUUUUAAGCUUCGAUUUAGUUAAUUGCAUGUGAAUUUAGUUGAUAGGACUUAGAAAAUUUAGAAAUGUGCUAGGCAAAUGCAAGUGGCCUAAUAGUGCAUGUAAUCAAAGGGGUGGACUUGCAUGUCAAUUUCCCCCCAUUUAAGUACUAGUGGCCGGCCAUGACAAGGGAUGAUGGGCAAAACAUGUCAUGAAACAUGUUGUGUUAAUGGAAAAAUAAAAUAAGAAGCAUGGGCAAAACAUGUCAUGAAACAUGUUGUGUUAAUGGAAGAAUAAAAUAAGAAGCAUGGGCAAUAAACUAAUAAGAAAUUGAAGGAAGAAAACAAAGAGAAAAAAAUGUGUUCAUCAUUCUCAUGCAUGACCAAAAAAAAAAGAAGAGAAAAGCUCUCAUGUUGUUCUUGGCCGAAUAGGAGAAAGAAAAAGAAGGAAAAAGAGCUUUGAGGAAAUCGGCUAUGGUGGUUUGAUAGACUAAGGUAUGUUUGAUGAUGUUCCAUGAGAUGCAUGCAUGUUUUAAUAGUUAGCUUGACUUCUAAAUAGCCCAUGGUUCAAAUCUUUACUAUGUCAUGGAGAUGAUAUUCGGCCAAGGUGGAUUGGUGUUGAUAUCAUUUGCAUGCUAAAAGUGAAGCUUUGUAAUGGUGCAUGUGAUGGUGGAUUGAUGAUUCUUGAAUCUUCUUUUUAGCAUUUUUGAGUGAGACAUUAAGUUCUUUGUUUAACCGUGACCAAAAAUUGAAAUGGUAUGGUGUUGUGAUGCAAUCGGCCCCAACAUAGACAUGUAUGUUCGGCCACAUGAAUAAGUACAUAAGUUAUGUGUAUGUUCGGCCAUAGGUAGCCUAUUGAUGGCUUUAGCUUGACUUAGAAAAUUCGGCUAAGGGGAAAUAUUAGCUAGUAUGUUGAAUUCGAUUCGUGAUUUCGUACAUAUGUGACUCUAGUGUCUAAUGUAUAUAUGGGCUAAGUACCUUGAGCUUCUCUUUUGAUGUUCGAAUGAAUUGUAUUAAAUUGCUUGAUGUGAUUAAAAAUGCGUAUGACCAUUGUGUAUUUGAGCUAAAAGGUGGCCAUAUGACCUAUCAAACUCCUUGUCACAUUCGGCCAUAAGCUAGCAAAAUGAAACUUUAAUGAGUUAAAUUUGUUUGAAUUAAGCUCAAGAGCAAAGGGGAACUAAAUCCGAUAAAGGGAAGGAAAAAGUGGUCGAAUAGCCGUCGAAACCGUUCGACAACAUCCGAGGUAAGUUCUUGAGUAAUAGAGCUUAAAUUAUGAUUUGAUUAGAUCAUGUUUUAAGCAAAUCAAAAUCAUGCUCCUUGUGUGUGGCUAUUGAGCCAAAAUUGCAAGAGUGAUAAGUGUCUUGUGUUUGAGUUUUGCUAAUGAAAAUGAAAUACGAAUGUGUCAUGAUUUAUUGUUAAAUGUGCAUGGUUAUUCGAAUGAUGUCCGAGCUAAGUCCCGAAGGCUUUGUGCUAAGUGACCAUAUCCGGACUAAGAUCCGAAGGCAUUUGUGCGAGUUACUAAAUCCGGGUUAAGUCCUGAAGGCAUUUGUGCGAGUUACUAUAACCGGGCUAUGUCCCGAAGGCAUUUGAACGAGUAGCUAUAUCCGGUUAAAUUCCGAAGGUACGUGAUUUGGGAAUGAAUGAUCUUGCUGUAAAAAUUUCAGUUAAUACGCUUGAAACAUCCCAACAUUGAGGUAUGUUUCGUAUGUGCUUUGAAUUAGUUGAGCCCUUACAAAUAAGUAUUCGCUCAGUUGAUAAAUGAGCUACCGGCCUUUGGCUAAGUUGAUCUUUGUGUAUAAAUAAAAGGGUUGGUAAUGUGAAGUAAGUAUGAUAUUGAAAAUUUGUGCAUAUGAAAUUAUCCGUUUAGCUACAUGAAUGCUAUACUUUGGUUGUGUCUAAAUUCUUUGCUCAAAACUUACUAAGCAUUUAAUGCUUACUCCGUUUCUUUGAUUCUCUGUUUUAUAGAUUUUGGUUCUUCAGCUAUCGGACUCGGGAUUUUGAAGUCGAAGUCGCCCACACUAUCAAAGCCCCCUUUUGGUACAAUUUUGGUUGAACUUCGAAAUGGCAUGUAUAGGACUACCCUUUUUGUUGUGGGUCAUGGACCCUUUGGAUUUGUAUAAUUUUGGAUAGCCAUGCGAAAAUGGCUUAUAUAUGUUUGAGCAUAAUGUUAUACUCAUUUGGUAUGGAUAUGCUUAACAAGGAUUGGCCAUGGGAAUGGUUAAUCACUAUCAUAAUUUGUGCUAUUUAUGCUAAAAGGGCUAGUUGAAUCAUGGAAACUAUGAAAUAGGUAAAGUCUACCUUAAAGGCAGAUGCUGACAGCAGCAGUGAUGUAGAUUUGGAAAAUCACUAAAAAUAGUAGGAAUGGAAUUAAAUAGUGAAUAAAUUAUGAAAACGAACCUUGAUGAAUCUAUUUUCAUAGGAAAGUAACGAAACGUUCAUAUGAACAGUAUAUUAUGAGAUGAUAAAGUUUUCGUGAGACAGGGCCAGAACGGUUUCUGGAUUCCCUGUUCCGACUUUGGAUAUUCAUUAUAAAUUAACCAGAGAUAAUUAGAAGUCAUUCCAUAUAUGAAUAGAUUCCUUUUUGAGUCUAGUUUCUAUAGAAACAAACGGCAUCAGUAUUGAAGCCCUGUAAAGAGAGAUAUCCAAGUCGUAAUGCGCAAAGGUCAGUGUAGUCGAUCCCUGUAACAUUGGAGACUUUGACUAAUAAACUGUACUAAUUUGACCGACCAAAAAUUCUAGAAAAAAAUUUGUAGAUGCAUAUAUGAGUCUAGUUUCAGGGAAAAAUCACGAAGCUGAUUUUCGAGUUGUGAAACUCAAGAUAUGAUUUUUAAGGUGACGGUGACGCAGUUAGCCAGCUUGCCUGGAAAAUUUAAAAUGGAUUGUGCAAAGAAGUGAUUUAAGUCUGCAAACCCCUCGUGUCCGACUCCGGCGACGGACUCGGGUACGGGGUGUUACAAUUUUAUUGGUAUCAAAGCUACGGUUUAGUCGAUUCUAGGACUACCGUAAUGCGUUGGGUCUAGCUAUACAUGCCAUUUUAUGUGAUUAUUUGAUAGUGUGGUGAUUUCUGACAUUUGCAAAUGUGUUUAUUUAUAGUAAUGGAUCCCGAUCCCGACCGAGAGGUAGCUGAUGAUCUUGAGAGUGUAGCGCCUGCUCCCGCACAAGGGACAGCACCGGUGGACUCUCAACCUAAUGCUAGUAACCCGAAUGAUGAAGCUAGACAAGCUUUCUAUAGCGUGAUGAAUGAUUGGUUCAACCAAUACAUUCGAACUAAUACGGCUGUUCCACAACCUCCAUUCCCGAAAAAUACCACCCCCGCACCUACCAUACCUCCGGUAACUGACCAAAUAAGGUUAAAUAAGCCCCCAGUUGACAGAAUCCGAAAACACGGGGCUACUGAAUUUAAAGCCACGGACAGCGAUGAUGCCGAGCAAGCGGAAUUUUGGUUGGACAACACUAUCCGGGUACUAGAUGAACUAUCUUGCACACCCGAUGAGUGCCUAAAGUGUACUAUCUCCUUGCUACGUGAUUCUGCCUACUAUUGGUGGAAUACGUUGACUUCUGUUGUGCCUAGAGAACAAGUAACUUGGGAGUUUUUUCAAACCGAGUUUCGAAAGAAGUAUAUCAGUCAGAGAUUCAUUGACCAAAAACGGAAGGAAUUUCUUGAACUCAAACAAGGUUCCAUGUCGGUUACCGGCUAUGAAUAAAAAUUUGUGAGGCUUAGCCGGUACGCACGAGAAAGCAUUUCCUCAGAAGCCGUGAUGUGUAAACGUUUCAAGGAUGGGCUGAAUGACGAUAUAAAGCUGUAUGUAGGCAUUUUGGAAAUCCGAGAAUUUGUGGCACUUGUCGAGCGAGCUUGCAAGGCCGAGGAGCUCAGUAUGGAGGAAAGAAAAGCUAAGGUGGGAGCAAAGGAGUUUCGUAAGAGGUCUUCGUGGAAUCCCUUCCCACAGUCAUCGAAGAAAUUUAAAGAUGGCUUAGGCCGAUCUAGAGACACUUCAGGCUUUUCUAGACGAGAUCGCGAUCGACCCCCUGUGGAUGCACGAGUCACUUCGGUCGCUAGUGUUGGAAAUGAUCGUCGGGACAGAACGGAGUGCCAGUAUUGUGGUAAAUGGCAUUCGGGGAGUUGUAGAUUUCAUGAUCGCUCCUGUUACAAGUGCGGAUCAGCUGACCACUUCAUUAAGGAUUGCCCGAGGUUGUCUGAACAGAAUAUAAAUCAAAGCGAGAAACCGGGUGCUACCACUGUUCGAGGUAGACCAUCUAGAAAUACGGGCAAUGCUAGGGGUGGUCAGAGAGGAUCUAGGGAUGCUACGACCAGAUCCGAGGCUCGCGCUCCUGCUAGGGCUUAUGCUAUACGCGCACGCGAGGAUGCUUCCUCGCCAGAUGUUAUUACCGGUACUUUUACUCUCUUUGAUACUAAUGUGAUUGCUUUGAUUGACCCUGGUUCUACUCAUUCUUAUAUAUGCGAAACCUUAGCAUCCAGUAAGACUUUACCUAUUGAGUCUACUGAGUUCGUAAUUCGGGUGUCAAAUCCCUUGGGUCGUUACGUGCUUGUCGACAAAGUGUGUAAGAAAUGCCCCCUAGUAAUUCGAGAUUCCUGUUUUUCGGCGAACUUGAUGCUUUUGCCGUUUGAUGAAUUUGAUGUUAUUCUUGGUUUGGAUUGGUUGACCGCGCAUGAUGCGGUUGUGAAUUGCAAAAGCAAGACUAUUGAUUUGAGGUGCGCAAAUAACGAGAUAAUCCGAGUUGAGUCUACGGACUUAAGGGGGUUGCCAGCUGUAAUAUCAGCAAUGUUGGCCCAGAAAUAUGUAAGAAAAGGGUGCGAAGCAUACCUUGCGUAUGUACUUGAUGACAAAGAAUUAGAAAAGAAACCCGAAUCUGUGCCGGUGGUUUGUGAAUACCCGGAUGUUUUUCCUGAAGAAUUACCGGGUUUACCACCUGUUCGGGAGGUAGAGUUUGGUAUUGAGCUUGUACCUGGAACUACGCCAAUUUCGAUAGCUCCGUAUCCUAUGGCACCAACUGAGUUAAAAGAAUUGAAAGCUCAGUUGCAAGAGUUGACGGAUAGAGGUUUCGCUCGACCAAGUUUCUCACCUUGGGGUGCACCAGUAUUGUUCGUGAAAAAGAAGGACGGAACGAUGAGGUUGUGCAUUGACUAUCGUCAACUGAAUAAAGUGACGAUAAAGAAUAAAUAUCCGUUAUCGCGUAUUGAUGAUUUGUUUGAUCAACUAAAGGGAGCCUCAGUGUUUUCAAAGAUAGAUUUGAGAUCGGGUUAUUAUCAGUUGCGGAUUCGAGAUUCGGACGUACCCAAAACUGCUUUCAGAACGAGGUACGGUCACUACGAGUUCUUAGUGAUGCCGUUCGGGCUCACUAAUGCCCCUGCGAUAUUUAUGGAUUUGAUGAAUCGGAUCUUCAGACAGUAUUUGGACCGGUUCGUAGUUGUGUUCAUUGAUGACAUCUUGGUCUAUUCAAGAGAUGAGACCGAACAUGCUGAGCACCUGAGACUAGUGUUGCAAAUUUUGCGGGAUAAGCAGUUAUAUGCUAAGUUCAGUAAGUGUGAGUUCUGGUUAAGAGAGGUUAGCUUCUUGGGUCAUGUGGUAUCGCAUCGGGUAUUCGAGUUGACCCGAGCAAAGUUUCAGCCAUACUUAACUGGAAGCCUCCAAGAAAUAUUACCGAAGUUCGGAGCUUCCUGGGGCUCGCCGGUUAUUAUCGACGAUUUGUAAAAGGUUUCUCGAUGAUAGCCACACCAAUGACGAAGCUACUUCAAAAGGAUGUUAAGUUCGAAUGGACGGAGAAAUGUCAGAAAAGUUUCGAUCAACUGAAAACUUAUUUGACUGAAGCUCCAAUUUUAGUGCAACCCGAAUCAGGCAAAGAGUUUGUCAUUUAUAGUGACGCAUCCCUACUUGGGUUGGGUUGCGUAUUGAUGCAAGAAGGUCGAGUUGUGGCCUAUGCGUCGAGACAAUUGAAGCCACACGAGAGAAAUUAUCCGACCCAUGAUCUCGAACUAGCUGCCAUCAUAUUUGCUUUGAAAAUAUGGUGACAUUAUUUGUUUGGUGAGAAGUGCCAUGUAUUUUCGGAUCACAAAAGUCUCAAAUAUUUGAUGACCCAGCGAGACUUGAAUCUGCGACAAAGGCGUUGGCUUGAGUUGUUGAAAGAUUAUGAGCUUGUCAUUAAUUAUCACCCGGGAAAGGCUAAUGUGGUUGCGGACGCCUUAAGCCGGAAAUCACUGUUUGCUUUGCGAGCGAUGAAUGUACACUUGUCUGUUCUACCCGACAAUGUGUUAGUAGCUGAAUUAAAAGCCAAACCAUUAUUGAUUCAUCAAAUUCGUGAAGCUCAGAAAGUCGAUGAUGAAUUGGUUACAAAACGGGCUGAGUGUGUUCCGAACAAGGAAUCGGAGUUUCAAAUUGAUGAUGAUGAUUGUUUGAGGUUCAGAAGUCGUUUGUGUGUUCCAAGGAAUUCGGAACUCAUUUCGAUGAUUCUGAACGAAGCCCAUUGUAGCCGAAUGUCAAUUCACCCGGGGAGUACGAAAAUGUACAACGAUUUGAAACGUCAGUUUUGGUGGCAUGGUAUGAAACGAGACAUCUCUGACUUUGUUUCGAGAUGUUUAAUAUGUCAACAAGUGAAAGCAGAACAUCAAGUGCCUUCAGGAUUACUUCAGCCGAUCAUGGUACCUGAAUGGAAAUGGGAUCGAGUCACGAUGGAUUUCGUAUCUGGGUUGCCAGUAUCGGCAAGUAAGAAAGAUGCGAUUUGGGUUGUUGUGGAUAGACUGACUAAGUCGGCUCACUUUAUCCCCGUACGUAUGGAUUUUUCAUUAGAUAAACUAGCUGAAUUGUAUGUUUCUCAGAUUGUGAGAUUACACGGGGUACCGAUUUCUGUUGUGUCGGAUAGAGAUCCGAGAUUCACCUCGCGAUUUUGGAAGAAAUUGCAAGAAGCUUUGGGUACCAAGCUGCACUUUAGCACCGCUUUUCACCCUCAAACCGAUGGUCAAUCCGAGCGGAUAAUUCAGAUACUUGAGGAUAUGUUGAGAUGUUGCAUCCUCGAGUUCAGCGGUUCAUGGAAACGGUAUUUACCUUUGAUUGAAUUCGCUUACAAUAAUAGUUUUCAAUCAAGUAUUAAGAUGGCACCUUACGAGGCUUUGUACGGGCGUAAAUGCCGCACACCAUUGUUUUGGAUCGAGCUCGGUGAAAGCAAAAUUUUCGGAGUUGAUUUGAUUAAAGAUGCUGAACAGAAAGUAAAGGUAAUCCGUGAAAGUCUGAAGGCAGCCACAGAUCGUCAGAAAUCGUAUGCGGAUUUGAAACGAAAAGACAUUGAAUAUCAGGUGGGAGAUAAAGUGUUUCUUAAAGUUUCGCCUUGGAAAAAGAUACUCAGAUUUGGCCGUAAGGGCAAGUUGAGCCCGAGAUUCAUUGGGCCGUACGAAAUCUCCGAACGAGUUGGUCCGGUUGCGUAUAGAUUGAUUUUGCCCCCUGAACUUGAAAAGAUUCACGAUGUCUUUCAUGUUUCGAUGCUUCGACGUUAUAGAUCCGAUCCGUCACAUGUGAUUAAUCCCUCAGAAGUUGAAAUUCAAUCUGACUUGAGUUAUGAAGAAGAACCGAUUCGUAUCCUAGCUCGUGAAGUGAAAGAGUUGCGAAACAAAAGGGUUCCAUUAGUUAAGGUGUUAUGGCUCAAACACGGGAUCGAGGAAGCUACUUGGGAAACCGAGAGCUCGAUGAAAGAACGAUACCCAAACCUAUUUACCGGUAAGAUUUUCGGGGACGAAAAUUUCUUAAGUGGGGGAGAGUUGGGACAGCCCUAAAGUGACCCUAGUCGGAAAGCGGUCUCGGGACCGCUAGACCGAGUCACCAAAUUAUUUGAAUGUGAUAAUUAUUGCCUAAAAUAUGUGAAUAAAAAUGUGUGAAAGUUUUAAGCUUCGAUUUAGUUAAUUGCAUGUGAAUUUAGUUGAUAGGACUUAUGUGAGAAAAUUUAGAAAUGUGCUAGGCAAAUGCAAGUGGCCUAAUAGUGCAUGUAAUCAAAGGGGUGGACUUGCAUGUCAAUUUCCCCCCAUUUAAGUACUAAUGGCCGGCCAUGACAAGGGAUGAUGGGCAAAACAUGUCAUGAAACAUGUUGUGUUAAUGGAAAAAUAAAAUAAGAAGCAUGGGCAAAACAUGUCAUGAAACAUGUUGUGUUAAUGGAAGAAUAAAAUAAGAAGCAUGGGCAAUAAACUAAUAAGAAAUUGAAGGAAGAAAACAAAGAGAAAAAAAUGUGUUCAUCAUUCUCAUGCAUGACCAAAAAAAAGAAGAAGAGAAAAGCUCUCAUGUUGUUCUUGGCCGAAUAGGAGAAAGAAAAAGAAGGAAAAAGAGCUUUGAGGAAAUCGGCUAUGGUGGUUUGAUAGACUAAGGUAUGUUUGAUGAUGUUCCAUGAGAUGCAUGCAUGUUUUAGUAGUUAGCUUGACUUCUAAAUAGCCCAUGGUUCAAAUCUUUACUAUGUCAUGGAGAUAAUAUUCGGCCAAGGUGGAUUGGUGUUGAUAUCAUUUGCAUGCUAAAAGUGAAGCUUUGUAAUGGUGCAUGUGAUGGUGGAUUGAUGAUUCUUGAAUCUUCUUUUUAGCAUUUUUGAGUGAGACAUUAAGUUCUUUGUUUAACCGUGACCAAAAAUUGAAAUGGUAUGGUGUUGUGAUGCAAUCGGCCCCAACAUAGACAUGUAUGUUCGGCCACAUGAAUAAGUACAUAAGUUAUGUGUAUGUUCGGCCAUAGGUAGCCUAUUGAUGGCUUUAGCUUGACUUAGAAAAUUCGGCUAAGGGGAAAUAUUAGCUAGUAUGUUGAAUUCGAUUCGUGAUUUCGUACAUAUGUGACUCUAGUGUCUAAUGUAUAUAUGGGCUAAGUACCUUGAGCUUCUCUUUUGAUGUUCGAAUGAAUUGUAUUAAAUUGCUUGAUGUGAUUAAAAAUGCGUAUGACCAUUGUGUAUUUGAGCUAAAAGGUGGCCAUAUGACCUAUCAAACUCCUUGUCAUAUCCGGCCAUAAGCUAGCAAAAUGAAACUUUAAUGAGUUAAAUUUGUUUGAAUUAAGCUCAAGAGCAAAGGGGAACUAAAUCCGAUAAAUGGAAGGAAAAAGUGGUCGAAUAGCCGUCGAAACCGUUCGACAACAUCCGAGGUAAGUUCUUGAGUAAUAGAGCUUAAAUUAUGAUUUGAUUAGAUCAUGUUUUAAGCAAAUCAAAAUCAUGCUCCUUGUGUGUGGCUAUUGAGCCGAAAUUGCAAGAGUGAUAAGUGUCUUGUGUUUGAGUUUUGCUAAUGAAAAUGAAAUACGAAUGUGUCAUGAUUUAUUGUUAAAUGUGCAUGGUUAUUCGAAUGAUGUCCGGGCUAAGUCCCGAAGGCUUUGUGCUAAGUGACCAUAUCCGGACUAAGAUCCGAAGGCAUUUGUGCGAGUUACUAAAUCCGGGUUAAGUCCUGAAGGCAUUUGUGCGAGUUACUAUAACCGGGCUAUGUCCCGAAGGCAUUUGAACGAGUAGCUAUAUCCGGUUAAAUUCCGAAGGUACGUGAUUUGGGAAUGAAUGAUCUUGCUGUAAAAAUUUCAGUUAAUACGCUUGAAACAUCCCAACAUUGAGAUAUGUUUCGUAUGUGCUUUGAAUUAGUUGAGCCCUUACAAAUAAGUAUUCGCUCAGUUGAUAAAUGAGCUACCGGCCUUUGGCUAAGUUGAUCUUUGUGUAUGAAGAAAAGGGUUGGUAAUGUGAAGUAAGUAUGAUAUUGAAAAUUUGUGCAUAUGAAAUUAUCUGUUUAGCUACAUGAAUGCUAUACUUUGGUUGUGUCUAAAUUCUUUGCUCAAAACUUACUAAGCAUUUAAUGCUUACUCCGUUUCUUUGAUUCUCUGUUUUAUAGAUUUUGGUUCUUCAGCUAUCGGACUCGGGAUUUUGAAGUCGAAGUCGCCCACACUAUCAAAGCCCCCUUUUGGUACAAUUUUGGUUGAACUUCGAAAUGGCAUGUAUAGGACUACCCUUUUUGUUGUGGGUCAUGGACCCUUUGGAUUUGUAUAAUUUUGGAUAGUCAUGCGAAAAUGGCUUAUAUAUGUUUGAGCAUAAUGUUAUACUCAUUUGGUAUGGAUAUGCUUAACAAGGAUUGGCCAUGGGAAUGGUUAAUCACUAUCAUAAUUUGUGCUAUUUAUGCUAAAAGGGCUAGUUGAAUCAUGGAAACUAUGAAAUAGGUAAAGUCUACCUUAAAGGCAGAUGCUGACAGCAGCAGUGAUGUAGAUUUGGAAAAUCACUAAAAAUAUUAGGAAUUAAAUUAAAUAGUGAAUAAAUUAUGCAAACGAACCUUGAUGAAUCUAUUUUCAUAGGAAAGUAACGAAACGUUCAUAGGAACAGUAUAUUAUGAGAUGCUAAAGUUUUCGUGAGACAGGGCCAGAACGGUUUUUGGAUUCCCUGUUCCGACUUUGGAAAUUCAUUAUAAAUUAACCAGAGAUAAUUAGAAGUCUUGCCAUAUAUGAAUAGAUUCCUUUUUGAGUAUAGUUUCUAUAGAAACAAACGGCAUCAGUAUUGAAGCCCUGUAAAGGGAGAUAUCCAAGUCGUAAUGCGCAAAGGUCAGUGUAGUCGAUCCCUGUAACAUGGGAGACUUUGACUAAUAAACUGUACUAAUUGGCCCGACCAAAAAUUCUAGAAAAAAAUUUGUAGAUGCAUAUAUGAGUCUAGUUUCAGGGAAAAAUCACGAAGCUGAUUUUCGAGUUGUGAAACUCAAGAUAUGAUUUUUAAGGUGACAGUGAUACAGUUAGCCAGCUUGUCUAAGUCUGCAAACCCCUCGUGUCCGACUCCGGUGAGGGACUCGGGUACGGGGUGUUACAUGUACCAUUUUCUUGCUAUACUGUUCAAGAUUAUAUAUAUGGGGCCUCUUUGUCUCUAGUUUAGUUGUAUUCAUUAUUGACUUAAUUAUGCACCUGCAUAUUUUUUACAUGCUUUCUAGUUUCUUUCAUGCUCUAUGAGUAAUACUUAAGCAAACAUUAUAUUUCAUUUGCAGGAGGAGCAGAUCCUACCUUAUCUGUGGAUGCUUUAGAGAAAAUGCUGGAAGAUCCAACAGUGCAGAAGAUGGUUUAUCCGUAAUAUAGCUUCUUUUCCUUGAAUAUUCUUUUCCUGAAGUUUUUUUAAAUUGAUUUCAUCUUAGUGUGCCCUGAGGGGUGGUGGAAAUUUGUGCUCCUGCCUGAAAUGUGCAUUAUAUAAUACUUAUUCUUUGGAAUAGUUACCUAACACAAGGCCUGUCAAAUUAUUUCUUACAUCUUUCCUUGUACAAUAUGUUUUAGGCAUCUCAAUGUUUUUGAUGAAUAAACAUGAUAUUGCUGCUUUUAUCAACAUACUAGUUAACUAGUCCUGCUCUUUUGUCCCUACACCCUUUACGCCCCUUAAUGAUUUUAAUGCCUAUUUACCCUAGUGUACUGAACUGUGGAUGUUGCUGGUUAAAACUGAGUUAUCUUCUUUGUUGCCUCUUCUUUUCUUUUCUUUUUCCAGCAACAUUCUAACAUUCAGAGCUUAAGCAAAAACCUUUUUUCAUCAAUGCGACCAUUGUCAUUUCUCCUAAAUCUUGUGGACCUUGCCCAAGAUGUUAGUGAUUGAAAGCUGGCAUCAGAUCUACCGUUAGUCAUUUCUCCUCAUCUUUUUUGUGAACCUUGCUUAUGAAGUCGGUGAUUGAGAGCUAACAUCAGCUAUCUCCUAUUAGUGCUUUUGGAAAAUGAGAUCCUUGCAAGUUACAUUGAAGGCAAAGAUAGUAGACUUCCAUAUAUUACAUGAACGUUCACCAGGAUAAGCCAUGGUAAUAAGUUAAGUUGGCUAAAAAAAUCCCUCAAAAAACUUUGAAGGUGUAAAUUAUAUUAUAAAGCCUUUUCCAGAUUUUCACAUCUGGAAGUCAUUUGUCAAUUUGAAAUUAGAGGUCAGUUGUGGUAGAAGCUGUCUGGUUAUGGUUAGGUUGUUAGAACUUAAAAGAGAGAAAAGGGAGGGGAGUGCUUGGAUGGGAUCUUUCUUUAGUAGAUAUUUGUCAAUAAACUGAAUUAACCUUUCAUUGCAAUCUUUGUUUUAUCUAGUGAAAGGAAAUUUAAUCUUUUAUUUAUCCGUACAGGUAUUUACCUGAGGAAAUGAGGAACCCUGAGACUUUUAAAUGUAAGUCCACACUUUGGAUAACACUGCUCUCCUCUGUUUUUCUGUUCUUUCUUUUUGGCUGAGGGCGAUGGUUAGCAAGGAGUAGGGAAGGUAGGUUUUUAUGGUCUCUGUAAAAUAUAUCAUAUGUUAAAAUCAUAGGUGACAUAUCUUUUUUCUGGUUAAGGAGUUAAUGCCUUUACUUGUUCUAUGAAGUUUCAGUUUUAAUUAAUUUCAUUUUUAAGUUUCUGUAUCCUGAAAAAACUUGUUUCGUUUCCCAGGCAAAUUUAGUAGAACUAUUUGUUUGCAAAUUUCUUUGGUCUUUUGAUGAAUAAACUCUGCUGCAAUUUUAUGGAUAUCAUUUUAUAUAUUCCAAUUUUCUUACUGUCGUGCAUAUUUUUCUAUUAGGGAUGCUACAAAAUCCUCAGUACCGUCAACAACUGCAAGACAUGCUGUUAGCUUCCUACUGACCUUCUGCAUUUGAUUACUUUUAGGGGUUUUCCUUUCUCUUGAUUUACACUUGUCACAAGCACUGUCCCCAAAGAGAAUUUAUUGUUGCUUGCUUCUUGUCUAGUUCUAUUACAGUUGUCUUGCUCACUAUUGUAUCUGGACUUUUUAAUGUAUGAUUCCUGUUCUUCUUUUCUUCUUACAGAUUGUUUGAAUGGAGAGUUGGAAUAUGAUGAAAUUAGAAAUGAAUACUCUAAUAUAUUGAGGAAAAAUUCACUCGGAACUAUUAUUUCUCAAAAAUAUUUAUAGAUAUAUACAUGAAGCACUGAAUCAUGUAAGGAAAGAACAUCUCUAAUUAGAAUCUCUAAAAAUCAGCUAUAAUCCCUAAGCACCCCCCCUAAGGUUGGUGGUGCAUAGAUGUCUCGCAUGCCCACAUUGCAAAGAAGAUUAUGAUAAGUCUUACAGUUGAGCUCUUUAGUAAAAACAUCAGCCAACUGUCUUUAGGAUGCUAGAUAACAUAGCUUAAGACACUACUGGCUACUUUUUCCUUGAUAAAAUGACUAUCUAUUUCGAUGUGCUUGGUCCUAUCAUGUUGCAUUGGAUUUUGAGCUAUGUUGAUGGUUGCUUUGUUAUCACAGUAUAAGGUUGAUCCAUUUUCAUUCAACAACUUUAGCUAUUCCAAUACCUUUUGCAGCCAUAAAAGCUCACAAACACUUUGAUUCAUGGCCCUAUAUUCAGCCUCUGCACUUGAUCGAGUAAUAACACUUUGUUUCUUACUCCUCCAAGUGACUAAGGGCACAUUUGGUUCACUGUAUUGGAUUAGAGGUGUAAUGGAAUAGAGGUGUAAUAGAAUAGAGGUGUAAUAGCAAAUCAACUGUUUGGUUGAAUGUAAUGGAAUAGAGGCGUAAUAGUAAUCUUGUGUUUGGUUGAAUGGAAUAGAGGUGUAAUAGCAUAAUGGAAAAAACUAAAAUGACUAGAAUACCCUUAGCAUAAAUUUAUUUUGGUAAAUGAUUAUUGUUAUUGUUAUUUAAAGUUUAAUAAGAUUAUUAUUAUCAAUAAUAAAUAAUUUAAUCAUAUUUAAACAUAAUUAUUAUUAAAUAUAUUAAAUAUAUUAUAAUUAAAAUAUAUAAUUUAAUAAAAUUCUUAAUAAUCAAUAUUCUUAUAUGAAUUUAUAUACUCAUUUCCUUUUAUAUAUUAAUAUACCACAUUAACCGGUUUAUAUUUAUAUCAAUGGCACAAAAAAUUUGGGAGAAGAUUUUUGAGGACUGCUUUUGUUUGCAAAUAACAUCAUUCAUUCUGUAGGGAAAAAAUUAUGCAUGAGCCUGCUUAUUGAUUACUUUUUUUAUUUUGUACUGAAGUAGUUGCCACUGGUUCAAAAGUCGAUAUAUAUGUAAUAUUAUUAAAAUAAUAUUUUUAUUUUAAUUAUUUAAAAAUAUUUUUAAUUAAUGCAGUGUAUAUGAAUAUACACAUUUAAUUAGUUUUAUUUUUAAUAAAAUUUUUCUAAUUUAUUCAUUCAAUUUUAAUCACCUUACAAUUUAUUGUAUUAUAUCUACUGAUCCAAUUUUAAUAUAUUGAAUAUUUGUUUUUUAAUCAAGUUCUUUACUUGAUUAUAUCUAAUGUUCCAAUUUUAAAAAAUUCGAUUAAAAUUUUCGAACUACAUCAACUUAAGAAAUUCGAUCCCAAAUUCAAAUUAAAUAUACCAAUAAAAAUCAACUUACUACAUCACCACUUGCAAAAUAUAACUCUCCAAACAUUACUAUGGAGUAAACAAAAAAAAAAACUGAACAUAUAUAUGUCUUACAAUUUUUCUUUAGUUUAGAAGGUUUGAUAAGUUACCAAACCUCUUGAAUUGCAACUACAGCUUCAGCUUGCCAACGAUUUAUGUCUGGAGCAAAUCGGUAGCUAACAGUCCAAUACCUACAAAAUUCCACAUAGAACAUCAAUUUACUGGAACAACAGUGGUCAGAAUAAUAAUAUAUGACUUAUGUAACUAUUACACAAGUAAUGGUACUAUGACUUGAGAACAAUUCAGGGACAACAUGAAACUGAAAAAAGAUCAUCAAUACAAACUACUACAGCAGCAAUAAAAUUAUUAUUGCAAUUCCACCCAAAGUAUAUGGACGACAUCCCAUUGCCUCAGCACUAACAUAGCACAUUAUUUUUCUUAAUUGAACAAUUGGGCAAUAAACUGAUUUAAACAACAAAGUUGAGUUAGUAAAGGAAGAUAUGGCAGCUAUUAAAAAAACAUAUCUUACAUCUAGAUCAUACUUUUUAAAACAAUCUUCACAUAGUGCCCUAUCAUAUGUCCUCUUUGUUUUAUUUAUUUUCCACAUUAGCAUGUUGCAUCAAAGCUGGACAUUGACAACAAAUAUGCCCCUCACUAUAAUCACUAAGGAGGAAAUAUUUAUAUUGGUAGACAGUGUCAUACUGGUUGGAAAACUACUGGUUUUUUGUUGAGUUAGGAGCUCUGUCAAUGGAAGAAACAAAUGUAUAAUGAUUUGGUACCGGAAGAGACAACCGAAGCAAUGAGCCCAAUGAAGUUAAACAUAAUUUCAAAUAACUUCAGAGGGUUCUAGCAAGCAGUGAAAGAUUUUAUAGGUUCUGGAAAACAAAUGCAAAUCGAAACUCAAUCAUUCGGUUAGUUGAUUGUGUGGUUCUGUUUUGGUUUUAGAAGUGUUCAAACCAUCGUGAGGCAAUCUUAAUGUAGAAGACAUGAAAUAUUAUAGUUUGUGCGGAAAUGUGCAUAAAAUAUUGUGUAUUGUUGUUGUAUUUGAUUGUGGAGCAUAUGCACAGUAAUCCCAGAAUUUGUAAUUGAUAACUCAAGGAAUAGAUAUGAUUCUGCAUUUACCUGUUACAAAAUGGUUAAGUUGAUGUUUAUCGAUGCUUAAUGUAGGCUAGCAAGCAGGUUGAGGACGCUCCCAAGAAGAUAAUCAGAGUUCAAAAGCGAUGUUGGAGAUCCAUACCACAUUUGUCGAAGCCAGGAGAAACAACUUCGAACUUGAUGAAACCAAACAGAAAAUCCCCACAGCCUGAAAUAGUGGAUGGUAACAACAUGCUAUUGUAUUCUCCCUAACUCAUUCCUUAAAUAUAAAUAGGUUUGUGCAAGCAGGGUAAACCGAAUAGCUUGCAUAGGCAACUCUAGUUUGCAAAUCCAAUGAAAAUAGUUGAUGAUAAGUGAGAUAUCAAACGAAAAGCUUUUGAUAUGAUAACAAAAAGAAGUAAUUCAGAUUGAGCUAAUGACCACAUGAUAGUCUUAAGAUGUGGAAGAUAGAUGGUAGGAAAUCAUUUUCACUCGCUCUCUUCUGAAUCAUCACCACUACUGUCUUGUGAAUCAAUUUUCAAAGCCUUCACAGCAUUGCUUGCUUUAAAAUGUUCAACAGCCUUGUCAAAAGUGCACCUCACAUGCCUACACAUCAACAUCAGAUUUUGACAUGCAUCUUUCAAUACCUCUCUUGCUGGAUCACCUGUAAAUUUUCACAUAGAACAACUAAAGGAACUUGAACCCAACCAAAGUACUUGAAAAAGAGUGUUAUAUUGAGUUUACCAGUGGUUUGAACUCUAAUAUUAACUUGAGCCUCUGAAGGAUGAGGAAUACUGUAGCCACAGAAUGUAACCCUUGGGCUGCACAACAUAAAAAGGAUAGCUUCCACUUUCAAUACAAUCACUUAAAACAAAGAAAACCCAGCAUGAAUCAAAGCCAAAAACAGAGGUGAAUGAACUGACUCUUGAUUCAAAGUGAAUCUAACAGCAUUAGCUAUGGUAUGAUCCUUAUCAGUUAAAGAAAAAGUGGCAGCACUAUUAUCAGUGAAAGACCCGUGUUCCAUUGUUUCCUUUAAUCCAAUUUCUAAAUCUCCAAACCAAGAAACAAAACUAUUAAAAGGAUGAAAUUGAAUCCAAUAAUCAUUGGGAAAACAUAUUUUUAAAUACAAAAUAAGGUUGUAUCUUCCUUACCGGUUCCAAUGGACAGGACACAGUUUCACCGAUGGAGAGGAACGGAAAACGUGAGAAAGUGGCUCCUUUCUGAUCGGUGUUCGAAGUCCAGUUGUGACGCCAAAGAGAGGUAAGACAGAAAGGUAGAAGCGUGAAUCGGUGGAGAUAGAAAGGUAAGACAGAAAGGUGAUGAGAGUGGAGAAGAAAGGUAGAAGGAAGAAACAGAAGACAGUGGAUUUUGGGCAAGACAAAAGCGUGAAUCAGGAGGGUAAAAUAGGGACCAAAACUCAAUCCGGACCUAAACUGAGCACAAGGAAGGGAUUAGAAAUCGGUGGAAUUUGGGGAUUAGAUCAGUAAUUUAAUAGACCCGUAUUAGGCUAAUACACCCAACCAAACAAUGUAUUGAGUGGGGCCCACAAUUAGGGGUGUAAUGGCUAUGCCAAUACACCCAACCAAACAUGGUGUUAGGAUAUACGGAACUGAUACAGAGGUGCAUUAUUAUGCACUAUUAAACAGAAAGCACUAAAGUAUUAUACAGAGAACAUAAAUGUGCUAAUAAUUAGAGAGCACUUAAUAUCCUAAUAGUUCUAAUCUCGUCUACUUGGGUAAGUUAUUUAAUUCUUGUACCACUAAUCUAUAUAUUUAUAUCUUCUCCACCUUUAAUACAUGUAUUAUAUUUCAAAAUUCAUUAUUCAUCCAUAAUUUUCUAGUAAUCCAUAUCAUGUACUUCAUAUAUCACGUUUACAUGUUUUGCAAUUUAGUCAUCAGCACAAUAUUUCUUGUAGCAAAAUAAUACACUUUCUAAAUAUGCAUGCAAAAUAGAAUAAUAACCGGUCAUAAACCGACCAGACCAACAGGGCUUUCGUCUAACAUUAUAAUUAGCUAACAUUCUCUCAACAUAAGAACUCUAUCAGAACUGAACAAUUACACAUACAUAUCUCUGAGAAUAAAAGAAUAUAUAUAAUAUCAAGAAAAGAUCAUCAUGUUCAUUUCGACUGUAACCUUCACACACAGACAUCUUUACCACUUAAUUAUCAUUUCUCUGACUAAUUCUGUUAUCACACUUUAUUCCAUUCACUAAAAAAAACUUUAAAUUAACACAUACAUUCUUUUAAGUAUCAUACCUCAAUAUUUUGUCUCAUAAAAUUUAACUUCUUCUUUAUUUACUCUCUCACUUGUUUACUUACUUGCUUGCUUAAACAACUCAUGAUUAUAACUUACUCCUUCCUUAUUCAAAUUCUUUUCUUAACUGAUAACUAAAAUAUUCUUAACCCUUAUACUCACCUAAAUCUAUUUAUCAUACCUUUACCUGAACUUUCAUGUAACAUAAUUUCUUUACUAGCCGUUGAAUUACUUGAAAUACUAAAGAUACUCAAGUCUCUUAUCUGAAUAUAACAUGCCAAAGCUUUGUCCCAGAUAUAGUCUUACAUGGGAUGUUUCCUAUACUGCCAAUUCCAUAUCCCAAGUAUGGUUUUACAUGAGAGUUCUCAUAUCGGUGCCCAUGCCAUGUCCCAGACAUGGUCUUAUGGGGGACCUCUCAUCUCGGUGCCAACGCCAUGUCCCAAACAUGGUCUUACAUGGGACCUCUCAUCUCGGUGUCAACGCCAUGUCCCAGACAUGGUCUUACAUGGGACCUCUCAUCUCAGUGCCAACGACAUGUCCCAAACAUGGUCUUACAUGGUAGUUCUCAUAUCAGUGCCCAUGCCAUGUCCCAGACAUGGUCUUAUGGGGGACCUCUCAUCUCGGUGCCAACGCCAUGUCCCAGACAUGGUCUUACAUGGGACCUCUCAUCUCGGUGUCAACGUCAUGUCCCAGACAUGGUCUUACAUGGGAUCUCUCAUCUCAGUGCCAACGUCAUGUCCCAAACAUGGUCUUACAUGGUAGUUCUCAUAUCGGUGCCCAUGCCAUGUCCCAGACAUGGUCUUAUGGGGGACCUCUCAUCUCGGUGCCAACGCCAUGUCCCAGACAUGGUCUUACAUGGGACCUCUCAUCUCAGUGCCAACGCCAUGUCCCAAAUAUGGUCUUACAUGGGACCUCUCAUCGGACCUCUCAUCUUGGUGCCAACGCCAUGUUCCAGACAUGGUCUUACAUGAGACCUCUCAUCUUGGUGCCAACGCCAUAUCCCAGACAUGGUCUUACAUGAGACCUCUCAUAAUUUCAAUAAUGCCAAUGUCAUGUCCCAGACAUGGUCUUACACUGGCUCACAUAUCGAUGUCGAUGUCAUGUCCCAGACAUGGUCUUAUACGAGAUCGCACGUUGAUGCUAUAUCCCAGAUAUGGUCUUAUACGAAAAUUACAUAUCAGAUGUUGCCACGGUCCAACCAUGGUCAUUUCUGUCAAUUCAUUACAUAUCACUGAACAAAAGUACUCAUUCCUAUGUUUUACUCAAUUUGAUCUUUCAAUUCAAUUUUCAUACUAUUAUAAUAUUCAUGGUUCAAUAGCAAAGACAUAAAACAAACAUCAUAUUAUUUCUAAUUUAACAAUUAAACAUAAGAUUCUAUCAUAUAAACAUACUGAUUACACUUAUUCAAGCAAGUGUACGUAAACAUACAUUCCAUCUAUUUGUGUAUAUUUACUUACCUUAUUUACUUAAUCAAAUAUGUUGAGCACAUAACAUCAUAUGCGCGCCAAGCAAACGCAGAUGAGCAUAUCACCAUAUAAACUUUCAUUUUAUUCUACGUUUCUACAUUUCUCAACUCAUGGUUGUGUUACUUCAUACGUUAACACAUACUCAUCAUGAAUUUUCUAUUCAUAUCUUUCUAAAUUCCGUUUCAUCAUAAACAUAUUUCAAUUACCUCAACAUCAAUUUUUUUUAGCAUUAUUGGAAACAACUCGGAUAGAAGUCAUCUUUGUCUUACAAAACAAUUUCAUUGGAGUUGAAAGAUAUUAAAUUAUCACGAGUAAUAAUAUGGCAUGUAUAACUAAACUUACAUACGCUAUGUUAGUUCGAGAACCGACUAAACCAUAGCUUUGAUACCACUAAAGUAACACCCCAAACCCGAUCUAAACGUUAUGACCGAAUCUGGCGAUGUCACAUUUUAACACCCCUUACCCGUAUUCGACGCUCAAAUAAGGUACGAGGCAUUACUAGAAGACAUACAUUUGCAUAUGUAUUAAACCGAGUUACAACAUUUCAUCCGAAUUAAAACUUUUAAAUUAUUAACGUGCUUUUAUAAUUCUUUACAACAUAUCCUCGAAAUAUUAUAUUCAUAACAAAUAGGGCCUACGAGACCCGAUAUUUACUCAUGUAAUUCAAAGCUUCAUUUCCAUUUCAUUCAAUUUACAAUUUCUCAUGUUCACAAUUCAAAUCAAUUUCUCAAUCCAAUAUUUAUAUUUAAAUCAUCAAGAAUAUAAUUCAAGUUACACGAACUUACCAGGCUAAAUUGCAGAAAUACCAACCUCAAAUUUUCACCCAAUCUUGAUAUAAAUUAAUAUUUCAUUCAAUUUAUUAAUUUAAAUAAUAAAACAAUUCAUUUCAUACAAUUUGGUCACUUUUUGACAUUUUUACCAAUUUACCCUUAACAUACUACUUUUAUUCAAUUUAGUCCUUGAACCUAAAACAUUCAAAUUGGUCAUUUUUAAUGAGAACUCAUGCUAUUUGAAUAAUCAUUUCUUUUCCUCCUCCUCUGCAUUCCACAUCCUUAAUGUAUAAUAUGCUUAUAUGUAACAUUAUUUAUAAUUCCACCAUUUAUUUAUAUAUUAAUUCAAAGCUGUCCACUUGAGUCAUAGUCACUAAAUUAUUUAUAUCUUUAGCUACGGAACUCCAAAUUAAGCUCCGCUAAAUUCCUAUGAAACUAGACUCACAUAUAUUCUUACCAUAAGAUUUUUAUAAUUUUUUGUUUGGCCAAUAAGUACAGUUUAUUCUAUAAAGUUUCCCCUGUUUCACUGUUUGACAGUUCCGACCCCUCUUCACUAAAAAUUAAUUAUCUCUUUGUACAGAAUUUGGAUGAUGUUUCUGUUUAUUUCUAUUGAAAAUAGACUCAUUCAAGAUUUUUAACAUAUAAAUUUAAGCCUCUAAUUUUUUUUGUUAAAUUUUUUAUGAUUCUCCAAAGUCAAAACAGGGGAACCCGAAUUCAUUCUGACCUUGUCUCACAAAAUUUAUUAUAUCUCAUGAUUUACAAUUCCAUUGCUUAAACCAUUUCUUCUAUGAGAAACUAGAUUUAAUAAGAUUUAAUUCCAUAUUUUUCUCAUCCUCUAAUUCGAUUUCCACAAUUUACGGUGAGGUUUAAAAUUUAACCUAUUGCUGCUAUCCAAAACUGUUUUAAUGCAAGAUAUUGAUUACUAAGUUUAUAACUCCCUAAUUCCCUUUCUCUAUAAUAUUUCCCACAAUUUUCACUUAUUUCCCUUCACUAAUAUAUCAAGAACAUAAGACUUUAUUUAAGAAAACUCGACUAUAACAUCAUUUCCAUGCUUUUUCAACAAUAACAAACUUAAAAAUAUAUUGAAAUCUUGAUGUUCUUACCUUGUGCUAUUGAUUUCAAUCUUUAACUUGAUUUUCUCUCUCCUCCAGCUUCUAUUUCUUGAAUCUAACUUGACAUUAUAGCUCCCCAUUGUCUCCUUAUUAUUUUUCUCUCUUGGAAGCUAUGGAAAUUCUUUUCAUUUCUAGGUGAAAAUAGUGAAUUUUUGGUGAAAGGACCAAAUUGUAAAGAAAGCAAAACUUUCUUUCUUCUCUUCUCUUCUAACGUUGGUUGCAUGGAAAGAUGAUAAUUUUUUCAUCAUCCUUCCUCCUUUUUAUAUUAAUCAUCUAAUAAUAAAAUAAUACCAAAGAUAUUAAUAAAAUAUUAAUUAAAUAACAUUUAUCUAAUUAAUUAAUUAAAAAUAUCACAAACAUCAUCAUUACCUUUUAGAAUUCUCUCUCUAUUUGACCAUUUUGCCCUUUAUAAUCUUUUGAAAUUCCAUCCUUGAGUCAUCACUUAAUUUGAUAAAAUUGUAAUUUGGUCACUCAAAAUUCUUCACCUUUUUAAUUUGGUCCUAAUUCAUCCAUUUUCUGUAGUUUCUAGAUUAUUCCACCCUUAAAAUAGUUACACUAUUAGUCCUUAAAAUUUUUCAUAUUUACACUUUAACCCCACAAAUUUUGAUUAUUUACUCUUGGGCAACAAAACUUUUCCCACUUUUCAAUUUAAUCCUUUCUUGAAUUAAUAUGUCAUAAUAUACUUCCCGAUGUUGACAUAACUCAAUAUUACCCUUUUUAUCACUUUAUUUCCUUAUUUUACUAUAUCAAGGAUAUUAUCUUACUUUCUUACUGUAGUGAUUUUCAGGGUAUUACAAAACUCAAAUGCAUUUAACUCAAAUUACCUUUCAAAUGAAUGACCCACACUAAUUAAAACAACUAAGUCAAUUUUAUCUAUCGAAUAAUAACAUUUCAAAAUAAUCCUUUGUUCUUGUUGUCAAGACAACCCAGACAUUCAAUCUAUCAUAAUUCCCUCAUAAAACCAAUCAAAAAUCUCAACAAAUUGCCUUAAGUCAAACGAAACAUAACAUCUCGUUUUAACUCGUUGACAUAAAUUUAGAUUACCUGAGGAAUGAGAACCGAUAUACAAGUUUAAGCUCGAUCUUCCACCAUUCUACACUUUUGUUGUUGACUAUCCUUUCAUGAAAGCUAGAAAUGAGAUGUAUAAUAAAACUAUUUCAACUAAUAACAUCGAAACUUUAAAUCACACAAAAUCCGCCACCAUCGGAUGAAUUAAAAGCACAGUGCUAUAAUGAAAUCGGCCUUGCAAUUGUAUAGAUAAAACAAUACCUCAAAUAUCAAUAGUGUAAUUCGAGACCAAAGAGAAAAAACCAAAUGUAGUCCCAAUAACAACUAGUGUAGUAAUACCACCUCUAUAAUCUGAGUUCUAUAACAUCGUUCUCCCAUUAUCAAAUUAGGAAUUAUAACUAUAAUAGAUGUUUUUAUCUCCAGCAAUGAAUAUCCCUUACAGAUGAACCAUUUUUAGUAGAUUAAACAAUAAGAAUGAGAAGAAAAACAAGAUAACGAAAUCCAAGAUGUGGAGCUCUACUGAAUCUCUGAGAAUACAACCCAUAUUGAAUGAUAAAGUGAUUUAUGAUACCCUAGAGAAAAUCUAGAAGAAGAAUAUAGCUCAUAUGCACUGGAACCAGUUGUGACAGACACAACAUAAUAGAAUCUUCUACCGAACAUAAUAAAAUAGAAUGCCAAAGAAAGAUAGAGCAAUACCGAUUAGCUAUAAUCUUCUACCGAACAUAAUAUAAUAGAAUCACAUCCGAAAAUGAACAAUUGAAUAUACCUCUAAGGAUAAAAGAACAUAUAAAAUACCUAGAAGAGAUCGUCAUAAGUUACUCGACUAUAAUCGCUACAUUCAAAUAUCUUUACAAUUCAAACAUUAUCCCACUGACUACUAAAUUCAUCGAUAAUCUCACAUUAACCCGUUUCACUAAUGAAAUCAAUUCAUAAGAAAUUUGUGUUAAUUUGUUCUUUAGAUACCAUACCUGAAUAAAUCAAUUACCUGUGAAUAACCUCUUCUUUAACAGCGACAUUGCGUACCCCGAGUGAUCUUCAAAAGAAUUGAUACCCUUUUUAAAGCUCUCUUUACUUGCUAACCUGAUGUGAUCAUGGUCCAAGACCCAACUAAGGCUGCUGAAGAACCCAUGGAGCUACCAAGGGACUGAUUACUCGUGCUCGAGCUAAGAGGUUCAUGGAAGCUGUUGCGGGCUUUAUUGUUUGAAUUUGGGGUGAAGCCGUUGCGGGGUUUAUUGAUCAAUCAUGGACAUGCACUCCAAGCAUGCCAUGCAACCUACUUCAAGCUCAACUUUAGUUUUCUUCAGCUUGUGAAUUUAUUUGCUGGAAUAAAGAAUUAAAUUCGGUUCUAGUUAUUUUAGUUAAAUUAGUUUAAGUAUAUAAUUAUGUCAUAAUCUGAACAUAUUUAAUAAGAUUUUUUAAUUAUGUCAUAGUUUAGGACAUUUUAAAUACAUAAUUUAAUUAUGUCCUAGUUUGGAAAUCUUUAAUAUAUGUGUUUAGUUCAGACAAAUUAAAUUAUGUUUAAGUUGGGUUUAAUGUGUCUUGUAGGGUGAUCAAUGGAUGGCAUUAAAUGGGGAAACAUGCAUUUGGACGUGCAUGCAUGGAUGCUGGUUGAUCUCUUCCAAGCAACUUUUCAUGGAAUGCAAUGGACACAAGUGCUUUCACAUUAGUCCAAUCAGCUGGAUGCUAUAUUCACACUAAGUGACCAUCCAAUUUUGAGUUUUCACACCUUAAGAGAUGUUCGUGUGCUCUAUGCAACAUUAAAAUGGAGACUGCACAUUUGGCUUUCCAAGAAGGCAUCAACCAUGUUCACACCAUCCAAAAUCGAUCAUCUACUUGAACCAUCAGCUCAAAUUAAAGGCUACACGUUUUGGCUAUUUGGGGAGUGCAAAUGACAUGGCUGUUGGCGUCACCUAUGCAUGAGAGUCUUCAAAAGUCAUGUAGAAUAGGUCAAUAGUUAGUUAACUCAAUUAAGCUGAAUUAAAUUAGUCCACUCGGCUGGACUUCUGUAAAGCUAUAAAUACUAAGCUCAAAUCUUGUAUUUGGAACUUUUGAUCCUUUAAUGAAUUUUAAUCUAUUUGUGAGUUGUUCAACUCUCAUUGUUCUUUUGUGACUCAAAUUUACUUAUCUAGCUAGUCUAGUGGCGUCAAUCUGUUUCUCUUUGUGAACUUAUCACUCUAAUGAAUGUGGCGUUCAACCUAUACCAACUGGUUCCUAUCUCUUAUAGAUAGUAGGUCACGGUUAAGCUAUCAAGUCCAUUUUCAACUUAAGAGCUACUAUAAGAAUUAGGUCAAUAUUACCAUAUAAUAUUGGUUCUCUCUUUAGCCUUAAGCCAAACCUAUUUUUGCCACCUCUAUCCAUUAAAAAUUCCUUUGUUUCAAGCCAACUUUGUUCGUUUACAACCCUUUCAAGAACUAAGUCCAUACUUCUUAAUUUUACGAUUGAAAACAUAAGAUGCUCGAUUUGCCCAACGAGUACGAGAUCGCAUCAUGACCCAUUCUCGACUCUGACAACAUUAUUAUUCAUUCAGUCACUAAUCUUUUUGAUUUCAUACUUGUAGGCUUAACCAAAAAAAAUCUUGUGAAUUCCAUUGUAUACAACCUUGAGGGUGGGGGUGGAGAUCGUAAAGCCUCAAAAUUUGACUCUUGCAUAUAUAAACACAUAGCAUAGCAUUCCUCAUUAACAUAAUCAUUAUAAAAGUUUAUGUAUACCUUCAUAAGUUUCUACUCAUCCUUAACAACAUUUUUACCCAAAUACUUGAGUAUCACAUUCAGCAUUAUCGGAAUUAGCUCGGUUGGAAAACAUUUUUGUCUAAAAAUAAAACAAAUCUCAUUAAAGUCGGGAGAUAUCACACUAUCACAGGUUAUGUAGUGGCAUGUAUUUCUAGACUUCAUACAUGCUACAUUCAGUCCAAGAGCUGACUAAACUAUAACUCUGAUACCACUAAAUGUAACACCCCUAACCCAUAUCUGUUACAGAAUUAGGGUUAUAGAGCAUUACCAAAAACUUUUAAUUUAAAACAUUCAAUUACAAUCAUUUAUAAAACACAUCAUAUUCAAUUCAAACACAUGCAUAAUGUCCCUUUUUCAAGCCCUCGAGGCUUUAAAAGAUCUUAAGAAAUAAUUCGGGACUAAAUCAAAAAAUUUAGAACUUCAUGAACAAAGAUAGAAAAAUUCAUACUACAGUGGUCACACGGCCGUGUGACCAGGGCAUGUGACUCACAUGGCUGAGACACACUCCGGUGUCUCAAGUCGUGUGGGUAUUCGAAGUAGGGACACACGGUUGUGUCCCAGCCCGUGUCCGUGUCACUAUCUUACUUGGGUCACACAACCAAGCCAUACGCUCAUAUAUCAGGCCAUGUAAUGCUUGAAAUGUAACCAAUAAAAACCUACAAGGGACACAAGGCUGUCUUGCGUGACCGUGUGUCACACACGGUUGAGACACAUGCCCGUGUCUUAGGCUGUGUGGAUGAGAAAUAGGCCAUUUUCAAGCCAUUUCAUUCACUCUAAACAUGCUCACACACACAAACCAUUUGUACCUAUUUCAAACAUCAAAAAAAUGUACCUAAAACAUGCAUAAUGCAGUUAAAUCAAAUUGGCAACUAUAUCUACAACCAAUAUGCCAACAAGCACCUCAAUCACAACGAUCAAAUAUACUUAAACAUAUGCAUAAUUUAGCCAUUCCUAAACCAUACAUUUCUAAUCUAAUUCAAUACCAAUCUUACCAUAAUGACCACAUGCCAAAGUCACAUUCAAACAUACCAAGUUUCUCAUUCAAAAAUGCAUUAACCCCUUAUCAAAAUAACACACACCAAAUAGGAAUCAAAGGUACCAAGGUUACAUCAACCAAAAUGACAUAUGCAUGUCAAACUCAUCAACUAACAUAAAACACAAGUCCACCUAUACAUGCCAUUAUAACUUUGAUUUGGACACCAAAAUCUACCAUUAUAAUCGUUGGAUAGUGUGAUAGAUCUCUGACCAGCUUCCUAACCGAUCGAGCUUCCGAUAAUCUGUAGAGUAAGAGAAAGACAACCACACAAGCAAUGAAUGCUUAGUAAGCUCAUAUAAAUUUUAAACAUAAAAUUCCAUUUUUAUACAUGAACUUUAUAAGUCAUAAAUAAACCUAUACCAUUGCUUCAAGAUUUAUCAAACUAUAUAACUAUCAACUCACAAAUGAAUAGGUUCAUUAACAUCCCGAAUACUUUCUAUUCAUACCAUAAUAAAGUCUUAUAAGCUGAAUUACAUAAUCAUCAACCUUUUCUUAAAAUAGUGAACCAUUUCAUUUACUUACUUACCAUUUCAUUUACUUAGCAUAAGGUUAAUUAUGUAUCAAUUCACGAAUCAGUAUACCUAUUCAUGACAUAAGUAAAUUCCUUCCUUACAAGUAAGUCCUUUAACUCGACAAUCCUUUUUAUUUCAUCAUAUUUCGUCACAUCUAUGAACUUACCAUUUCCAUAUAUAAUCUCACCCGUUUCAUUUGUAUAACUCACAAGAUAUAAGCAUAAACAUCAACCAUAACCACAAGCUAGUGCACUUAAACAUAACUCCUUCACAUUUAACUAAUAAUCAUUCUGUAAUUCAUCAUUCAUCUCAAACUUUCCAAUAAACAUGUAAUCUGGAAUUACUUACCUUCACUAAAUAAGAUUAAAUCUAAAUGAAUAAAUUAAUCAUACCUGUUAUACAUUUACAAAGCACUUAUAGGCUUAGUAUUGAAAAUGAUUCAUCGUAUGCUUCCUGUACUAUAAUAGUUCAACCCAAACUCAUUUAUAUAUGUAUAUAAACAUAUAUCUUUAACUAAAUAAUCAUCAAUAUAACGAUACUCACAUAUGAUCAAGUAAUUCAUUGAACAUUUAACAUUUAACACUUACUAAUUUCUUGACUAUACAUUAGCCUUUAACAUUAAACUAAUUUUAUAAAUUUCAUUCACAGUUAGCCCGAUGAACUAGUAACUUGAAUAGUAUACUCGGGUGACUACACCACACCAAAGGCAUCAUAGAUGCAUAACAGGGGCACCAUAGUGCGAAUAGAGGCACCGAAGUAUAUAUUGGGGCACUAAAGUGCAAACAGGUGCACUGAAGUGUAACUCUUGUACAAGUGUGCAUUCUAACCCUAUUGGUAUGCCAAUCGUAUGCUAGUGAUUACUACAUUCAACCAAGCAUUUCACGUAAUCCAUUUAUUUUAAACAUAUUUAUCAUUCAAGGGCACUUCAUUAUUUUCGUACACAUGAUAUAAUAUCAAUACAUAUAUUCACAUUGUCAAUGUGGCAUUACAUAGAUUAACAUCAUCUAUUUAUCACUUUCAUCUUUCUCGAUACACGUGCUGUAAUAAUUCAUAAUCAUGCUGAAAUCACAUAUAUAUCAUAUCUCAUAAAUAUUCAAUAGUUUUCUAAUAAAUCCUUUCUCACCUUAUAUUUAGUUAUAAUAUUUCGAGUUUCAGCUCACAUUUUAAACAUCAUAUAUAAGUAUAUACAUUCAUGAAUCAGCAUUAACAUUGUUUAUAUAUAUAGGUUUGUACAAUUCUAUACCUACGAGCUUACCUGGCUAAAUUACAGAAAUGUCAAAGUAUAGGGGCAUUUUGGUAAUUUUCCAUUCUCCUAGAUUUUUCACCCGACAUUGAUCUAAAUUAAUAAUUGUAUUCAAUCUAUUAAUUUAGAUAGUAAAAUAAUAUAUUUUAUACAAUUUUGUCUUUUUUGACAUUUUUACAAAAUUGCCCUUAAAGUUUCACUUUUAUUCAAUUUAGUCCCUGAGCCUAAAACAAGCAAAUUAACCAUUUUUACCCAAAAUUGAGCCCAUCUGAAUACUUAUGCUCUCCAACACAGGCCAUUCAAACAAUAAUUUCAUAACAAAUCCUUAUAUUUUUACUAUUUUAACAAUUUAGUCCCUAACAUCUAAAAUCACAAGGUUCAUCAAUGGCAAUAUUACAAAUCUUUAACAGUUUCAAAAUCAAAGGUACGAGCUAGCUAUAACUAAUUGCAACGAUCUGAAAAACAUAAAAAUUAUUAAAAAUGGAGCCAAAAUCACAUACCAUGCAAUAGGAAAACCACUAUGGCUGAACUUAGCUUAAAACCUCCAUGGACAUUCAUUUGUUUGAAGAAGAAACUGAAAAGAUGAUAACCAAUUACCUUUUCUUUUUAUUUUAUUUUAAUUUAAUAUACCAAGUUACCAUUUUAACCUUAGUUAAUAAUUAAAUAAAACAUCAAAUUCAUAUCCAUUAUUGUCCACUAACACCUUGAAUGGUCUAAUUACCAUUUAAGUCCUUUUUCCUUUAUUCAAUUAACCAUUUAAUCGCUCAAAUCAAAUAGUGAUUAAAUUUUACAUCUUUUCCUAAUUUAGUCCAUUAUAAUUAAUUAACUAUUGAAACGUUAAAGUUUUUCAAUGAAACUUUAAUACAACCUGAAUGACACUCCAUAAAUAUUUAUAAAAAAUUAUGGUUUGAUUUAUAGAAACGAGGUCCCGAUACCUUAUUUUCUAAACCCACUUGACCUUAGGGUCUUACCACUUGAACCUAUUAAAUCAUUUAUAUAACAAAAAUCACUAUAUCACAAACCUUUUUAAAACCAUGUUUGACUCGUAAAUAUUAAAUGAUAAUAUUUACGAACUUAUUCAUCGAAUUUUGUGGCCCCGAAACCACUGUUUUCGACACUACUCAAAAAUGGGUUGUUACAUCUUCUCCCUUCUAUUCAAAAAUAAAACCAUUGCUACCUUACUCUUGAAGCUAAUCAGGGGUUUCUCACUAAUAUGAAACUAAAGAUGGAGUUCAUGUAUGAGGUUGUUUCUCACACGGGGUAAGUAUUUUGGACUCACGUGUUGUUUUUAUAAGAAUGAGUUUGAUUAUGUACGUAAAUGGGAAAAAAAGAACUAAGGCCUUGCAUGGUGAAUGUUUGUGCUAGAAAUAAGGGUGAGAUUUGAUAAUAUUCCUAUGUCUUAUAAACAAUGACUUUUAAGGGUCCGCAAGAGGAUGUGUGAACUUGGGGAUCAAGCUGUUGUUUAUGGAAGUAAGGUGAGUCCCUCAAUUGAUCAUUACAAGUGUAUUAUGCUUAUCUAGAAAAUUCUAUGUUAAAAUUCUACGCUAAGUGGCCAAAGCAUGAGAUUAGAACUAGUAAAGCAUGAUAUGACGAAUCUAAUAAGAAAUGUAAGACUUAUGAAACUGAAUGAAUAUGGUGCUUAUGUCUGAAAGUAAGAAGAUCGAGUCUGAUAGGAAGUGCAUGUGUGUCUGGUAAACAUAAGAAUGUCUAUCAUAAGUGAGUUAAUACGUGAUGAGUCUGUGUCUAUCUCCAAAGUCGUCAAAGGAAUCCGUUAGGACAAAAUCACAAAUCUUUGAAAGGAAAAGUCCAUGUCCAUGGCACUACAGAAGAUGAUAUCAUGUAAUACCAUAAUUGGUGGGUUAUGACAUCAUAUUGGAAGAAUAUCAUAUCGUGUAAGACCGUAACUGGUGGGUUAUGGCAUCAUAUGGAAAAAAUUUAAGGAAGGUUAUUACCAAAUGUGGUUCUGUAUGUGUCCUAGGACAAUAAGGGGAAAACCUUACUAAGUGUGAGUCUAGACAAAUCCCUAUCGCCUAAAUCACCAGGAGAAGAAAAUCCUUUGUGGCAAAACUUUGGAAAGGCAAGCCUUUGUGGCAAACCUAUUAAAGGAUAACCUUUGUUGCAAAACUUUAGAAAGGCAAGCCUUUGUGGUGAACCUAUUAAAGGACAACUUUUGUAGCAGUGGUGAAACUCUUAAAGGACGCCUUUGUGGAGAGACUCUGAAAGGAAAAUCUUUGUGGCCACUACUUAAUGAAAAUGAAGCCUUUGUAGAAAUAUCUAGAUAAGGAAGCCUUUGCUGAAAUCUCUGAAUUAGGGGGCCCUUAUGGCAAUAUCUGGAUAAAGAAACCUUUGUGGCUAUCUCUAAAAAGGAAUGUCUUCAUGGUGCCAUCGAAAGAAUGAAACUUGCAGUAACCAUUUGAAAGAAAUGCCUCUGUUGUGGACUCUGAACAAAAAGAAAGAAACCCAUGGUGAACUCUAACAAAAUGGCGUAUAAAGUCUCUUGAAGGAACGAUAAGUAUGGUGAACUUUGAAUGAAAGGCUCCGUAAGAAGUGUUAUGGCUAACCCAGUAUAGUAAUAUGGUAAGAAAAACGAGACUAGAGUGUGCCAACGUAAGUGGUGAACCCAAGGUCUUCUAUCUGUAAGGCCCUCUGUAAUAGAAAUGGUUAAGAAAUCAUGAAUGAACAAAAUGAAGAAUGUGAAUAAGGCAAUGAUGAUAGGAAUAGUAUGUUAUGAUCUCAGAAUGAGGAAUGACACCAAUGACACAAUGAACAGAAUUUUAUGGAUGUAACUGCUUGAGUCAAGGGAAGGACAACAGCAAAGGAUAUGAAUAUGGAAUUUUCAAGUAUGAAAUAGGUAAAGGAAGAUUUGCUCACUAAGUUUUCAUGAGCUUAACUUUGUGUCUUUUAUGACACAUGUAAGCUUAUUUGAGGUUAUAUCAGGAAGGACUACGCUAGGUGAAUGGCGAGAUGGGUUGUUAUGCAUACAGAGUGAGCUUGAAAUGAAGUGAUCAAGUUUGACAGAAACACUCUGAAUGGGCUACGCAAUCUAUUUUGAAGCUUGAUAGUGAGAAUAGAAUGUGUUGUGAAAAUAAGUGUAAUAUAUAUACUUGUGAACCCUCGUCUAAUUAAAAGGCAUGUUUAAGGUUUGUAAUUAGUUAUUAUACAUCCAGAUGUGAUCUAGCUAAGUAGUCCUAUUAAAUAAAAUGGAUUUUGUUGAAAGUUUAAAUGUUUAGAUAUAAAUAAGUCUAUAAUAGGAAAUGUAACACCCGAGAUCCCAAUCCAAUGAAUCAGAUCAAGUCGAGGGCAUUAUAGUUAGUUUAAAACAUUUACUUAACAUAGAGCUUACAAAACACAUAAUCAUGUAGAGCUCGUUGCAUAGAGCUCGCAUGUCACUGUUCAUGAGAUCACAUAUUGAAAUACUUUCGUAAAAUCAAGUAAUAGAAAAGACUUACUUAUCAAAACUUAGGUCAAACCCUAAGCUCCUGAUUAACAUUAUAGGUCGCACAUACAAGUUGCAAUCCCUAAACACUCACUAAUUUUUCUUGAAGACUUAGACAAGUUUUGCUAUUCCCUUGACUUUGCUUAAAGAUGGCUCUUGAUUUCUAAGUGUUGGGCUCUUAAGACUUGCAGACAGAAUAAUUGAUAGUAAAUUUAGGAGAAAAUAAUGUGUAAUUCCCUUAAUGGAAAUGGCUUAAUUAUAGGCUCUAAGUGUCUUAAUGUCUUUAAUACUCUAAUUGUAAUAGAAGUAAUAUUUAACGACAUGCAUGGAUAGUGUUGUAAAGAGAAAAGUAAGCUAUCAUUCCUAACUGAGGCACGACUCUACUUUAACCAUUCUUAUUUUUAACUCACAACCCAAAACUGUAGUUCGCUGGCCUAUUGGCGAUCCCUAUUUCGCCAAAAAUGCUAGCGAUCUAAGUUCACUAAAUUCUUAGGCGUACUCUAGCUCACCAAGCCUUUUAGAGAACUCCUACUUGCAAAGCUUAUUGGUGUACUUUAGCUCACCGAACUUGUUGGUCAUACACUUGAUCACGAAUCUACUAACAUAUACAUGCUUGUCAUUUUCUCUAGCGAACCCUUGUUCACUAGUCUUACUGACGAGUACCUAUUUGUCACGCUCUUGGGCAAUUUUUUGUUCGCCUUGGUGAACCCAACUCACUUGGCCCCAUACUUCUAGGCUCUACUUUAGGAUGUUACAACUCUCCCUCUCUUACGAAAUUUUGUCCUCGAAAUUCCCUAUGUUUAGAACAGGUCAGGGUACUGGUGUCUCAUGGCUUCCUCUAUUUCCCAAGUGGUUUCGUUGGUCUUGUGAUUUCACCAUAACACUUUAACUAAAGGUAUCUUCUUAUUUCAUAGAGUCUUUUCUUCACAAGCUAAGGUUUCCACGAGCCGUUCAUCAUAAGUAAGACCAGGUCGCACAUCAAUUUCAUCUGUUGAAACAAUGUGGGAAGGGUUCGCGCGAUACUUUAUCAACGUGAACACAUGAAAAACAUCAUGAAUUUACUCCAGUUCUUGUGGUAGCUUAAGUCAGUAGGCUACUGGACCAAUCCUUUCAACCACCUCAUAAGGAUCGAUACUUACUUACCUAUUUGGUACUCUAUGUCUCAUCAUUUUAGAUCGGUGUAAGACUUUUGUUUGUCUAAAAAAACAUCCAGUCUUUCGCAAAUCACUUUCACCUUAUCUUCUAUUUCACGAAUUAGCUCUAGUCUAACCAUUCACUUAUCAUCUAAUUCCGCCUAACACAAAGGUGUUCAACACUUCCUUCCAUACAAUGCCUUGAAGGGUUCCAUUUGGAUACUUACUUGGUGAUAACUCUUGCAAAGAGUUAUAUUUCAUGCCCUUAGGCUUAGUUAAUUACCUGUACUUAAGUGUUGUUAGUUCCAUUUUAGGAUAUUGCAUUGGCACUUUUAAAACAUUGCAUUAAAAAGCUUGGAUUGCGCUUAAUUGUGAUUACAUGUUGAUUUUAACUGCUUGUGGGAAAGAUUUGUUUGGCGAUUGUUUAGUAGGUGUAAAGUGUAGAGAAAAGUUUAACGGUUUGUCAUGGAAAAUACAGAUAGUUUGCCAACACAAAUGUUGUGGCAAUGCUGGAAAGACGCCUAGUCAGCACUUAAGGCGUACCACUCUUGUCCCCACAUAUAUAUCUACUUGGCAAAUAAAGAAAGGAUCACGGGUUGAUGGACCUACCCUAGAAGGUGAAACUUAUAAAAGCCAAGCAAUGAACCCUAUUUAAAGGGAGCCUUUAGACUAAAAAGAGCAACCUUGAGCAGUCGAAAAUAGACUACGACAGCAGCCUUGGAUGAAAUAGUAAAUAUCAGGUAGGGGCCAAGAACAAGGGUAGCAAAAGAAGUAGAAAACAACUGCAAUCACCUUGGGCAACUGCAAGACAUUGCACUGCCUAUAUUGAGAGUUGGAUAGGAGAAAGUUGUAAUCUUAGAUUUCCUCCUUUGUUUCUUAUCAUGCUUUUCUUUAAUGCUUAUCAGUUAUUGAUGAUGUUGGUUAUUGUAUUAAACUCAAACUUGAUUUUCCCAACCAUGAGCUAAAUCUCUUAGGCUUGGGAUUACUUUGAUGAAACCUUUAUUACUAUUAAUGUUUAAAGUUUAAUUUUGGUUUGCUCUACUAUUUUAUUCAAUGGCAUAUCACGUUAUAUGUAGGUUGUACAUUAACGAAUGUACGACAGGUUUAUAAAGAAAACUUAAUACCGAUAAGGUUGGGUUACCUGGAUAAGUGUUGGAUAAUAUGAGGGAAUGAUUAAUCACUUAUACAUGGCAACCUUUAGACAUAGAUCCUUGCCUUGUGUGAAAGAAGGUAGGAAAUAUUAGUGGUAGCCGAACUCAAAGCCUAUAGACAUAUAAUGCCCUAAGGAACGUAACCGAAGGUCUUGCUCUCGAGAGAGAAGUAGACUACUGUAGCAACCUAUUGAAUAGUAGAAUAUUCACGACUUUGUUGUGGCAUUAGUGAAGGUUGAUCCAUUAGUAAUCCCAGCUGUCCUAAUCAACAUUGUAGCUCCUCAAGCCUUUUUUGUAGUGAUUUUGCCAUGGCAUUCUUGUUCUGUUUACUUGUUUUGCACAUUUUAUACAUCAUCAUUCUCUCAUUUUUCCAUUGCAUUCUUAUUCUUAUUUUUCUUUAGCAUUAAUCGAACUUAACUAUAAUAACUCAACCAAUUUAUACCUAUCUAAUCCCUAUGGAGAUGAUAUCACUCAUCACUAUAUUACUUGAUCAACUUGUACACUUGCACGACUUGCAUAUCAGCUGUGCAACCAACACCUAGGAACUGUUUUUAUAUACGAACUCUACUGAGGGCAAAAAUCAUUCCCAGCUUCCUGCGAAUUCCACCACAUGGCUUGGUUGCAUGUCUUCUAGUACUUGGAUCACCCUCUCUUAUUGACCAUCUAUCUAUAAAUGAUAAGAAGUACUGAAAUUCAAUUUCCAACCCAAGGGUUCUUAUAAAAUUUUCCAAAAUCUCGAUGUGGAUCGUGGAUCUUGAUCGACGGUAAUGAAAUCAUUCCCAUCUAUAUACGAACUCUACUGAGGGCAAAAAUCAUUCCCAGCUUCCUGCGAAUUCCACCACAUGGCUUGGUUGCAUGUCUUCUAGUACUUGGAUCACCCUCUCUUAUUGACCAUCUAUCUAUAAAUGAUAAGAAGUACUGAAAUUCAAUUUCCAACCCAAGGGUUCUUAUAAAAUUUUCCAAAAUCUCGAUGUGGAUCGUGGAUCUUGAUCGACGGUAAUGAAAACGAGCACGCCAUGAAGUCGUACAAUUUUUUUGAUGUAUAACUCCACCAAAUUUUGCAAAGUAUAAGUGAUGUGGACUUCGAAGAAGUGAAAAAUUUUAGUGAGACAAUCUACAAUCACCUAUAUUGCAUCUUUCUUGUCAAGGUCAGUGACAAGCCGGACACAAAGACCAUGGUGAUCCUUUCCCAUUUCCACUCUAGAAUUUUGAUUGGUUGCAACAAUCCUAAAAGAUACUGAUGCUCAACCUUCACCUCUUGAAAAAUAAGACAUUUUCCACAUAAUUCAUAACGACUUGCUUCAAGUUAGGUUACCAAUACAAUUCAUAAAGGUCAUGGAACACCUUAUUGCUCCCUGGGUGUAACACGUAAAAGUAGUUGUGAGAUUCUAUAAAGAUCGCAUAUUGAAGUUUUUCAUCAUAGGGCACAUAUAGUCUUCCUACGAAACAAAGUAUCCCUUUUUUAUUCAGUGCGAAGUCCCCCUAUAACUUGGGGUUUGUGCAAGUGUACAUAGUCAUUAUCAAGUAAUAAGUAAGUAUCGAGUUAUCGUCACCACAGGGAUUGUAUUUGUGCUAAGUCACUUAAUUUGUAAAAUUAUAUUAACAAUUUGGUAAAUAGAAACACGAUAUAGUUGAGAAAUGGUGAUUAAAAUAUAUUAAACUAAAUGCAAUGAUCCUUAAUGCAAAUUAUCCUAAGUAUGCAAACUAUAUGAAUAAAAUAGAUUUUAGUAAAAUAUAACACAAUUUGAAACAAUUAUAACAUAAAUAAACUAGGACAAUUACUUUAAUUAAACUCAAUUUAUUAUCAACAUGCUUAAUAACAUUCGGAAAAACAUUCCAUGGCAACUCCAUCUUUCAUGAGUUUGGAAACCACCUUAGGUCCUUUCGAAAUCCUUUACUUGGUAAAUACACAUUUUACUAAUCCUUAAUUACUAAGGGUUUCUUAGCAUUCGUGUGAGGUAACAGGGAUGUGUUAGGUUUGAAACAAUUUAAUCACACAAAUCUAAAAACUAUGCAGAUAACAGAGCUUGGUUAGAGUUGUUAUGCAACCUACAAUUCAAUCGGGUUAGGAUCUAAAUUGAGCAUGCAUAAUUCAAUUAUGCGUCCAUUAGCCGUCAUCUGGUUAGGAUCACUCAGCUAAUUCAAGUGUGUUUCAGUCACGUAUGAAUGAAAUACAGACUUGAUUUUAAUUGAAAACAUGAUCAAUUGAGGCACAAACAUUAUAAGCAUGAAUCAAAUAAAUAUUAUUUAAUCAAAAUAAACAUCCUAGCUUAAAUAAAAUUAAGCAAUCAUUGUUGUAAACAAGAAAAAAGAGCACAUAGAAAACAUAUUUAAAUUAAAUUUAAAGAAAAGAAUGAUUAAACCCAAUUUAGAGUGGUUGUCACCCAAGACUCUGACAGACGAGGCUCCUUUGCUUCUUUACGUUGCUCGUUUGCUGAUGGCUUUCCAAGGUGGCCAACUAAGAAUUCUUUAAGAGGCUUAAUUGCUAAAAUCCUUAUGCAAGGAUGAUGAAGGGGAAAGAUAGCUAAAAGAGUUGAGAGAAUGAUGAAUGAGUGAGAGAUGAUGGGAUGAGGGAUGAUUGAAAAAGAGAGAAAUGAGCUCUUAUUUAUAGGUGAGGCAAAGGAACUAGUUUGCUAAAAAUAGGAGUGUUUAUCCUUUGAAACUUCCUCCAAGAGUGGUCGGCCAUGAAGUGAGGAAAGGUGGCUGAUUUUUCCUUGAUUUUUGGUCAAUUUGAAUGCCACAACAACUCAGGACUAAGACUCGGUCAUCAGCAAAUCUUCGAGAAAAUCUCUGAUUUCUUUAACUCUUCAAGGACUUUGUAUAAUUAAAUCAAAAAAUGGUUUAUGACAUCCAUGUGCAGCCAAAAAUUGGGUUGACUUGGUCCCCAAUUUGGACGGUUUUGCAAUUAGAAUAAAACUCUCAGCCCUGUCAAAAAAUAGUAGAUAGUUUAGAUGACCAAAUAAUAUAAUUUAACCACUCUAAUUAAUCAAUUUAUUUAAUUAAUUAAAACCCAAUUUAUUAAUUAAUUAUUAAAUAUAACUUUAUAUUUUAUUAUUUAAUUUAAUCAUGCAUGGCCCACUUUAUAGCUUAAAAAUAUAAUAUGCUUAAAUUAAUAUAAAAUAAGUCAUUUUAUGCAUGAAAACUAUAUAAUAAAGUAUAAAAUCACAUUUUAAUAAUUUCUAUGUCCUAAUUUCAUAUUUUCGCAUAUUUCAUUAAUUUAUUAAACAAUUACUUGGUUUUAACAACAAAUUUAAGUAAAAAGGUAAUGAAUUAUAUAGGAAAAAUCUUAUAUAUUUUUUAGUUUACACACCCCCAAACUUAAAUCAUUGCUCGUCCUAAGUAAUGUUCAUGCACAGCACAAGGUCUUACUAAGGCAAAUUUUGCUAAGAGUGUAAGUAGCAUCAAUCUUUGUUUUAUAAUCAUGCAUCAAUAAAUUCAUGCUCAUAGACCUUCUUUAUUAACAAGUAACUCAUAUACAAACAUUUUGAAAAUUUUAUUCUAAGUUUCAAGAUAUGCCAACAUGAAUCAUAGUUUGCAUGUAUGUCACAGUCAUAGAUAAUAUUUUUCAUUCAACACAAAUUCUCAUCAAUCAAGCAAAACAAUCAUAAGGCUUAUUUAUGAUCUUCAUAUGUUGAACUUAAUACUUCCUCUCCACUAAUGUAGGUGACAUAAUCAUCAAAUCAAUAGGUCUUUUAUAAGGUUGUAAUGGGGCUCGGUUAAAGGCGGGGAUUUUAAGAGAUGAGACAUUUCGGUUUCAAAAUCUUAACCUUUAACUUGUCUUGAAUUUCUCAAAAUUCAACCUUUUUCUUCAAGUGAACCUAUGGAACUCCGUUUGAAGUCAUACUCAUACAUUUUCUUUUUGGAGACUGAGCAAAUUUUUCUUCACUCUUUCUUUGUCUUUGUUGUUGCUAUUGUUGUUUUAAGCAUGAACACAUACAUCUUUAUGAAAAUUUCCUCAAAUGUUCAUUCCCAAGACAACUUUAGUUAGGAUAAGUGCACAAAAUUAAGAUAAUUUUAAAAAGAUGGUACUGGCUUAUAAUGUACGUUUAUUACAAUGAACAGGCUUUUAAGCUCAAAAUUAUAGUUUCAAGGGUCUAAGAUCAUAAGGUGGGCUUGAAAAGGCUUAAACGAUCCAAAGAAAAACGGUGCUGUAAUACCCCUUACCCGUGUUCCUCGUCGGAACAAAGUAUGAAGUGUCAUUAGAACACAAAUACGAAAAAUUAAUUUUUUUUUUACAAAAAUUUUGACUUAUUCCUCUUUAUAAAUACAUUACCUCACCUACACAUUUUCAGAUCAUAAUCCAACCAAUUCCAAUAUUCCAACCAACAUUUAUAUUCUCAAUUAUAUUCAAGUUAUACACAACACUUUAACUAUCAUCACUAGCAUUGCAUAAAAAUAAUUUAUCAUAUAACAUACACUAACAUUUAAACUAAAUACUUUGUAACAUACAACAUCUACUUAAGCCAUCUAUACAUGUCAUAAUUUAGAAAUGUUGAUUUCAAAAUACCAAAAUAUGUGGAUAGUGUUAAUGAGUUCCCGACUAUUUCCAAAUUCUGAGUUGAACUGGUAACACUAUAAAACAAGGAAAAAGGAAGAGGGGUAAGCAUAUAGCUUAGUAAGCAAGUAUGUGAUUAAUAAACAAAUUUCUAACAUGUUUUCAUAGAUGAUAUAAUUUAAAUCACACAUAAUUUCAUUAUUUGCACAAUUUCCAGCAAGCUGUUUUUAUGCAUCAUAGUCACUAAAUUAUUUUUAUCUGGAGUUACAGGACUCCAAAUAAAUAUACGUAAAUUUCCCUUGAAACUAGACUCAAAUAUAUUAUUUUCAUAAAAUUUUUAUAAUUUUUGGCUUGAUCAAUUAGUACAGUUUAUUAUUUAAAUUCACCCCUAUUUUACUACUCAACAUCACUGACCUCUUUUCACUAAAAAUGAAUUAUCUCAUUGUAUAGAUUUUUAAUGAUAUUUUUGUUUGUUUUCUUUGAAAAUAGACUAAUUCAGGAUUUUAAACAUAUAAAUUAUAACUCAUAAUUAUUUUUUUACAAUUUUUAAUUAUUUUCCAAAGUCAGAAUAGGGGAUUCCGAAACCAAUCCAAAUCUGCAUCACUAAAAUUCAAAUAUCUCAAAAUAUAUUACUCUUUUGCUUGCUCUGUUUAUUUUAUGUAAAAAUAGACUCAUUAAGAUUUUAUUUCAUAUCUUAUUCACUCUCUAAUUCAAUUUCCACCAUUUUUGGUUAUUUUUCAAAGUCACACUACUGUUACUGUCAAAAACAGUUUUGUUGCUAAUUCUACUUUUUCAUAAUUUCACCUUUUUACUUUUAAUCACUAUUCCAUUCAAAAUUCACUUUUCCAUUUUCAAGUCAAUAUUCAAUUUAGUUCCACACAUAUAUGCACUUAUAAAUCACAUAGUCAUUUCAUCAUAUCAUGUAUUUCACUUAAUAAAUUUCUCGUUGAACUUAUCGGACUAAAAAAAUAGAUUUCUCGGUGGCCUGCACACAGUCCGUACCACCUUUGUGUAAUAACAGAUUCUCGGUGGCCUGCACAUAGUCCAUGUCACCCUUGUAUCUUAACAAAUUAUUGGUGGCCUACACAUACUCUGUGCCACCCUUGUGUCACAACAGAAUAUCGGUGGCUUGCACACAGUCCGUGCCACCCUUGUGUCAUAACAGAUUAUCGGUACGGAUAGUAGCCUACACUUAGUUUGUGCCACAUAUGCGACCUAUCAGUCUGGUACACGUAGUGGCCUACACUUAGUCUGUACCACACGUGACCCAAUUACGACCAUUCAUAUCUUUUCUAUUCCGAGUUUCAAACGGAAAUUCUUAUUUUUCAAUCUUUUCCCAAUUCUUCUCUAACCAAUCUUAAUUUAUAAUUUGCAUCAUAAAUUUGUUACACAUAUAACUCAUCUCUUAAAUAAAAUAAUAAGACACUUAAUCAUAAAUAAAACAAUAUAUUAUCUUCAUACAAACUUACCUCGGUGCAAAAUAUUGUAGUUUUUGCAAUUUAAUCCACGAUCUUUUCCUUUCCCCGAUUGAGGUUGACUUCUCUUCUUUCUUGAUCUAUAAUAGAAAUUUUACCUUGUUUAGUAUUCACAUUUAUCAAAAUAGUCCUCAACUCAACUUUUAGGAAAAUUAUGAUUUUGUCCCCAAAUUUUUGCAUAUUUAUGUUUUUGCCCCAAAGCUCGAAAAUUAAAUUUUAUUACUUAUUCUUGCGUUUUAUAACAUGCUGAACAUUUUUCCCUUCUAUAGCAACAUCCAAUUCUCACUCUAACACUUACUUAUGUACAUUAAGUAUUUUUACCGAUUAUGUUAUUUUACUCCGUUUCACUUAAAAUCGACUAGCAAAAAUUGUUUAACAUAAAUUCUAGCUUCAUAUUCUACCAUAAAACAUCAAAAUACAUACAUUUCACAUAUGGGUAAUUUUUCAAAUUUCAACCCUAGCUCGAAAUAGCAGUAGAAAUAGGUAAAUCGAGCUACGAGAAUCUUAAAAAUGCAAAGAACAUUAAAAACUAGGAUAGGAUGUACUUACAAUCAAGCUUGAAAGUGGCCAAAACCCUAGCUAUGGAGACUUAGAAAUAUUCAGCCAAGCAUGGAGAAGAUGGACACAAUUUUUACCUUAUUCUCCCUUUUUAAUUCAUUUAAUUACUAAAUUACUAAAAUGCCCCUAAUUAAAAAAAAUCCCAUUUCACUUUUUUUUCAUGUCCAUUUUUGUCCAUCAACACACUAAUGGGCUAAUUCACAUAAGGACCCCCAAUUUAUAAUUUCAUAACAAUCAAACACCUUUAAUAUAUAGAACUCAACUUUUGCACUUUUUACAAUUUAGUCCUCUUGACCAAAUUGAGUGCUCAAACGUAAAAAUUUUCGAACGAAAUUUUCACGAAAUCUUUCCGUGAAUUUGUAGACCAUAAACAUAUAAUGAUAAUAAUAUUCUCUUUUUUCAGAUUUGUGGUCCCAAAACCACUAUUCCGAUUAGGCCUUAAAUCGGGCUGUUACAGGUGCCUAUAUCAUUUUAGAUUUUUAUGUCCCCUAGGAUUUCACCUCAAGAAAGUUACUAAGUCAAUUAUAAAGAUAUAAACCUUUAUGCAUGUCUAAUCUCAAGAGAAACUAAGUUUUCAUGGCAAACAUUACCUAAGACUAAGAUCAUAAAAACAUUCCAUUUUUCAUGAUAACAUGCAAUCACUCAGAUAAAAUCAUCAUUCAUGCUUGCAUACAAGCUAUCUUAUUAAAAAGAAUUUCUCUAAACAUUUAUUUAUUAAGACAUGUUUGUGAAAGAAUGAUUUGAAACAUACUUGAAAAUUUUAAAAAUUUGAGCAAUUUGCCUUACCCCCUUUAAAAAGAAGCAAUGUCCUCAUUGCGAGAAUAAAGUAAUGAAUGAAAACUGAACACCAGGUAGGGUUGUCAAGAACGAGAGGUGAGUCAUUAAGACUACUUAAAUACCAAGUCUUUCCUAAUAACACAAUCCUAGACAUGUUCAUUCCCAUUGCCACAUCACUUAAUCUUUUUCUUUCUAAAGAAGUAUUUAUUCAUGCUUGUUAUGUUUUAUUUUGCAAAAAUUAAAUCCUAUUUACUAAAGAAAUAAAUUCCUAAAGACCUAAAAAUAAUUAAAUAAAAAACAAGACAAGAAUCCCCCCCUUUUAUUUUUCUGACUUAUUCCCCUUGUCUUUUUUAGCUUCAUCUUCGCUUGCAUCGUCAGUCUCUUACGUCCAUGUCUCAAAGAUAGCAUCUGGGAACUCAGGAAAAAAGGUAUUUGAGAUAUUCUUAAAAGUAUUUCAUAUUGAAUCAUCUCUAAUUUUUUCAUAUUUCCAGUAAGUUUGUUGUUGAUUAUGCAUGAACGUACAUAUCCAUCAAAAUUUAUAACUCUGAUUUCCUUGAAGUACUUGCAGAAGUCGGCAUGGGAUUUGUAUAUUCAGGUUCAACACUUAGCUUGAUUGGUUCUUCUUUUGGCUCAACCUAGGUUCAGGGUUUUCAGCUCCUUCAGCUGGUUGAGGACUAUUUGGUUUCUUAUCAGAUUCUUCUUCUUUAGUGUCUGUAACUGAAUCAGCUUUAGUUUCUGUUUUAUUUGUUCACUCUUCGGUUUCUGCCUCAGUUGGUUCCUCUUGCUCACCUUGGUUCAACUCAUGCACUCUUUCUACCAACCUUUCAAGAUCAUGACUUGUAAUGCACCCUUGGACAUACUACCCCUUCAGAUUUUCUUGUGUUUUAACAUGGGCCCUUAAGCAAAGUGAAGUAAUUAAUGAUGGGAAAUAAGCACUUCCUGCCUUCUUUUUAGCACAAUCAUGAAUCUCCUUGAGGAUAAUUUUCCUAACAUUAAUGGACUUUUCUGUCAAGAUUGCAUAUAACAAGAGCAUUCGUUCCCAUUUGAGAGCAUUGAUUAUCUUUCUAAUUGGCACAGGAACAACCAUCACAUCAUUGCUCUUCAAAUUAAAACCUUUUUUCGGCAUCAUAGGUAGAUGCUUGAAAAUUAAAUCAAAUCACUCUUUCACUUCUUUAUCAACCACAAUCAGGUUUUCAGGAGUUGUUUUUGACGAUCUAGUUCUUUUGCGAGACAUGGUACUUUCCCAAACAUUUGGUAGAGUUUCUGCACAAGAGAGAAAAGAGAAAUCGGCAAAGUUGGUAUAACUUGCUAUGGCAAAAAUCUUGCGACAGUAAGGAUGGUGCGGCGGCGAUCUCUUUGCGACAGCAAUAGGGAAUUUUGGCAAAAAGAAAGGACUAGGGUUUCUUUCGAUAUUUGAGGUUAAUGACACAAAAAAAAAGAUUUAGGGAUUUUUAGGGCGGAAGUAAAUUGCUUUGAGGGAGAUGAAAAUUAGUAGAAUGAAGAGGGCUUUAUAUAGGGAAAAUUAGGGCAACAUGCAAUAAAAAUUUAGCUACCUUAAAGUUACUUGGGCAGCAAGUAAUGGGUGUGACGGCAAGGCCUAGUUUUUUCCCUCUUUUUUUGUUGUCUUGGGCCUCAAACUCAUACUGUAUCUUAAAAAAAAUUGAUUAGUACUUGGGCCAAAUUUGACCCCCCUUUAUUAACACAAAAAUUUAAAAUUUAAACUGAACAAAAUAAAACUUAAAAAUUUUAAUUAGAAAAUUUCUUCUUAACAACUUACAUUAAAUUAAUUCCCAAGAAAGGUUGGAGGGGUCACAGCGGUCCCGCUUAAGUUCCAAUCUCCUUAGACAGAAUUAAUUAAAUGUAAUAAAUUAAGAAAAUAGGAUCUAAUUAUUUAUUUAUUUACACAAUGAGUUCAUGAAAAAUUAAGGGUCUGUUAAGAUGAGUGAGGAUUCAGUUUGCUCAACUUCACCAUCCCAGUAGUGUUUGAGACGUUGACCAUUAACUUUAAACGUACCUCCAUAAUUGUCGUAUAAUUCAAUAGCUCCGUAAGGAUAAACUCGGUAGAUGGUAUAGGGUCCUUUCCAUCGGGAUUUCAGCUUCCCAGGAAAUAACUUCAGCCUUGAAUUAAACAACAACACUUUCUGACCUUCUUUAAACUCGCGAAGUUGUAUAUGAGUAUCAUGCCAUCUUUUUUAUCUUUCUUUACACAUUUUGGCAUUCUUAUUGGAAAACAACCUCAGCUCUUCCAACUCAUCUAAUUGUAACGUCCUUCUCUCACCGGCCUAUUUUAUAUCAAAAUUUAACUGCUUCAAAGCCCAGUGAGCUUUAUUCUCCAACUCUAAUGGCAAAUGACAUGCCUCUCCAAAGACUAACUGAUAAGGAGUUAUUCCUAACUGAGUCUUAAAUACUAUUCGAUAGGCCCAUAAUGCAUCAUCGAGCCUUCGAGACCAAUCUUUUCUACUAGGGUGUACUACCUUUUCAAGGAUACUUUUGAUUUCAUGGUUCACUAUUUCAACUUGUCCAUUAGACUGGAGGUGAUAAGCAGUAGCAAUCUUGUGCUUCACAUCAUAUUUAUCAAGCAACAACUUAAGCCAUUUGUUCACAAAGUGAGAACCUUCAUCACUAAUAAUAGCUAUUGGUGUCCCAAAUCGUGUAAACACAUGCUUAUGUAGGAAUCGCAUGACUACCUUAGGAUCUAACAUCUGAUUCGAAAAAUGGUCCUUCCGAGUGGCUUUGUUCAACUUUUUGUAAUCAAUACAGAUUCUCCAACCGAGAAUAGUUCUCGUCGGAAUUAACUCUUUACGCUCAUUUUCAACAAUCGUGAUUCCACCUUUCUUUGGCACACACUGCACCGGACUUACCCACGAACUAUCUGAAAUAGGAUAGAUGAUUCCUGCAUCUAACAGUUUGAUCACUUCCUUUCUCACAACUUCUUUCAUGAUAGGAUUGAGCCUUCUUUGCCCAUCAAUUCAGGUCUUUCACAUUCUUUUAAAAUGAUUUUAUGCAUGCAAAAAGAAGGGCUUAUACCUCGAAUGUCAGCUAUGGUCCAACCAAUUGCUUUCUUCAACUUCUUUAAAAGAACAAUCAGUUAUUCCUCUUGAUCUUUCGUUAGUUCUGCUGAAAUAAUCACAGGCAAAGUAAAAUAGUCACCUAAAUAAAUAUAUUUCAAAUGGGAAGGAAGUACCUUUAGUUGAAGUGUAGGUUGUUCUUCGAUUGACAACUUGGGUUGCACAAAUUCUCUGACUUCUAACUCUAAUAGUUCAAACCGUGUGGAUUGAAUAAAAUUUCUCGGAUUGGCUUCCAUCAAAGCCAUGUUUUUUCACCUUCUUCAUCCUCCAAAGGGUCAAACUCUAAGGCUUUCUCCAAUGGAUCUUCCUCAAAAUUGCUUUCCAUAGAAACCAAGGUUUCUAUCUCUUCCAUAAUUGAACACCCCUCUAUCGGAUCGAGAAAUUUCAUCACUUUAAGAAUGUUUAAGGUUACCUGAUCAUUUUGAACUCGCAUGGUGAGUUCUCCUUUCUGCACAUCAAUUAAGUAUUUAGAGGAGUUGCUAGGACGACCCUUACGGUAGCUAAGUACUAGAUUUCAUCUAUUGAGAGGAUCUUGGAUAAUUUGUACUAUACCCUAGAACAUAAACUUAAGGGUACAGUGUCUCUUUUGAGAAAUGAGGCAUUUUGUUGGUGGAAAUCUAUCAUGGAAGGUACCAAGCCAAAGAAGAUAACUUUGGAUUAUUUCAAAACUGCCUUUCGUAAAAAAAUAUGGGAUCGAGGUAUGUUGAAGCCCGAAAACUUGAUUUUAUUAAAUUGAAGCAAAGGGACCAAACCGUAUCCGAGUAUGAGGCUGAGUUAUUAAGCCUGAACCGGUAUGCACAAGGGGUGGUAGCUUUAGAGUAGAACAACUGUGUUAGAUUUGAGAAUAGGCUGAGGUAUGACCUCAAGGUCCAAGUUGUCAUAUUGUAGGAGAGAGUCUUCGAGACUUUAGUAGAGAAGGUGAAGAUCCUUGAAGAGGUGAAAUAUGAUAAGCAAGAUAGAAGAGAUAAGACCAAGAAUCUAGUGAAGAGAGAUUUUGGUCUGGGAAAUUCUAAUCCAUGCCCAGUGAAGAGGGUCCGUGAAAAUAGACCAUGUCAGUACCCUGCUAUUGCAAGUAACAGAAAUUAGACCCGCAAUUAUGCUUACUGUGGGAAGUCUCACAAUAGGAAAUGUUGAAAGAGCAAGGGAGCAUGUUCUAGGUGUGGGGCGUGGUAAUAACAAAAUGAUAAUAGUGGGUAGAGGACAAAUGGUCAAUGUACGAACUGUACUAAUGUUAGACAGCCCACCUUGGUUUAUGCAGUAAGGCACCAAGAGGACGGUAAUACGGCUGAUGUUAACGCAGGUACUUUUAUAAUAAAUUUUGUACAAUACUUUGCUUUGAUAGAUAUAGGAUCAACUCAUUCUUAUGUUUCCUGCUCUAUGACUGAUAAAUUGGGAGUUCUAGUGGAAAUUAAUGUUAGCGGCAUAACUGUACUCAGUCCCCUAGGAUAAUUUAUGUAUGUGAAUAAAAUAUUUAGGAGAUGUCCUUUAGAAAUUUAGGGUGAGUUGUUUCCAGCUGACUUGAUGGAGCUGCCAUUCAGUGAAUUUGAUCUUAUUUUGGGCAUGGAUUGGUUGAAGGAGCAUCGAGUUAGCCUUGAUUGUGAUACAAAGUUGGUUACUCUGAGGACUUUAACCAGAAAGGAGAUAGUUAUGAUCUAUAAGCACCAAUAUUACUUGUCCAAUGUGAUCUCUACUUUGGUAGCCGAGAAAUUAGUUCAUAAAGGGUACGAUGCAUAUUUGGCGUACAUUCUGGAUAUGAAAGCUGAUGACUCAAUGUUAGAAAGCAUCUGUGUAGUAAAAGAGUUUCCUGACGUCUUUCUAAAAGACUUGCCCGAUCUACCUCCAAAACGCGAGGUUGAUUUUGGGAUUGAGUUGCUGCCUAGGAUAGCUCCGAUGUUUAUUGCUCCCUACUAAAUGGCACCUAAGAAUCUUAAAGCAUAGUUGCAAGAGUUUUUAGACCAUGGUUUUAUCUUGGGGAGCUCCAGUUCUACUCGUGAGGAAGAAGGAAAAUGGUAUGCAUUGAGUGUUAACUCGGUCUUCCUGGAAUUUUCACAACAUUCGUGUUGACAAAAUGUCUAACCUUUUGCCCCGGUAAAACUUCACUCCUUUAUUUCUCCUUCCUCAACCUACACCUGCCAAAGCACCAAACACAACCCUACCACAAGCAAUUAAAAGUACCUAAUAUUUCAACAAAGUCCAAGCUCCUAAUGGAAUGAUGAAGAUAUGAAUGAAAUGUCCUAAAAUGCAACUAAAUGUACCUUGGUGCAAGUAAUUAGCUAGGCCUUAAAGCAUGAAAUAUAAAUUUUUUCAAGAGUUAUCACACCCUCAAACCUGAGUUAUUACUUUUCCUCAAGCCAAAUACAUAUGAAUGCAUGAAUCCAUAAAUUUUUACCCUUCCAUAUAACUAUCUUAUACUAUUAAUCUAUUAAAAGAACAACAUAUACAUCAGUUCUCAGUAGUCUUCUUUCUCUAAAAGCUUGAUUGAAUGUCAAAGGUUCAUUUCAAAAAAGGUAGUGUAGAAAAUUUGUCCCUAAAAAUAAAAUUUCCUAAAUACUCAUGUAUGCUUUCUGGCCAUAACAAAUAUCUCCUAAUGCACUCAGUUCAUUUGUAACCUAAACUAUAACAGCCUAUUUUUAGUGAAAUCGAGACCACAAAUCCUACGUGAAAAUAUUUAUAUUAUUAUUUUAAUGUCUAUGGCAUGUUAAUAGUGUCAUUUGCAUGCUUAAUUUAGUGAGAAUGGCUAAAUUGUAAAAGGUGUAAAAGUAGAGUUCUAGUAGCUAAAGGUAUCAAAUAGCUAUAGAACUUUAAUGUGAGAGUAAUUAGGUGGUAAUUAGACCAUUUAUGUGGUAGUGGAAAUUUAUGGGUUUGGUUUUAUUAAAAUUAGGGAUAUUUUUAAAGGUUAAAAAUGUAAUUAAGUAAAAAAAGGUUAAUAUAAUAAAAACAAAAGAAAGAAAUAAGAUAUCUUCCUAUCUUCAUCCUUAGCUGAAAUAUUCAAGGGAAACCAUAGCUAGGUUUCAGUCAAGCUAUAUUCACCGGUAUGUAAGUGGUUUUUGUUUCGCUUUAAUGAUUUCUAUGUUUUUGAAGUUGUUGUAGCUUAAUCUAGCUAGCCCAGGGACUAAUUUGCAAAACUAUUAAAGGUUUAAGGUUUUACCAUGAAUUUUCUUACAUGAUUUAAGAAGUUUGAUGAAAUAUUAUGAGUCCUUGUGGUUAAAUAAACAAUUUUUGUAAAGUGAUUUUUGAUGAAUUUGUCAUUUAGGGACUUAUUUGUAAAAGUAGUAAAAUACCAUGAUAAAUUUGUGAAAUGUCGAUUUGUAUGAGGUUGUAUGAGCCCCUAGGCAAAUCAACUAGCAUGAUAUGUGGAUGAAAUUGCAUAAAUGAAAAUUUACGAGCUUAAGGACUAAAUUAUAAAGAAGUUAAAAUAUUAGGGGCAAAAAUGUACAUCUGCAAUAGUAUGAAUUUUGGACUAAAUUGAAUAGUAUGUGUAUUAAAAAUAUUGAAUUUUCUUAUUUAGAUAAAGAUAAACCUUGUACGGAUUUAGAUCGAGGAAAGGCUAAAGUCUCAGAUUAGUGAUCCUAUUUUGACGUCUUUGUAAUCAAGGUAAAUUUGUAUGUUUAAAUAACAUUAUAAUGUUAUUUUGAUAUUUAUGCAUUGUAAUAUAUAUCAUGUAAAGAAAUUAUGAGAAUCCAAUGACGUUACAAUGACUAUCGAGCUCCGUUUGAACCUUAGGAAUAUAUAGGAUACAAAUGAAAUGUCAUUAAGGUUACCAUGUUUCGGAUGUUGGUCUUGACUGUCCUACCAAUGGAUGAGCUCUGGAAUUUUUUGCUGAUAUUCGCCAACUUAUGUGAGUGGCAUUGUGUACCAACAUUCUGAUCGUCAACUUGUGUGAGUAGGCCCAUUUAUGGCUUGAGUGAGCAAUGAUGUAAAGGAAAAGGAAUGGUUUCAACCAUAUGUUUAGCAUAUUUUGUGUGAGCUUCCCGCGUAUCCAAUAUUAUUCUAAGUGGUUCAACGGGUAUGAAAUGGGAAGAAACAGUAAGGGUGAGUUUGGAUGGGCGGUGCGUUUACCUGCGGUUAGUGUAAAAACUGCAGUGGCGGUGAGAUUAGAUACUGUAGCGACACUGUAGCGUGAGACAAAAAGUAAGCUAAACGCACCACACCGCACCCAGUCGCCCAUCCAAACCCAUCAUAAGUGCUCCAUUGACUACGUUAUGAACUUAUGGAAAGGUAUGAAUUGAUAAUGAUCAGAGUAUACAUAGUUAUGUUUAUGGAAAGUAUGAAUUCAAAUGUACUAUGUUCAUGAAAUUUACCUUACCAUGUGAUGCUUUUGUUGAGUUAUGUGUUAAGGCACUAACUUAUGUUGUUGAUGAUGCUUGGGCUUGUGUCAAGCUUAUUUUGGAUUGAUUCAUGUUUAAAUUAUGAGGUUUUGCAUUGAAAUGGUAAGCUAUGUUCAUGAUUUACGAACUUACUAAGCAUUAUAUGCUUACGUAGUUUUCUUUUCUAUGUUUUAUAGAUUAUCGGAAGCUCGUUCGCUUUGGAAGUUCGUCAGAGACCUAUCAUACUAUCCGGCGAUUAUAUCAGUAGAUUUUGAUGUUUUGGUCAAGGUUAGAAUGGCAUGUAUAAAUGAACUUCUGCUUAAUGAUCUAGUUGUUUUGGAAUGUAUAAGUGUUAUUAUGGUUGAUGUACUUAUGGUUUUUUGAUGCCUUGAUGGUUGGUGUUAUUAUGGCCAAGAUGUUGCAUGUUUUGAAUGAUCAAUUUGGUAUGUGAUGGUGUAUUUUCAAUAUGGUCAAUUAAGGUAUGUUUUUAGUUGAAAUAAGUAAAAUGUGUAAGGUUGAUGAAUGGUCAAGCAUGCAUAUUUUUUUGUAGGUUUAAUGGAUUGUAAUUAAGGUGUCUUAUUGGCAUAUUGGUUGCAUGGAUUAUUGGUAUAGAGAUUUGGUCAUUUGAUGUAUGUUUUGGGCAUGUUUUAAGGUCUUGAUUAUUUAUGCAAUUGGCUUGUAGGUACAUGUCUAAAUGGGUGAAAGAAAUGGUUUGAUUUUAGCCAAUUCUUGUCCACACAGCCUAAAAUGCCGGCGUGUGUCUCAGUCUAUUGUGACACGGUCGUGUGUCCCUUGUAGGUAUUAAAGGUUUCAAGUCAGGCAGUUACACGGCCUCGCACACGUCCUGGUACAUAGGCGUGUGAGGCCAUUUCGAGUGUUACAUGGCCUGGCACACGGGCGUGUGGCUUGGUCGUGUGACCUAACUUAGAGAGUUACAUAAGCACGAACACAGGCUGGGACACGGCCGUGUGUCCCUAUUUUGAUUGUUACACAGCCUAAGACAUGGGCGUGUGUCUCAGCUAUGUGAGUCAUAUGGCAGUGUGAACCCUGUAGUUUUGAAUUUUCUAACAUUUUCCUGAUUUAGUCCUGAAUCAUUUCUAAAGUGUUUCUAAGGCCUCGAGGGUUCGAAUAAGGGAUGAUAUGAAUGUCUAUGAGUGGAUUAUGCUAUGAUUAUUGUAAUGUUUGGAAAUGAAUGUUUUUAGGUUAUGUUUAUACAGUAAUGCUCCGUAACCCUAUUCUGGUGAUGGAUACGGGUUAGGAGUGUUACAUUUAGUGAUAUCAGAGCUAUGGUUUAGUUGGUUCUCAGACUGAACGUAGCGAGUACGAGUCUAGAAAUACAUGUCAUUAUAUAACCUGUGAUUGUGUGGUAACUCCUAACUCAAUUUGAACUAUACUUUUAUAUAGAUAAUGUCAUCCAACCAAGUCGAUUCUGAUGAGGCUGAAAGUAUCGCGCAAGCCUCUGUUCAUGUAGCAGCGUUGAGUGGAAGUAGACUUGUAUUUAAGGUAUGGGGAGGAGAGGCUAAGGAAACCUUCUUUCAGAUGAUGAAUGAGUGGUUCACCGAUUUUCUACGAACGAACCCGAUGGCUCAACGACCUCAACCCCUACAUAUUCCCCAACCAAUCCCUAUAGUUCCUCAAGGUUUUGAACCAAUACGAUUGAGCAAGCCUCCAGUUGAUAAAAUCCGCAAAUAUGAGGCUGAAGAGUUUAGAGCUACGUCUAAAAAUGAUCCAGAUAGAAUCGAGUUAUAGUUAGAAAAUACAAUCAGGGUUUUCAACAAAUUAUCUUGUACGCCGGUAAAAUGUGUGAAAUUUUUUGUUUCCUUACUGAAAGACUCAACCUAUCAGUGGUGGAAUACCUUGGUUUCAGUUGUGUCAAGAGAAUGAGUAGACUAGGAAUUCUUUCAAACUGAGUUCUAUAGCAAAUAUGUGAGUCAGAGGUUUCUUGACAAGAAACACAAAGAGUUUCUCAAGCUUAAACAAGGCCAGAUGAUACUAUCUGAGUGAGAGACAGGAUUUGUUUGAUUGAGCAAGUAUGCCCGAGAAUGUAUACUGACUGAGAUUGCCAUGUGUAAACGGUUUGAAGAUUUGCUGAAUGAAGACAUGAAGCUGUUAGUCAGGAUUCUAGAAUUGAAAGAAUUUUUUAUUCUAGUUCACCGAGCACACAAAGCUGAAGAAUUGAGUAAAGCUAAAAGAAAAGUUGAUUUAUGAGGCUUGUGAUUCGAGUAAGAGAUCGGCGGGAAAAUCAUCUCAUUUAUCGUCAAAGAAGUCAAAAGAAUAUCAUAAUCGUUCGUUAGCUUCAGUGGGUCAUUCUGGUAGAGAUCGAAGAAAAUAGCAUGCGAAUUUAAAACCUCAGGCUACUCUAUAUCGAGCCUAGCACACGGACGUGUGAAGCCAUUUUGAGUGUUACACGGCCUGGCACACGAGCCACUGGCUUGGCCAUGUGACCAAACUCAGAGAAUUACACGAGCAUGGACAUGGGCUGGAACACGGCUGUGUGUCCCUAAUUCGAUUGUUAGAUGGCCUGAGACAUAGGCGUGUGUCUCAGCCGUAUGAGUCAUACAGCCGUGUGACCCUUGCAGUUUUGAAUUUUCUAACUUUUUCCACAAUGUUUCAAAUGUUCCUGAUUUAGUCCCGAAAUAUUUCUAAAGUGUUUCUAAGGCCUCGAGGGUUCAAAUAAGGGGCGAUAUAAAUGUCUGUAAGUGGAUUAUGCUAUGAUUAUUGUAAUGUUUGGAAAUGAAUGUUUUUAGGUUAUGUUUAUAUAUUAAUGCUCCAUAACCCUAUUCUGGCGACAGAUACAGCUUAGGAGUGUUACAUAAACUCAAGUUACUUUGCUACCCUUGCUCACAACCUUUUCAAGAUAUUUAUUUGUACUCGUUUUUUCUCUUCUUUAUUAUUAUUAUUUUCUUUUUCUUUUCUUUUUUCUUUUAGCAUGUCACAAAAUUCUUUGACUUGAUAUUCACAAUGGAGCAUACACUAAAUUACCUAGCUCUCAAUCAUGUCAUAAUUUAAAUAUAAAUCACUUGUGAAGCUAAGGUUUUUGACUAAAAAGAUGGAUGAAGUAAACAACUACCUUCUUAGCUACUCAGUCUGUUGCUAUAGUGAAGUACCCAUUUUCUUUAUUACACACUAUUACUUGGACUCACCUUUCUAGUCAACAGCACAGUGGAGCAAAUAAAAUGGUGCUAACUUACUCAACAAUUUUAAGCAUUGGAGUGCCUAUUGUCCUUUAUUUAAGUAAUGUCGUGGCAAAAUGACUGAGUUUGGCUUCAAAAACCCUAAAUUCAUCAAAAAGCCCUUGCUAUUAAUCAAAAAGGGAAAAAAACUAAGUAUAAGACAUCUCAUUUUUAAGAAUUAAUUUUCACGCAAUCUAACCUAAGCUAAACUCGCCUCAUCCACUAUCACAUGUUUUAGAUAUACUGAAGAAUAUAAGCUCAUCAUCGAACAUCACAAGUACAGAUUGAAUUUCUCGCAGAUAAAACAGUAUUUAAUAAUCACAUGGCAUUGGAAAACAACUUAACUAUACUAGGAUGAACAUACAUACUAGAUACGUAAUGCAACCUAAAUGCACAAUACAUCACCCCAAACUUAAGGGAUGCAUUAUCCUCAAUGCAUGAAUAGAUAUAUGCAAACUAUCUAUGUACAGACAAUGUCAUGGCAAAAUAUAUGCAAUGCAAUAUGUCUGAAAUAAAACGAAAACUUUCCUUGCUUGGACUACAUUAUAGAUACUUCAUUAUGUCUGACGAGUUGAUUUAUGAGCAGCAACCUUGUACCUUUACUUCCUCUUCAUCCUCACAGUCAGUCUCAAUACUGACAAACUUUAUUUUCUCUGGUUCUUUCUCUGAUGCUUUAGGUGCAUUCUCUUAAUUGGUAGGAUUUGUCGAUGGGUUCUGCGUCACCGACCCUAUCCCCUCUUGCAGUUUAUUAAACAAAGGAAAUAAAAUAACUAAGAGAAAUUUAAAUCGACAAAAUAAAAUAAAAAUAAAAAGAAUUUUCAAGAUGUUGAAGUUAAACAUCUCAAAGAUCAAAGGACUAUUUGUCUCACUCUACAUAAGCACCCCAAUAGUGUUUCAAGCGUUGUCCAUUAACUUUAAAUGUGUCCCCUAUUUUCAUGUACUUGACAUCAACAACUCCAUGUGGGAUAUAUAUGAGCUACCAAGCAUUAUUCAUCAAAAUUGAAAGGUUUAUUUUGCUCCAGCAAAGUGUAUAAGGGUCUCCGCUCAAAUGAAUCUUUAUCACUAUCAAAACUGAUGUGGCAAUAUAUCAUGAACUCUUCCUCCACUACUGUUUCUAUUAAGUCAAUGGCAUGGCAUUCUUUAUUAUCAUCAAAAUAUUUCAGUGCAUUAAAUAAAUUUAAUGUGACCUAUUGAUCAUUCAUCCUCAUGGUCAAUUCACCUUUCUACACAUCAAUUGAAGUCCUGCCUGUAGCAAGAAAAGGCCUUCCAAGAAUAAUUGGCACAUCUUUGUUAGCUUCACAAUCUAAAAUAAGGAAAUCAGCUGGAAAAAUAAACUUAUCUACUCUUACCAACACAUCUUCAAUUUUACCUUCUGGAUGUGCAUAGGAUCGAUCAGCCAGUUGUAAUGUAACUGUAGUAAGUCUAGUUUUUCCAAUUCCCAGCUUCCUGAAAAUAGACAGCAAUAUUAGAUUUAUACAUACUCCUGAAUCACAUAAUGCAUUACCAACAUAAUGAUUUCCAAUUAAACAUAAAACAGAGAAACUCCCUAAGUCCUUCAACUUUGGAGGUAAUUCAUCAACAUUGUUGUGCACCCUUAAGUGAAAGCAAUAGUCUCAAGUUCUCCCAUUCUGUGCUUCUUCGACAGUAUAUCCUACAUAAAUUUCAUAUAGUUUGGCAUUUGCUCCAAAUCUUCUACUAGUGAUAUAUUAAUAUGUAGUUGCUUCAAGACCUCCAAAAACCUUUUGAACUGAACAUCUUGUUUAGAAUUAUGUAAUUUCUGAGGAAAAGAUAGAGGUGGUCGCCCUUCAGGUUUCUGAUAUUGUUUUCCUAUAGCGUUUUUAUUGGCAGCCUGAUCUAGUUCUGCCACAGCAUUCUUCUGCUUACCCUUUUCAAGUGUAAUAUGUUUUUCAGAUGGCUUUGGGAUCUUCACAUGGUUGUUAUUUGAGUUAUCCUCUCCUGCUGUGGCAUCUUGAACAACAUCAUUUAACUGAGUUCCACUUCUAAGAGUGAUCACUUUGCACUGUUCUUUCCCUUAUGUUAUCCAAUUCUAGGUAUCGUUGGCAAUGCUCCUUGUGGCCUCAAAUUUAAAGCAUUUGCUAUUUGCCCCACUUGAUUCUCAAGAGCUCGUAGGGACAUAGCUUGACUAAGGUAUCUUUCUUGGCCAUAAAUUAUUUCAACAAGUCUUCAAUAGAUGGUGAUGAUAAUGACUGGCCUUGUUGUACAUUUUGCCUCAGCAUAGGAUGAUUAUAACUAGGCGAUGCACUAUCGGCAUUCUUCUUGUAGCAUUGUUAAAAUUCCCCUCACCUUGAUUAUUCCAACUAAAGUUUGGAUGUUGUCCCCACCUUGGAUUAUAGGUGUUGGAAUAGGGAUUAUUAUUCCAAUUGAAAUUACCUAUGUAGCACAGGAAUGUUGGGUUUGGUGGGAAUUCAUCCAACACGUGGUCAUCACCACAAUAAACACAUGCUAGCCUAAUAGCUUUCACCUCCUGAACUGUAGUUGGUAUCUCUAUCAUCUUGAUCAUAUUAGUUAAAGAUGAAACAUGGGUAGUCAAUGAAGUGAUUGUAUCAAGUUCCAUGGUACCAGCAGCUUUCUUACCUGUUCAAACUCUCGUGGUAGGAUAUUGAUAAUCAUUGCUGGCAAUCUUUUCCAAAAUCUCAUAUGCUUCAUUAUAAGAUUUAUCCAACAAAAUACCAUUGGUGAAGGCAUCAAUUACCAUCCUCAUAUGCGCAUUCAUUCCAUUAUAAAAUAACUCCAUCUGUGUCUAGUGCUGAAAUCCAUGCAUCGGGCACUUCUGAAUGAAGUCUUUAAAUCGCUCUCAAGCUUCAUAUAGCGUUUCAUCAUCCAAUUGCCGAAAAGAUGUGAUGUCAUUUCUAAGCUUGGCAUUCAUAUUUGGAGGAUUAUAUCGUAGAAAAAAACUCUAGCAAAGAUCAUUCCAUGAUGCUACUAUUCAGUACGGCAGAGCAUUCAGUCAUGCUCUCACACGAUCUCUUAAAGAAUAUGGAAACAGUUUAAGUCGCAAAGUGUCUUUAGGCACACCCUACUGUCUCUAUGAGUCAUAAACCUCUAAAAAAAGUCUUAAAUGAAGUAUUGGAUCUUUAUUAGGUAAUCCACUUAACUGUCCUACUGUUUACAACAUCUAAAAUAUUACCAGUUUCAGCUCAAACUACUGAACUUGUAUUUGUGGUCUGACUAUCUCUGGAUUCAAAUCAUCCAAAAUUAGCACAACAUGCUCUCAAAUUGGUCUAUCUCGGUCAUCUAUCACUCUACGAACAUGAAGAUUAGCAUCCUGACCAUUCAAAUUAUCAUUGAGACUAGGAUCAUUUUCGUUUCUAGCAUCAUAGUUCUUUUCACCUUCUUCGUAAAGUUAUUUCGAUGUCUGGGUUAAAAGGAUACUCUUUGUUAGCAGGAAUAUCUUUUCUCAUGUACUGAUGGAAAACUUAUAGAAAAAUAUAACUAAGUUAAAUAAAACUAAUGGAGCUAAGUGAAAUAACAAAACCAAUUUUUAGGAAAUUGUCAAUCCCUGGCAACGGUGCCAAAAAAUUGUCGCGUGUGAAUAUGAUAUGUGAAUUGUGCAAGUAUACACGUUGGAUCAACUAAUAAAAUGAUAAGUGAGUAUCAUUCCCAUGAGGUUCCGAUUGAUGCACAAAAGUGGUCAAGUUAUUAUAAUAGAGUGUUAUUAAUGCUAUGGCAAAAACAACGAUAAGUAUAAAGGAGUAGUGAUGUAUGUAAUAUGUGGAAUUUAAUGAAUACAUGGAAAUGUUAUGGAAAAACAAAAGUAGAAAUGUAAUGGAAAUUAUGAGAAUUACUACGGGAAUAUUAUGUAAAUGAACAAAUAAAUAACUAAUAAUGAUGUGACAAAGAUACUAUGGCAAAGAACAAAGGAUAUACGAUGUUGAUUUGGAAUGUUGGAAUUACUAAGAAUCUACCCUUACUGUCAGAGAUGCCUCGAAAAAAUCAUAAUUAAUUUACUACUUAGAAGAGUUCUAAAGUGGUCUGCUUCUUUCGAGAGCAAAAGUCUCAAGUUACCUUACCCAUGACAAUAUGCCUUUAAUACGAUACCCUGCACUAUUUCUUUCUGUAUGAAUGUUGCUCUAUAUCUAAAGUCUACUACAAGCAUCUAUUGAAUACUUGCUCAUAUCAUUCAAUUUUGGUCCAACUAAUCCAACUUUUUCAAAAUUAAAUUAGUUUAUGUGCAUGCUACAUAGUCUCUAUGUCUAGGAAUUGCACGCUUAUAAUUUAGAAAAAAAUAAUUAAAUGAAACAGUAAAUUAAUUCAAAUCUAUGCUUCAACCAUUAAAGAAAAUAAAGGUUUCAUCAUGUAAUCUCAACCCUAUGAAAUUUAGCUCAUGGGUUGGCACAUAAAAUUUAAAACCAAAAUAACAUCCAACACCAUUUUCAUCAUUCCAUUCAAGGAAGAACAAAGGAAGAAAAGUAUAAGACUUUGAGAAUACAACUUUUGCAUGUCAUGUUCACACUCCAACAACAUAAUUCAGGCGAUGGCUAAGAGGGACUACUUUUGUCUUCCUCUUUUUGUCUCUACUCAGUCGCUACCCUCUAUUUUUGCCUAAGGAUCUGUUACUUUUUGUUCGUCAUUUAGGGUUUCCUCCUUUGGCUUCUUAUAGCUUUUUUCCUUGGGUAAAUCCAACAAAUCAUGUUUAUCUUCUCCUCUUUUUAAAAUUUUUUUUCUAGAAUAAAAAUAAACAUCCCAGGAUUAUCUUCUCCUCUUUUAGGUACAUUUUUUUGGUAAAACUACAGUUGGGCUGAAAUUGGUAUGCAUUGAGUGUUGACUCGGUCUUCCUAGAAUUGCCACAGCAUUCGUGCUAACCAAAUGUCCAACCUUUUGCCCUGGUAAACCUUUACUCCUUUAUUUCUCAUUCCUCAACCUGCACCUGCCAAAGCACCAAACACAACCCUACCAUAAGCAAUUAAAAGUAUCUAUUAUUGAUUUUUUUUGGUAAGUGGUAAUAGGACUUGUAACUAAUAUAGUUUUGGAAAAAAUAUAAUUUUUUUAGAAUCUUUGAGGCAUAUUUUCGAUUGGUAAAUGAGGAGUUUUGAAUCAUAAAAUUAUGAUUUUAUGUUCUACCCCAUGAGACCUUUACAACGAGAUAUCAUAUGCUCAAAAUGGUUGAGUGAUGAAUGAGAAAUUGAUGCUCAAAGUAAGCUACUUGGAAAUUAUGUUGAGAAAAAUGAAAAAGCAUUAAUCCCACAUUUAUUAGGAAUCAAGUGUGGAACUUGUAUAUAUAUGUAAAUCAACUUGGUGGUUAUUAAAUGAGUAAACUAAUGCUCUCCCUCGUGCGCAGGGGGUGCAAAUCUAAAUCCACUGAGGUUGGGGCACACCCGCACGACAUGGGCGUUUCCAAGAUUUUACUCAAAUUGAUUUAAAGGCUUCUUUAAUGCAUAUUUGUAUCUUUAUUCAUGGAAAUUUCUAAAAUUCUUCCACAUUGAAUGCUUAUAAAAGCCUAAAUUCUUUAAAGACACACAACGAAUUUAUUUCACUCUCGAAAAUUCUAUUCCUUUUCUCUCCAAAAUUUUCAAAUGUCCGGUGAUAGAAGAAUGCAAGGUUUGUUCGUUGAUCACUGCAGACGUACUACUGCCGCAAUCAUUUUGUUAUUGUAUCCUGGGAGACAGAUGACCAACAUUUCUCUAAGUACCAUAGGAGCAGCUGAAUCUGUCUUAAGGAAACUGUGAAAACAGGCCUCAGCAUCUAGUAAAACUCGAUUUCCUUAUUCAAUUUCUGGUUUUUCAAUAUCUUGUUUAUAUAAUUAUUUUUUAGAUUUGAUGUUUUAAAUAAAUAUUAAUAUUUAUUUAAUUUAUUUUGUUUAGAUCUGGUGUUUUUACACAAAUAUAGAUAUUUGGUUAUAUUAUUUGUUCAAGAUAUUAUAUUUAAUAUAAAUAUUUACAUUUAUAUUUGUUCGCUAACGUGUUUUGUCCAACAAUAUUAAGACAGAUUUUUAUUAUUUUAAAAUUCUCUAAUCCGAGUAGAACGAGGCACGAAGGCGAAAAAAACAUAUUCUGUCUAAGGAAAAAAUUAAAUUGAAUAAAAUCUAUUUCGGGAUUUAUGAUUGUCGUUCAAUAGAUUUUAUUCCUUUUUUAUUUUGUUUCCAAACAAGAAUUAAUUGAAUAAUUCUAUUUCAGAAUUUAUUCUCGCAUCUCAACAGAUUUUAUUCUAUUUUGAUUUUGUUUCCAAACAAUAAUUAAAUAAAUAAUUCUAUUUCGAGAUUUAUUCCCGCCAUUUAACAGAUUUUAUUUGAUUUUGAUUUUGUUUCCAAACAAGAUUUAAUUAAAUAAUUUUGUUUCAAGAUUUAAUCCUGUCGGCCAACAAAAUUGAUUUUAAUUUUAUUUCAGAAUUUUAACUCUUCCAUUUAACAAAAUCAAAGGGUAAUAUAAAUUUUAAAUUAAAUUUUUUAUUUAUUGUGGCUUUAAUUGUGGCUUUAAAUUGUGAAAGCUUAAAUUGUAGCUUCAAACUUGUGACAUCAAAGAAAAAAAAAUUUAUCAACGGUGAAUUAAAAAAGACAAUAUGAGAGUGCAUGUCUAGGAUUGGUUCUUUGAAAGACUUGGUAUUUAAGCGUGCCAAGUGCACCACCUCUCUUUCAGGGUUACCUACCUGGCACAUUUUUUUUGUCUUUCGAUUAGACCGUGUAAACUUUUGUUUCAAGUUUUAUUAAAUUCCUAUCGUCUAGCAAAAGUUGAUAAUUUUUUUCUAAUUUUGGUUUUGUUUCUGAAAUCUUAACAGAAAAUGGAAACUCCCACCAAUGCUAUGGAAGAUAUGGACUUAUGUGCUGUGAUUUUUGGAGUCAACAUGGUUGACUCACAUCCAAGAGAAUAGUGGCUUGAUACUAGUGCCACACGUCAUAUUUGUUGUGACAAAGACUUCUUUUCUGAGUUGGAGCCUUGUGAAGAUAGGGAGAAGCUCUAUAUGGGCAAUGCUAUGACUUCCAAGAUCAAGGAGAAUGGUACUAUAGUCUUGAAGAUGACUUCUGGUAGAGAACUCAAGCUUCAAAAUGUGUUGUAUGUGUUUGACAUACGCAAGAACCUUAUUUCUGAGACACUCCUUAGUGUACACGGUUUUAAGACGGUGUUUGAAUCCCAGAAGCUAGUUUUGUCUAAAGGGUGAAUGUUUGUGGGAAGGGGAUAUGUAUUAAAUGACAUAUGGAAACUUAAAGCAAUCUCUGUAAAAUCAAAAACUAUGAAUAAGAGUGUUGUUUCUUCUUCUAUUUAUAUGCUUGAGUCAUUUAAUUUAUGGCAUGGUAGGCUCGGACAUGUUGAUUAUGAUACUUUACAUAGAUUAAUUAAUUUAGAGCACAUUCCUUCAUUUCACAUUAGUUAUAAACAUAAAUGUGAAACUUUUGUUGAGGAAAAAUUAACAAUGCUUUCGUUUGAAACUAUUGAAAGAAAUAUAGAACCACUCGAUCUAAUACAUAGCAAUGUUUGUGACUUAAUGUUUGUUCAAACCAGAGGAAGGAAUAAAUAUUUUAUUACCUUCAUUAAUGAUAGCACAAAAUAUUGUUAUGUAUAUUUGCUUCAGAGCAAAAACGAAGUUAUAGAGAAAUUUAUUCUCUAUAAACAGGAAGUUGAAACCUAACUUAAUAACUAAGAUGGUAAGAAGUGAUUGUGGUGGUAAAUAUGUUGAACCAUUUAGUGAAUACUGUGCACAACAUGGUAUUAUUCAUGAAGUGACACCACCAUACACUUCUCAAUCAAAUGGAAUAACCGAGCGAAAAAAUCAGACUCUAAAGGAAAUGAUGAACGCAUUACUAGGAAGCUCUGGGUUAUCACAGAACAUGUGGGGGGAAGCUAUUCUAUGAGCUAAUUACCUUUUAAAUAAGGUUCCCUACAAGAAAAUGGACAAUACACCAUAUGAGUUAUGGAAAGGUAGAAAACCUUCCUACAACUACUUGAAACUGUGGGGGUGUCUUGCAAAGGUAAUGGCUCCAUUACCAAAGUAAAUGAAAAUAGGUCUUAAAACGGUGGAUGUAUUUUCAUAGGCUAUGUAGAUCAUAGAAAUACAUAUAGGUUUUUUGUGUAUGAAUCAAAGAAUCCUGACAUUCACAAGAAUAUUAUAUUGGAAUCAAUGAAUUCUUUAUUCUUUAAAAAUAUCUUCCCUUAUAAAGCUAGGGAAGUUUAUUCAAGUUCAACAAAAUGAACUUCAGAGACUAUAGAAGAAAAUAGUCAAGACGAGGUUAAAACUAUGAUAGAGCCAAGAGUAAACGAGUAACACUGCAAAAAUCUUUUGGAUCAGAUUUUCUAACCUUUAUGCUAGAUGCUAAACCUCAAACAUGUGAUGAUGCUAUACGGUCAUCUAAAAGCACUUCAUGGAAAGAUGCUAUUAAAAGUGAAAUUGACUCCAUCAUGUAAAAUCAUACAUGAGAAUUAGUGGAUCUUACUCUAGGAAUUAAACCAUUAAAUUCUAAGUGGAUUUUUAAAUGAAAAAUGAAAGCAGAUGAAACAAUUAACAAGUACAAGGUCAGAUUGGUUAUAAAAGGUUAUAGAUAAAAAAGAAGGCCUACUUUGAUACUUUUUCUCCAAUAUCCAGGAUAACUUCUAUAAGGAUGAUACUUGCAAUUGUCGCCUUAUAGAAUCUAGAAGUACAUCAAAUGGAUGUUAAAACAACUUUCCUAAAUGGAGAUCUUGAUGAAGAAAUUUACAUAGAACAACCUGAGGGUCAUGUAAUUCUAAGACAAGAAAGGAAAGUUUGUAAAUUGGUGAAGUCUUUAUAUGGACUUAAGCAAGCACUAAAACAAUGGCAUUAAAACUGUUCGACAAUGCCAUGAUGACAAAUGGCUUUAAGAUUAAUGAAUGUGAAAAUUGUGUGUAUGUCAAAACUACCGAUAUUGGAUAUAUAAUCCUAUGCUUAUAUAUUGAUGACAUAGUCAUUGUUGGGAGUAACAAUGAAAUGGUAAAACGUGCCACAGACAUGUUAAAUUCAACGUUUGACAUGAAAGAUAUGGGACUAGCAAAUGUGAUUUUAGCAUCCAAAUUAAGAGGUCAUAUGAAGGUCUGAUAUUGACUUAGCCACACUAUGUGGACAAGAUUCUUGGGAAAUUUAGCAAGGAUGAUUCCGGUAUAGCCAAAACUCCAAUAGAUACAAGCCAACAUUUGUCCAAAAAUAAAGGUGAAAGUGUUGACCAAGUGGAAUAUGCAGGGGUCAUAGGCAGUCUAAUGUACCUUAUGAGUUGUACUAGACCAGAUAUUGCUUUCACUGUGAGCAGUUUAAGCAUAUUCACAAGCAAUCCAGGGGAAAACCAAUGGAAAGUAAUUGUGAGGAUACUGAGAUAUCUUAGAUAUACUCGGGACUAUGGAUUGCAUUAUUCCAAAAAUCCUAUUGUUUUAGAAGGAUUCUCCUGUGCCAGUUGGAUAUCUGAUAUUCAAGAUACCAAAGGCACAAGUGGAUAUGUUUUUACAUUAGGAGGAGGAGCUAUGUCAUGGAAAUCCCCAAGACAAACGAUUAUAACCAGAUCCAUAAUAGAAUCUGAGUUUGUAGCUCUAGACAAAUCUGGAGAAAAGGCUAAAUGGCUUCGAAACUUCUUGGAAGAUAUUCCUGACUGGCCAAAGCCUGUGCCCACAAUAUGUAUAUAUUGUAACAAUCAAGCAACAAUUGGUAGAGCACAAAAUGUAAUAUAUAAUGGUAAGUCAAGACAUAUGCGUCGUUGACACAAUACUUGUAGACAACUGAUCUCAAAUGGAGUUAUCUCUAUUGAUUUUGUAAAAUCAAAAGAUAACAUUGUGGAUCCGCUAACUAAAUGCUUAAAUCGAGAUCAGGUUAAUAAAACAUCGAAAGGAAUAGGACUAAAGCCCAUGGAAAUUAAAGGCGCUAUGUAAAGGAAAACCCAACCUAGUUGACUGGAGAUCCCAAAAUCUAAGUUCAAAUGGACAACCUAAUUGCAUAGGCCUUGUGAGGUCACUAUAGGGGUUCUUAUUCCAAGUCCGUUCCUAUGAAAUAAACAGUAAUUUAAAGUGAGAUAGGUUAAGUAAAGCUUUUAAUGACCAUUGUGUGUUUCGGAAAGCCAAGCAACAUAAGUCACCUAUGUUAGAGUGAAGUGGGGCCGCUUCGAGGAGACUAUUGUGCAUAGUUCUCUCAAAAUCUUGCAGAACCAGGAAAUGUUCAUGGUCAUAUAAACAUACCUAUGAGAACGAAGACCUUGCUAGGGAGGUAGUUGUGUAAGGUAUAUCAUUGUUUACACAAACGACAGAACAGUUCAAGGAUAUUGCGUCAACUAGUCAGCUAGUAAAAUAAAUAUACUUUCACAAUGUAAGGUUCAAGGGUUGAUGUCUGCCUAUCAUAUGCAACUAUCAAUCGUAGAAUCUAUCACCACAUCCAGCCAAUGUUUUUCAUUAAACCUAUCAAUUUCAUUCAUGUGGGGUAUUGUUGGAAAAAUAUGAUUUUUUGGAAUCUUUGAGGCAUAUUUUCGAUUGGUAAAUGAGGAGUUUUGAAUCAUAAAAUUAUGAUUUUAUGUUCUACCUCAUGAGACCUUUACAACGGGAUAUCAUAUGCUCAAAAUGGUUGAGUGAUGAAUGAGAAAUUGAUGCUCAAAGUAAGCUACUUGGAAAUUAUGUUGAGAAAAAAUGAAAAAGCAUUAGUCCCACAUUGAUUUGGAAUCAAGUGUGGAACUUUUAUAUAUAUGUAAACCAACUUAGUGGUUAUUGAAUGAGUAAACUAAUGCUCUCCCUCGCGCGCAGGGGGUGCAAAUUCAAACCCAUCGGGGUUGGGAAACACCCGCACGACGUGGGUAACGCGAAAUGUCCGGAUCGAUCAGGCCCUUUUAGGCCUGCGAAUAUUUUAGCCCAAUACGUAUUUAUUUAUUUUUUUGAGCAGAUAUUAUACAGAAUCUGUUUUAAAAGAACAAAUAUCUCAUUUUGAUUUGAUUCCAAUCAAAUUUGAUUUUAUUUUAUUCAAAUUGAUUUAAAGGCUCCCUUAAUGCAGAUUUGUAUCUUUAUUCAUGAAAAUUUCUAAAAUUCCUCCACAUUGAAUGUCUAUAAAAGCCUAAAGAAUAUUGCAGAAUUCUUUAGAGACGCACAACGAAUUUAUUUCACUCUCGAAAAUUCUAUUCAUUUUCUCUCCAAAUUUUUCAAAUGUUUGGUGAUAGAAGAAGGAAAGAUUUAUUUAUUGAUCACUGCAGAAGCACUACUCCCAUGAUCAUUUUGUUGUUGUUUCUUGGGAGACAGACGAUCAACGUUUCUCCAAGUACCAUAGGAGCUGUCGAGUCUAUCUUACGGAAACUGUGAAAACAGGCCUCAACAUCUAGUAAAAUUCGAUUCUCUUAUUCGAUUUCUAAUUUUUCAAGAUCUUGUUUAUUUAAUUAUUUUUUAGAUAUGAUGUUUUAAAUAAAUAUAAAUAUUUAUUUAAUUGAUUUUGUUUAGAUCCGGUGUUUUUACAUAAAUAUAAAUAUUUGUUUAUAUUAUUUGUUCAAAAUCUUGUAUUUAAUAUAAAUAUUUAUAUUUAUAUUUGUUCACUAAGGUGUUUUGUCCAAACUAUAGCUUCUCAAUAAUUGUCAAAUAUUAUAGUGAUAUGCUUUUUCUUUCAAUAAUUCAUAUCUUCAAGAUUAAAAGGUUUACUUUAGUAUUAUUCUAUUUAUUGAGUGUGUAUUAAUGUUUUGUACAGGAAUCCGUUGGAUUUUGGUCUUGUAUAAAUUAGCUGUGGUUGUGGGUAAAUAAAUGUGUGCCGUUCUUCAUUCUCCGAACAUGCUGAAUAUAAUUAUUGGCAUUUCAAGUGUGGCAUAAUAUAAAACAAUGGUUGGCUUCAUCAUAAUCUGUUUGGAGACUAACGGACCACACUUUGACCUCCAAAUUUAGAAAAUAUUUCCAGAGUUGGAAAUUGUAAUUGUAAUACCCUAAUAUUUGUACACCGCAGUGAACAUGGACAAUCAUGUCAUGAUGCAGAACCAGAAAAUGGUGCCAACUCUCCUUCUUCUCCCCCUCUUUCUUCCAAAACUAUAUCCUCGAAAAUGGUGACAUCAAACUUCCUUUCGUUUAUCAAAGGUUCACCCCUCACAUUACAGGGUCCUGUUCGUAUCUCAAGGCAAUCAAACAUGGAAUCCAUAUAUAUGAUUCUUCCCCAAUCCUUGUUGUAGAUUCUUUGGGGAUACAAGCCUUUUUGUUUGUAUUUAAAUACAAAAAAGGGAGAAAGAAAAGUGCCAUCUACAACUGCAUGCUAAUGAUUGCCAAAAUCACUGUUUGUUUUGUUGGAAGGCUUUCAAUCUUGCGGGGUCUUGAAGAGCCUGUUUCAGUAACUUGCCAUUAAUUCUCUCUUACAUUCCAAUCCUAAAAAAUGCUUCCAUCUUUUAGCUGCAACAGUUUAUAAUCAUCAGAAAGGUCUAGUCAGAAUAAUAUUACCUUCUCCUUUUAAACAGUUUUUUUUUUUUAAAUCAUGCCACUACAACUGUAGCUGCGCUCAUGUUAACAAUUAAUUCCUAUAAUCGACAUCAAAAUUAUAUGAAAGAAUUAACACUUGGUUACCGAGUUACCAUAUUUGAAGAUAACGCGAAAGGUAAAAACACAAAAGGCAAGCAUGACCAAGCAAACAAGGUAUGGACAUUGAUUUUUUUGAAUCGGGAAUGACCAAAUGGGACCGUGAAGAGGUGACAAAGGAGAAAUCAGGCAUUCACGGUUUCCAUUGGAUGAAAUGAGAUAAGAUCACUGUGCUUCUUCCACGUGGCAGGUUGCCAAAGAUAAGGCUUUACCAUUCAAGAAAAGUUUCCACCCUCUUUGUGGUCAUUAUGGUUGUAAUGUCAUCUGAUUUAGGAUCCAACGGUCACCCUGUCUCCCAAACCAAUCUCUAAAUGUGGUGAGCUUAGACCAAAUUUUAUGACUAUAUAUAGGGGAUUGCACCAAGGCAGUGACACUAUUAAGGGAUCAGUGAGACUCUUUUGUAUACCUGUAGCAUAUAGUAAUAGUAAGCAGUAAUAGCAAUGGCCUCCUCCAUGAUCUCAUCGGCAACCAUUGCCACCGUGAACCGCUCCUCCCCGGCACAGGCCAACAUGGUGGCCCCCUUCACCGGCCUCAAAUCUGCCUCUGCUUUCCCAGUCACCAGGAAGGCCAACAACGACAUCACUUCUCUUGCAAGCAACGGUGGGAGAGUGCAAUGCAUGCAGGUACUUGGUGAUGCAUAAAUACCACUUAAAUUACCCCAAGUGUUUGAACACAACAAAUUACAUAAAUUGAAUCAAAUAUAUAUCUUGGCUUUUGAGUACAGGUGUGGCCGCCUCUUGGGAAGAAGAAGUUCGAGACUCUCUCAUACCUGCCCGAUCUUACUCCCGUACAGUUGGCUAAGGAAGUAGAUUACCUUCUUCGCUCUAAAUGGAUUCCUUGCUUGGAAUUCGAAUUAGAGGUGUUUUGGAGCUCUAAAUUAUUCCAUUCCUCCUCUUAAUUUUUUUAGUGGGAUAUUUGAGUUGAUUAAGUGUGUUUUAUAUGUAUGUGCAGGAGGGAUUCGUGCACCGUAAGUACUCGAGCUUACCCACGUACUACGAUGGACGCUACUGGACCAUGUGGAAACUGCCCAUGUUCGGGUGCACCGACUCGGCUCAGGUGUUGAAGGAGCUUGAGGAAUGCAAGAAGGAAUACCCCAAUGCAUUCAUUAGAAUCAUUGGGUUCGACAACGUUCGUCAAGUGCAGUGCAUUAGUUUCAUUGCCUACAAGCCUGAAGGCUACUAAGUUGUUUACUUCCCUCCUAGGAAUUCCAUUUGUUUCAAAGUUGUACUUAAAUUAAGCCCCUCAAGCCCCCCCCCCCUUUUUCUUUUUCUUUUUUAGUUGAGUUAUUUGGCUUGGGGUCUCUCUUUGUUUUGUUUUUGGAUUUCCAAUGGAACGGCUGAGAACUAAUGAAUAAAAAGGUAGUUUCUUGCCAUAUUUCAUGAAUCCAGUUCUUCCUCCAUUUUCAGUGCUAAGAUAUUCAUGUUAAGAUAGGAUAAAAAUUAAAAGAAAAAAAGGUGAUUGGGUGGUCUGGCUUUAAAAUAAGAGGAUAAAGAUUUUGUGGACAAGCAACGCUGUGCUGUUGGAGGCUCAUUAUCUUAGUACAUAGGAAUACACCAAAGAAACCAUUUUUAUUAAAUUGUUUUAUUAUGACAUCACAAGUUUCUAUUAUUAAAAUAACAACUUAAAAAGGCUAAAUUCAAAUA
Molecule: long non-coding RNA, 100601 nt
Filed under: Gossypium barbadense (sea-island cotton)
Lineage: Eukaryota; Viridiplantae; Streptophyta; Magnoliopsida; Malvales; Malvaceae
Description: long non-coding RNA (GBAR_LNC018070)
Rfam family: Plant small nucleolar RNA R71 (bases 89266-89372)
Source: RNAcentral